AGUCACGGGAUUAACAUGAUAAAAUAUUUUUUACAUCGAAAGGUAACUUGCGACAAGCCACUGGCAUGCGAUAUGCAUACCACAAUACCCCCACCAACAUAUCGUGAACUACCAACAUUGGCUCAAAUUCUCCAAAGAAAGCAAAGGAAUUUACUAAAUAGGUCGCUAUUCUCGUUGUAGCCAUCCAAAGCCCUUUUCCACAUGCUAAACAAUUCAAAGAAGUUAUAAUGCAGAAGCCUCAUCGACCAAAGAGGGUGGCACUAGUGGGCACUCACGAGGAAGGGAUGCUGACACACUCCACAUUCAAUAGUCUCAGAACCAGAGGUUGGAACCUGGACCUGCAAUUAUUCCAGAGCACACCCCUUUUAAUAUCCAAGUAUUUAACAAUAGGACCAACACAACACAUCUGAGCUGUUGUUGGUGAAGGGUCUCAUACCUGCAAAUGAACAGUGCAUAUUGGACAGGCAACUUCCUUCAUCCUCCUUCCAGAACCAUCUGACUGGGAGCCUGUAAAAAGACAGUUCCUCUGUCAACACUAGACAGAAGCUCAACUAACAACGAGCCAAAAAAGGGUACUUUCAUGACAGAAUCCAUCAGGUUCAUUAAAAAGACGGAUCCUCUGAAAAUAAACAGCUGCGUUGAGAACACGUGUAUCCAGUUAAGAUUAGAGAAUUACCCGCUGAUCCUUUGUGAUUCCUCUCCAUUUCCUCCUGUCACAUACAAAUAAUGUCAGAAACUUAUAGCGUGAAACACACUUUCUUCAAAAGAGCCUCAAAAAAGAUUGCGCAAAGUUGUCCGAAGACUUUGCCACAAAGAAAUUACAGGGAACAUGUCUACCUGAAGCUAUCUAUGCAAAGUAUCAGAAAGACUACCUGAAGCUUUCUUGCAAGGUCCUCAUGACUCUUAAAUCUCACCGGUUUACUAGAUGCUUCCUUCGCAUUGCUCAGUCGCUGAGUAACUUCAGCCUACAAAACCCCAUUGUUUAGACUGACAAGGUAUGAGGAGUGUAAUAUGCCAGCCUAUUGCAAGUUGUAAUAGGUCUCAGGCCCAAGCACAUGCUAAGAUACAUGUGGGGUACAUUCACUUCAAAGAAACUAGAAAUAUACCAAACAACGGUCACAAACGCGAACUGGUUGAGCAUUUUCUUCGGCAGUUAGGGCAAUCCUGCCAUGGGUACAUUUAUCGCAGAAAAUAUCUCCACAAUUCCUGCAGUGGUGCUGAAUCCAAAAAAACCAGACAUGAGGGAAAACAAUAUAGAUGAACACUGGAGACUAGUAGUGAUAUAAAAGUAUGUACCCUGCGAAUAAAAGCACUAAAAUCCGUUCCACAAGCUGUACGCUUUGAAGCUGCUUCAUCGGGAAACUAAUAAGGAAAAACCAAGGAAUGUGAGUAGCUUUUAUGGCAAACAAGGCUGAUGUGAGAUUCUAAGGAAACCAAUGAUUUGAUACUUCCAUGCUUUUGAUAGUAACUUCUCAUUCUUCUCAUUAAGAAUGAGAAUAAAUGCAUACAAAACACCUGGUAAAACACGAUAUAAUACUAUUUCAAAGGGUGAUAACUUUUUACACAAAAAGGAUUUACUGAGAGACAUCAGCAUUUGGUGACUAUGAUUAAUUCAAAGACGACACACUUGACAUGUUUUGAUCCAUAUUUUCACUAUAUGUUGAUGACAUAAAUGACCAACACAAAUACAAUAAGAAAAACACAAUUUUGAUGGCAUGGCACAAGUUGCUAGCCAAUUUUGGUCUGCACAAGAUCUCUAUGUACCUAGUCUAAGCCCUCGUAAAGAGGGAGAUCCAGGAUACAAAAGGAUGUCAACAUCUAUAAUUGUCAGAUCUUCCAUGAAAUGGACAAUAAAAUAGGAAUGAUGAAGUGCAAAAUCUUGUAGAGUACACUCUGGAAAAUAGUCACGCCAAAUGGAUUUCAAGGCAUCAAAUAUGGAUAAGCAAUUUGAAAAUGUUUGGUGCAUGUGUGAUUGCUCGAGAAUUGAUAUAGCUCGAAAUGGAAAUCCUUAAAAAAGCUGGAGGGGCCACAUAAAAUGAGACGAUAAAAACCUCCUUAAGAGUCCAUUUCAAAGACUACCACUAGAUGCUUCGAAACAAAGGCAAUUUUAUGGUAAGGCCACAAGAGAACCAAUCAAACAGGUGUGCAAAGACGUAAGGUAAGCAUAUCUGUACAGAGACUCUAGCAAAGCUGGAAGAAUUCUAAAUAGUUUAAAAUUCCCAUCCCAUUUGCCUAAUGGAGCUUCCAAGUUCAUGUAAAUGCAUGCGUUCAAGUCCACAUGAAGCAAGUUUGUUUCUUCAAUAGAGUUCCACAAAUCUAGACAGAUCAAGAUCUCCAAACAAUCCUGUUUUCCCAAAAGCCUACUUGCAAACCAUUGCAGCAAAAAUUAAACCAAAGCUUAAACAGAAGCUGCCACCGACUGAAGGAACUUUAACCUCAGCAUCAGGGAAAAUGCCACAAGCAACUAAAAAAAUUAACGCAUGCUUGCCCAAAUAGCCAAUGCAACAAAAUAACAUCAAUUCCAUCAGCAUAUGCCCCAGGGGGGAAUGAAGAAGAUAAAAAUGGAUUUUGCGUUAUACCCAGUGAUCUUUCUCUUCAUUGCCAGGCUUCAUCAAAUUCAUCCAGUCAGCAAUACCUUUCUUCCUCUCUGCAGGCUGUUCACUUGUCUUUACAGGAUCAGAAGGCCUGCUCCUUCCACCUAUUUCCUUUAACUGGAGCAUGUAAAACAUUUACUUUCAGUCCAGAAAGCACAUAAACCAUCAGCUGAACUAUGGAGCUAUUUAAAGUUAUAUAACAAGUUAUAUAUAUAUAUAUAUAUAUAUUAUGGUGCUAUUUAAAGUCCACAAAAAAAAAUUUAACUAUGGAGCCAUUUUCUAUUGAUGGUCUAAUGCAGGGAUAUGGAUCCUUAAAUGAAUUCAUCUCUUUGCAAGUAUGGGCAACGUGUGGUCUAACAGUUCAAGUGCACAAGUGCAUCUCAAUCCUUGGACCCCAGUCAAAGGUUCAAAUCCACAAAGACUAUGGUUAAGCCGAUGAACGGCUGGUGUGAACAAUGUACAUCCAAUAGUAAGUCCCUGGAUGAAAACUCUAAAACAUCCAAUGCCAGUUUAGCCACAAACAAUUUAGUAGUCUAAAUCUGACCAGACCUAAGACCAGUUCCAGUCAAACCAGCCAGUCCAGUGAGGUUUCAAAGUUUAGAAAUGAGUGAAGGCCUGGCUUGCAUUUCUGCAAGGCCUUGCAAGUCCCCCACCAAUAUGCAUGUGAAAGGAAGGACUUUGGCCUUGCGCCAGUAUGCACAUGAAAGCAAGGAAAAAGGCAGGAAAUACUCAAUAUCUAAGCAACGGCGAUAGAGUGUGAGAAUUCAUUCAUAAGUGGCUACAAAUUAUAACAUAUUAACAUAACAGGGUAAAAAGUCUACUUCACACACACAUUGGACAAGCCUUGUCAGCCCACUAAUUUAUCCAUCCACCACAUCAUGCACAUAAUUGGUAAAUGCAGAUGUAGCAUUCUACCUGAACAGUCGCAGCUGUCACCGUAUCAAGGAGUGUGUUAGUUGUGUAACGAUUUGAUUGUAAUCUAAUACGCCUGGGUUCAAUAUCCACAGAACUCUUUGACCAAAAUGAAAAUAUAGAUGAAUCCGUCACCUGCGUGGCACCAUGCAUCCAUUGGUCAACAUUAAGUUAAAAACUGUAAAAGAACGCGUAAACAAGGAAAUUAACUCACUUCACAUCUGGUGAUGGUCUCUAAAGGGUAUAUCCUCAAAGUCCGACUUGUUGAAGGAUCAAGCAUACGAAUUCCAUCCAAGCCUAUCUGAAAGAGAAUACGUAACAUCAAGAAUCAGUUGCAAUAGAAUCAACCACCAAAUGACUGAAGGAUAAAAGCAAGAAAGUGACAAAAUGAUCUACUGUAUUGGUCACAGCUCUUGUUUACUAUAGGUAUCUUACAAUAAAACAAAGAGAUGUUUAAGAUCUUUGAAUUAAUAUUAAGAACAAGGUAAGGAGAUAAUAUGAAUAGUAACGGAAUCAGUGAGUUCAAUUAUAGGUGUUCUCCACCUCAUAUUUCCCCCCAGGUGGGGGGGGGGGGGGGGGGGGGGGAACGAAACACAGAGUGCACGCACACCAUGAUUUAUCGAUGCCAAAGGGAAUUAUGUUGGUUUACUAAUAGGUGUUCUAUUCCUCCUCUUGCAAUAAUUGGCACUCGGCAAGAGGGUGAAAGUAACUAUUAAUGAGAUUGAGAAAUCAAUGAACAGCUUGUACAAUAAAUUGGAAAAAUAAGUUCUCAGAAUUUAGACACUGAAUAUGUUUUGAUUUGUAUGGAUUUUAAGUUAUUUUUUCCAAAUCCUACAGUGCUUAUAAUUCGAUUUUUAUUUUAUGCAAAACACGACAUCUUUCAGAAAAAUGCAAAUAUUGACAUGUAUACACCUAUAAAAUGUUUAAUUUUCAAAUUAGUAGGAAAGAAAAUUUUUAAGGCAAACAAAACAAGUGCUUAACAAAAGAUUGUUCAAUAUAAGCUUUGGAAGAUCAACAUUGCAUCUUGUUAGUUUCUCAGCAAAAAGGAGUUGCAGAUGUGAUAAUAGGCUUUAGCAAUAUAAUUGGUAAAGUUCUAACUCCCAUAAAAGUUUUUCCAUCAAACAAAUUAAGUAACUGCUUCCUUACUUCAUCUUGUGUGAAAUUUUUGCUUAAAUGAAUCUGUCUAGUCAAAAUUAGUCAGUAUUACCAGACUCUUUUGAUCUUAUUAAGUGUCAAAUUUUUCAGUUAUCGGUAUUUAAUUAAGCUGUCAAAGAGGACCUAACUAUUUGGGCUAAUAUGGGUACUAAACAAGAAACCUUCUAGGUAUAACAAUUUUCACCAUUCCUCUUUUAGCUAGUCUAGGUUGUUUGCUAACGUUUUCUACAGCAAAUGCAGUCAGUGUCCUUCCCCCAUUAUAUAAUUUGGUCAGUAAUAGUUACAUUAUUGAUUGAUUUUAUGGUGACUUAAUGUAAUUUUAAUUAUAUUAGUCUUUUGAAGGCAUCUACAAACAGUGAUUGCUAACGUCGCAUUUAUCUCUAACAUAUACAAUCCUCAUAAUCCACAUAAUUUUAUGAUAAAUCCACAUAACACAUCUAUCAAACAAUUAAGACAUUUAAACAUCAAAAGGGCAUAUCUUCAACUUCUUAAGACAUGAGUUAAUGAAAAAAAAAUAUUAGCAUUAGCAUCUAAGGCAGGCAAUCCUUUCACUUGCUUCAGUAAUAAGCGAAGAGUAUAACAGGAACUGGAAUAAUGAAGAUGGUACAAAACUACAACCUUGCAUCUCUUACAAGCUAUUAGUCUAGGAUGUGCUAAGGUUUUCCAGAACAAAAACAGGUGUUGCCCGAUAAAGGAAAGUUCUUUGCUUUUUAUUUUAAAAUCAUUAUGGCAGUUUAGCCAAAACAUCAUUUACUUCAGUUCACUUGCAAUGAAGAAUCACAAUGAAAACUAUCAUAACAUUACAACUCAAACAGUCAAGAGAUGUAAUAUAUUCAGUUGCAUCAGAUCAUUUGUACCCAUACUUUGCAGGUUUAUUUUUUUGUAAUGAAACACUUUGAUGCUCAUACGGUCUAUCUGUCCUAGAACCCCAAAGAAUCUUAGGUUAGCCUCUGAUUUAAGACGAACUAGAGUCAAAUUCAGUAGCGCUGAAAUACUAACGAUGAACUUACUACUCUGCACACUAUAAACUUCUGAAGGUAGAAAUUAAGCAAAAUGAACAAGCAAAGACAAACCUGACAGAGAACAUCCAUUGUACUUUGAGAACCACUUUCAGGCAAGAGCUUCACCCUAAACUUCUGGACCCCACUCUUUACAUCCUGCUGCGUCUCCGCCUUGGGCACUGCUCUUACAAUCUUCGGUGAGCUGACUGAAGACUCCUUCCCAGAGGGAAAACUGAUUGGUCUUCCACAGUCAUCGAACGCAGACCAGGUCGAUGAUUUCGAAGAAGUGCCUCGAGCACCAUAUGGCUCGACUUUCCCUCCUUCGUAAGCAAACACACCAUCUCCAUACGCGUCCUCCCGCCUCGAACCUGAACCAUACUGCGAAACAUCCGAUUGCUUCCUGUAGAAGUCCGACCCGUAAUCGGACAUGCUACGACCGUAUCCCCCGCCAUACCUAUCAUCGAGGAACGAUCCCCCCUGAUCGUACUUCACGGAAUUAUCAUACGUCGGCUCAUACGGCGCGUUGUACGGAUCCGACGAGGCGUAGAUGGACGAGUACGGCGAAUUCGUGCUCGGAUUGGGAGAAUUGGGUACGUCUUAUGCUCCAGGCUGUCAAACAAGAAGGCGGUCGCAGCGCGACACAUGUCUCGUGGGACCCACGAUUUCAGAGGCGCCCAUUUUGAAAAUUUUCCUGUACUGUAGCUCUGCCGCGUGUUCUUUUAUUGCGCCUCUCUCUCUACACUCGCUCUCUCUCCCGACGAGUCCCUCUCUCUCUGCCCUCUCUCUUUCCGACCGGGCGAACGAUUGCCUGCAANNNNNNNNNNNNNNNNNNNNNNNNNNNNNNNNNNNNNNNNNNNNNNNNNNNNNNNNNNNNNNNNNNNNNNNNNNNNNNNNNNNNNNNNNNNNNNNNNNNNNNNNNNNNNNNNNNNNNNNNNNNNNNNNCCUUCUUUCGACCGACGAACCACCGCACGGGAUCGGCGAGAGGACCGCGAGCAAUCGAUGAACCACCACACGGGACUGGCGAGAGGACCGCGACCUCCCCCUCUCUCUCUGCCCUCCCUCUUUCCUACACCGCGAGCAAAUCAGAUAUUUUUGUAGAGAUCUCCCAUCGUCGCCUUCAUCUUCUUUUUCCCCUUUUUUUUGUUUUGUUGUUUUUUUUUUCUUGUGUUCAGAUGGCGGAACUGGAGUUGCAUAUGGAGGACGACGUGAUGUCUCACAUCGACCUCAAGCUUCUUCGGCGACCUCCUGAGGCCGGCGACGUCAUCGGCGCUUGCUCCCCGAACGCGUUGUCGUCGUCAAUAGACUCGGGGUUCGACGAGAUGGAGAACAUCUUGAUGAAGGACGACGAGGACGGCGGAGUUGUCGGUGGCGGGAUUAGGGCUGAUUCGAGCCAGGAGUUCGGCGAUAGGUUCCUCGCUGACGUGCUCGUUGACUCCCCGGAGAUUGGUCCACAGAGAUAGCCGAUGGGUCCGGCGACAAGGAGGAGCCUGGAUCGUCGGAUGACGGCGGGGUCGACACUGCGAAGGUUGAUGGGGCUAAGGGUGGCGGUGAAGCCUAUGAUCCUGCUUCUAAGAAGCUCAGGAGGUACAUUGAUUGAUCGGUGCUGCUUAAUUAUUCGAUUGGUUGCUUUAUGUUGAAUUCUGUCGUAAGCCUUUGUAAAACUGAAAUGAAUGUCAUUGGGGAGGGGUCCAUACAUCACCUAUUUUACCUUUGUAACUCAGUUUCUUGGGAAAGGAAAAAAUUAUUUAGUGGUUUGCCUAUCGACAAUGUAGCAUUUAGUCAGAUGCACAAUCUAUUACAAAUGUUUUGGUAUAUAUAAUGUAAAAUUGUUUGAUUAUGUGGUUGAUAGAGAGAAUAUGAGGAGUUCAAGGUGCAAAUCAAUGCUUUGGUUGCAAAGGCACAAAAGAUGCCAGAAGAAGGGUGGACAAUGCAGGAUGGCACUGCCUGGGCUGGAAAUAACCCCAGGGAUCACCCUGGAAUGAUACAGGUAUACGAUAUUAACCAGUAUUCUAGAAGCAUUUAAAUUAACCCUCUCCCCUCUUAUGCAUCUAGUUAGUGUUUUCUUUUUGUUGUCGAAAAUAAUAGGUUUUCCUGGGCCACAGUGGGGGACUUGAUACUGAUGGAAAUGAGCUACCUCGACUUGUUUAUGUUUCUCGUGAAAAGCGACCUGGUUUCCAACAUCACGAGAAAGCUGGAGCCAUGAUUGCUUUGGUUUGUCAUCUCUAUACAUCUUAUGUAGCUUUUCUUGUCAUGUGUCUCUUUUAGUGACAGGCUGGCAUCUUUAAUUGUAAACAAAUGAAUGUAUGUUGGUGUGAUUUGGUUUUUCAGUUUAGAUUCUUCAUUUAGGUUCUUCAUCGCUUGCUUGCAUUGAAAUUUAUAUCUAUAUGCAUUAGGAUCCUGAUUAAUGGAUCUCUAGGUUUGAGAAAUCACAUUCCAAGUUCACCCUACAUUAUUGAAGCUUAUUCUUUUUGUGCUUUCAGUUUGAAUGUACAGUUGGAAUUAUCUUUUUCAAGGAUCAGUUACCUUUUAUUUUUUCCCCCCGUGGAUUGUAAUGUUGAUAGUGGUGUCUCUAGCUUAUAGUGAGGAUUUGUUUAUCAUAAAGAGAUUCAUUGUCCCCGACCCUACUUUAACUUCAUACUAUUUCUCUUCAUAUUGAGAAACAAAUAUUACAGUUUGAUUUUCCCACAUUGCUGCUUGUCUGAAUGUUGUUCUUAUCCGCUGGAGAAAUUAGUUAGAUCUGCUUAUUACUUUUUGGCAUUUCUGAAUUUAUAACUUACUGUUUUAUUUUGUGUAGAUCCGGGUCUCAGCUGUCCUAACCAACGGACCGUAUCUUUUGAAUGUUGACUGUGAUCAUUACUUUAAUAAUAGUAAAGCAUUGAAAGAAGCAAUGUGUUUCAUGAUGGAUCCCGCUUAUGGAAAGAAGAUGUGCUAUGUGCAGUUCCCACAAUGUUUUGAUGGGAUUGACUUGCACGAUCGAUAUGCUAACCGCAACAUCGUCUUCUUUGAUAUAGGUGUGUCUUCAUCUUUUUCCUACUUCCAAAAUGCUAGUUGUUUAUGUUCAUUUGUUGCCUUUUUUAACUGAGCUAGAUUAUCUUAUUUAUGAUCUCAAUGCAGAUUAACUUGAAAGGGCUUGACGUCAUCCAAGGUCCUGUCUAUGUUGGAAUUGGAUGUUGUUUCAACAGGCAAGCCCUUUAUGGAUAUGACCCUGUAUUAACCGAGGAAGAUCUGGAACCAAAUAUUAUUGUAAAGAGUUGUGGUUCAAGAAAGAAGGGGAAGGGUGGCAAUAAGUACAUUGACAAGAAAAGAGCAAUGAAAAGAACUGAAUCCACUGUUCCAAUUUUCAAUAUAGAAGAUGUUGAGGAGGGGGUUGAAGGUAGGUCUUGAUUUAAUUAUGAGUUUCAUUUUGUAUCUUUGGAUGUUAGAAAGCAGACUUAUACUGGUCCAAAUGCCUGGACUUACUCCAUGAUUACUGUCAAAACUAGCCUGAAUUGAUGUCAGAUUGGGGUAUCUUACCUUGCCCUUAAAGGACCCCCUUAAGAUUUAGAAUAAACCAAAAAAUGUCUCUCUUUUGAUGUCACUUAAUUGUUCGACUGACUUAACAGUACCUUUGCUAUGUGUUAUAUCAUGUUAACAGCACCAAUUUGUUUUGUAGGAUAUGAUGAUGAGACGUCGCUCCUGAUGUCUCAGAAAAGUCUAGAGAAAAGAUUCGGUCAGUCUCCUGUUUUCAUUGCGGCUACUUUCAUGGAACAGGGUGGCCUACGACCAUCUACCAAUCCUGCAACACUUUUGAAAGAAGCCAUCCAUGUUAUUAGUUGUGGUUAUGAGGACAAGACUGAAUGGGGCAAAGAGGUAUGUUAUGAUGUUAUACAAUUUCUAUUCUAGAUGUAAAAUUCCAUGUCAUAUGGUUGGAAUUGACUUGAUGUUCUUUCUACGAACAGAUCGGAUGGAUAUAUGGUUUUGUUACAGAAGAUAUUUUGACUGGAUUUAAGAUGCGUGCUCGAGGCUGGAUUUCAAUCUAUUGUAUGCCUCCUCACCCAGCAUUCAAGGGGUCUGCUCCCAUCAAUCUUUCUGAUCGUUUAAACCAGGUUCUCAGGUGGGCCUUGGGGUCAAUUGAGAUUUUGCUAAGCAGGCAUUGUCCUAUAUGGUAUAGAUAUAAUGGGAAAUUGAAGCUCUUGGAGAGAUUGGCGUACAUCAAUACAAUUGUGUAUCCCCUCACCUAAAUACCGCUGAUUGUGUAUUGUAUUCUCCCUGCAAUUUGUCUUCUCACUAACAAAUUUAUUAUACCUGAGGUAAGUGAUACUUCUCUCUUCAUUGUAGAGUAUUCAAUCUCAUGUAUUUCGUUUGUUGUACAUUAAUCCACAUUAACUCUAUUUAAGUGAGAUGAACAAAAGAAGGGUCAUUGUUUACUUCUGUCAGCUGAUCCUAGCAUCUCCGCCUCUUUGGAAUGGAGUUAAUGUUCUCUUUGUAUUUAGUUUUCGAGUGGCUCUGCAUCUUGUUUUAAUAAAGCUUGGAUGAGAAACCAUUAGGAAACAUUGGUAAAAGAAGAUGCCUAAACAUCAUUCCAAUGGCUAUGGUGGUUGAAUAAUAUUCAGCUGAUAGCUGGCAAACAUAGGCCUUUUGAUAUAGUUAAAUAGAAAGCCCUAAGUCAACCAUAUUCUAGGUGCCCUUACUGUGGGGUCACCAAAGUCCUCUUCACAGGUGGACUCUUCUUUGUAUUCUUUAGAGUAUGAUCAUGAUCCUCAAUUUCAUUUAUUUGCAUUUUUUUCUAAACCUUAAAAAUGAUGUAGCUGUUAGUCCUGGCUCUUCUGCAUUGUUUGUACAUUUAAAGUAAUCUUCAUUGACAAAAGACGGCUCAAUUACGAUGCUAGUUUCCAUCUUUAUUAGAUAUUCUCCUUAUUAUGCUAUACUACUGAUUUCAUAAACUAAAUAUAGCUGUCUCUACGCUAGACUAUCUUGAGCUACAUGUAAGUAAUUUCAGCGUAAUUAGAGAUUGUUUCCUCUUUUCUUUCAUUUGAUGACCGAUCCGAUGUUAAAAAAAAAAAAAUUGCAGAUAAGCAACUUUGCUAGCAUGUGGUUCAUUCUCCUUUUCGUCUCAAUUUUCGCAAUUGGUAUUCUUGAGCUCCGUUGGAGUGGUGUCAGCAUUGAGGAUUGGUGGAGGAAUGAGCAGUUCUGGGUCAUUGGUGGUACAUCCGUUCACCUUUUUGCUGUGUUCCAAGGGCUUCUUAAAGUGCUUGCUGGCAUUGAUACCAUCUUCAGUCACUUUGAAAGCAGCCGAUGAGGAAGGAGACUUUGCUGAGCUUUAUGUGUUCAAAUGGACAUCGCUUCUCAUUCCUCCGACCACAGUUCUUAUCUUGAAUAUCUUGAACAUCAUUGGCACUGUAGCAGGUGUGUCUUAUGCGAUUAACAGCGGGUAUCAGUCAUGGGGUCCACUGUUUGGCAAGCUGUUCUUCGCCAUAUGGGUUAUUGCUGACCUUUACCCAUUCCUGAAGGGUCUGUUGGGUCGGCAGAAUCGUACUCGUACGAUUGUUAUUGUGUGGUCUAUCCUUCUUGCUUCCAUAUUCUCAUUGCUUUGGGUAUGGAUUGACCAUUUCACCUCAGCCUUCACAAAAUCUGCUGCAAAUGGUCAAUGCGGCAUCAACUGCUAAUUGUAUCAUGCUCGCCUGUGGGGGAAGCCAUCUUCAAGUGCUUAUUGUUCUUUUAUGUAUAUGACAAGAUGCUCAUUGCCACUUUUCAUCAUUUUUCAUCAUUGAGGUAAUACUUUCGUCCGGGAAGGUGGGUGUAAAACAGAAAAAGCAGAGAAUGUCAUUUUUUGUCAUGUCUUUUUCACAGUUGCCCGUGUUGGAAUAUAGGCAUCUCGAACCUUUGAUUCGUCUGUUGUUAUUUAUUGUGCAGUAUUUUGUUGUUUGAUCACAAGAAUGUAGCACUUUUGAACUUAAUUCAACACUUAAAGGUUGAAUACAGAACAAGCUCAUUGGUCAAGCUUAAGUUGAUGCCUUUAUUACUGUUCCCACAAUUCUCUUGCAAAUUGUGAACAGGUCUCUCAUCAACGCAAGGCUCUAUGGAAAGCAUUUCCCGCACGUCGAUUAAUUCUCUCUCUCACACUAUUGAUAAUUGAAACGUGAUGCUGUUGUGUUCUUUGUAUAUCAUCAAAUUUAGAGACGACGGGGUUGAAUUAUUGCCACUUUUCAAUUUUAUACUAAGUAGAAAUCCCUUGGAGCCGCAGGUUUGCCAAGAUUGGUAGGGCAGCGAGAGCUUUGCCUGGCAAGGUAACCAGCCACAGUUUGGAUCAGAAAUAAAAUCAACAUCUGACGAGAUCAUUUAAUACAAAGCUUUUUCUGUCAAAGAAAGCUGAAGGUACUCGAACCUGAAAUUGAAACAUCAUACUCCAAACAUGAAACUGUUGUUCAUUCAAACCGACAAUCCAAUAAGCAAAAAAGCUUUCCUUAUGUUAGGUACUCCAAGAGAUUUAUGCACACGCAAAGUAGCCCCUGUGAAAAACAUUGCGUCUCAAUCAGCAUUAUAUUGGACAAAUUGGCCAUCUUUCUUGGUUCGACUCUUGCCGACUCAUCUUCUCAUGAAAGACAAUACUCACAUUAUCAAAACAUGCUAGUACCUUCUUCAGAAACACAUAGAACUCCAAAAGAAAAGUAAACCCCUCGAAUAUCUUUGCGAGUGCAUGUAGAACCAACCUUGGUAACAAGAACUUCCUUGAAGAAUUCUUCUGAAGAAAUCGUAUGAGCAAAAGAAAAAGAACAUAAACUAAACCAUUCAAUCGCAGUAUACAUCUGACCAAAAAAAAAAUCGCAGUAUACAUCUGACCAAAAAAAAAAAUCGCAGUAUACAAAAUAGUCAUCUUUAUCUUCUCUUUCUGUAGAUGAUCCAUAGCAAAAGACCUCGUAUUUGUUCUUGUCAAAUAUGUGGUUACGCCUCUUCAUCAUCCUCAACCAUAAUCCUCUUGCACGCUUCAUAGCACAUGAACAUCAGGUAGGGAAAACCUUAAUGACAAUCGACAGGAACAUCAGGUAGGGAAAACCAUAAUAGAUACAUUAGCUCCUGGUUUCUAAAAGUAUUAAGGAAGCAGAAUAUAAGAAACAAGAUGUACAGAUAAAGAGUUCAGGAAGUCACUAGCCCGAUGGAAUUUACAUAUUCAGAGUGAUAGGUAACACUACUGCUAAACAAAUCGCGCAACGUUCUGCACAUAGAAGAAUAAGAAAAAGGCAGGUUCAAUUUAAGAUACCAAGAAAGUAUUCUCCCUGUAGUAUCUGUUAUUUUGCAGUAAAACAUGGCAAAAGCAGUUCACAUGCAUAAAGAAUCGACAGAAAAUGUCCUCUGGAAUGACUAUGCUAGUUAUAUUACAAAAGGAGAAAAAAUGAGAAUCAACAAAUUGGUAUUCAAGAAAAGGAGGAAGUGAUUGAAGUCAAUCUCCCAGCAGUUUGCAUAGUUUUCAAUAAUCUCCCAGGAAACAGGGGGAAGGAGACUUUUCACUAUGGACUACCAAAAAAUAAAAACAGAGGCUUUUCCCUGUCUUCUCUCCCUCAAGACUAUGUGACUGAUUCCUUCCCACCAAAAUCACUGUAUUCCCCUGUGACUUUUACCUGAACCAAAGCACUGGCGGGAUCGUGAUGCGAGCGGAACUGGAGAUCAACAGGCCAGCGGGUGUGAGACGGUCGGGCACCAACGUUCCAGCGUACCGGUGUCGGAUCUAGAGCUGGAGGGGGGCGCGGUAGUUCGCCGGUCACGCGGUGGUUUGCCGCGAAGAGAGGGUGGGUAGACAGAGAAGAGCCGGAGAUCAACAGGCCGGCGGGUGUGAGGCGGUCGGGCACCAACGUUCCAGCGUACAAGACAAGCCGGUGUCGGAUCUGGAGCUGGAGGGGGGCCGCGGUGAUUCGCCGGUCACGCGGUGGUUCGCCGCGAAGAGAGGGAGGGCAGACAGAGAAGAGCAGGGAACGGACGAGUCGGGGCCAGAUCCGGAGCCGGAGGGCUGGCGCGGUGGUUCGCCGGUCGGAAAAAGCGAGGGAGGGCAGAGAGAGGGAGGUUGCACGCCGGUCGGUUGCUCGCGGUCGUCUUGCCGGUAUCCUCCUCGUUCGUCGGUUGCUCGCAGUGGUUCGCCGGCCGGAAAGAGGGAGGGCAGAGAGGAAGGUCGCACGCCGGUUGGUCGCUCGCGGUCGUCUCGCCGGUAUCCUCCUGGUUUGUCGGUUGCUCGCGGUGGUUUGCCGGUCGGAAAAAGCGAGGGCACAGAGAGACAGUUCGUCGAGAGUUUGUUCGGGGAGAAAGAGCGAGUGUAGAGAGAGAGGCGCAAUAAAAGAACCCGCGGCAGAGCUACAGUACAGAAAAAUUUUCAAAAUGGGCGCCUCUGAAAUCGUGGGUCCCACGAGACACGUGUCGCGCUGCGACCGCCUUCUUGUUUGACAGCCUGGAGCAUAAGACGUACCCAAUAUUUUCUCCUGAUCCUAAAGGGUACCAAAUAUUUUCUCAGCUGGUGGCGGCCUGAAGCUGAUUGUGGGGCCCGAGCAGAGGAGAAUUCUAAAUCGUUCGUACAAACAGAAUUUUUAUAAGUAAAGUUUCUUGCUUUAGAAAUGUAUUAUAUGUUGACCAAAAAAAUAAAAAAGAAAUGUAUUAUAUGACUAUCUUGAAGCCUUGUGAAUACAUUGCAUUUUUGGGCACCGCGACCUUGGCUUGUGGUGUGCAGAUUUGCAUCAUUAGAGAAUGUACCAAGAUUUGGACCAUUUUUUUAAUAAAAGGAUGAGUCCAAAGCAUCUAGAAAUAAGUUAAAUGAAUUAGGAGGAUAGAAAAAUCAAGUGAGUAUGCUCCACUGGAUGCAUUGGAAGGCCCUUCUUAUAAGUUAAAGUUCUCAGUGGGACAAACUCGAGACGCUAUUGAAGGACAAACUUUAAUUUUAAAAGUAAGUGGAAAAAGAUUUAAGGAACGGAUAAGCAAUCAAAACGUUAAUCAUGCGAAAGACACGGCGGCUGAUAUUCACGAGCUUUCUGUUUCAUGGGAAGACAGAAGCCGAAAGAUCACGCAUUUUGAGUUUGGGAAAAUGAUGGAUGAGCGUUGGUAUCAAGGGAAUGCCAUUCUCAUGCAACAAAAUAUGAAUGUGGAUGUAAUAGGUCUUUCAGGCUUUCUCUGUGAGCAUCCCCACCAAAGACCUGAAUACUUGCCUGAAGUUUCAUUGGAUGCUUAUUAGUAAAAGACGGAUUCGAUGAUCAGUGGCUGCUUUUGUGAUUACUUUUUGAGCGCAUGACCACUACCCUUGUGUUUGAUAAUUUACUGUGUUAUUUAGAGCUUAUUUUGAUUUGAAGCUGUUCACGAUUUAUCUUGAUUUGUAAUUGGACGAAAUUAUUUUUCUCUUGUAUUUCUACGAGAAUGACUGGAAUGUUAUCUUUAUAUAAAAAAAAGAAGGUAAGAAUAGCCCCCCUUCCAAUACAAUAAAUCUUAUCAAAUGCCCCAGUGGCUUCUAUGAUGUCUUCAUAUAAAAUCUUUCCAUCGUACUUUGGUAGAGAAAUGACUUCAGUUGUCUUGGUGCUAGUUCCACUGUUAAAUGGAACUUCUUUCUACAGAAAAUGAAGAAUAUUCCAAAGAAAAUAAACAGAAGAAUUGCUCCUAAUAAAGGAAACACAAUAGGAAACACUUUGCCUCCCGUCGGAAAGCUUUUCCCAUCUACCAUCGCUUGAUCACAGGGCUUAAGUCUGUCAUGGCCUGAACCCCGAGUACGCACACAUCCCUUAGCAUCGUCGACCCAUUCUUUUUAUCUUUCAAUUAAGCAUAUGCGGAAGUGAAUUAAAUAAACCCCCGGCCAACAAACAAACAUAGGGAUAAUAAAACACGGCAACCAUUGCCGAAAACAACAUAUUCAUUCAUCAACUGUUAACCCUAGGAAGUUUAAUACUUACAAGCCUUUCCAGGGCCACUUUCUAUUGACCCUCUCAAAAACCUACAAGACUAGGGUUAACCUAAACUUCACUAACGGCAGGGCUAGCCAAAAGGUGUCGCAUCUCACGCCCACCACAUCCGCACUACGGCCUUGAAAAUGUUUAACCACGACGGGUGAGAUAAAUCUCAACGAGUCAACAACCUAAGCCUCGACUAGGACGCAAAUUCGCCUCAGAGGCAGCCUAAACAGGCACCACAAACAAACUCACCUCGCCUCGGCACGUCCCUGCAUAUUAGCGCAUCACAUAUGCCAUUAUAAAUAGGACAAGCAUAAUUAAUAACUGGAACACACAAUUCUCAUUCUCCAAGCACUCACACGGGUCCCGAUUAUAAGGUAAAAUCAUUUUGGCACAUCCCAUAACAUGCCUAACAAUUUUACCCCAUAAUCAAGCAUAAAGCAUCACAAUCAUUUAGGCGUGUUCCGAUUAUUACGACCCAUCGGGCCACGACCAACACAAGUGUCGGUGGUCUUCCGGCGUAACCAGGCAUCGUCCCGCCCCAUCGGGCACAGCAACGUCUAGAACCCCCACCUAGAUGGCAUUCCAUAAAGGAGCAUUGGUUCGGCUUCUACCGCGAAUCGGCUUCCGGACCCCCGCCGGGCAUCCGAUAAAAAUCAGGCAUCAUCCCCAAACUCUCGUUGGGUGAUGGGUUCCAUUAAGUGACCAUGCAAGCACGUCAUCAGUCAAAUCAGCUUUUAUUUCUAUUUAGCCAAGAAAACCAAAAUCCAUUUUCAAAUAAUAAACCUUGCAACUCUUUCUUUUUUUUUUCAAAACUUUCCGAAAUAAAUUCGUACGGGGUCACGUAUUUGAAAUCAACCCGUCAAACUUUGCACGCGUCUAGUUUGAACCCUUACGGUUUUAUUGAGCACAUAAAACUUGGCGUCCAAACCCAACACCAUAUUUCUUUUCCAUUUCUUUGUCCAACCACCAUUUUUGGAAACAAUCUUUGGUAACCCCCUUUUUUUUUCUUUAAAACUUUUGGAAAGAAAUUCGUAGGUGUUUUCGUACUCAAAAUUAAUCCGUCAAACUUUGCAUGCACCUAGUUUAAAACCUCAUUGUUUUAUUGAGCAAAUAAGUUUUGGUGUACAAACCCGACACCUUAUUGUUUUUCUAUUUAAAAGCUUAUAAAGCAAUCUUUUGACAUAAAAAUUGGAACCAACAUAGAGCAACCGAUAUCAUAAUAUCACGCAUAAGUUCUCUGCAUGCCAAAAAUCAACCAAAACACAAAAUAUACAUUUUCCAGCAAGCAAGACACUAAGAAUAACCACAAGACCACAAUUGGCCCUCACCGGAAGAAACCGAGUCUACUCGAAUGUCUCCAAGAUUAAUUCCAUAAACAUAACCAAACGAGUUUAGAAAAUCAGGCAUGAUCUGCUCCGAUUUGUUGACGACAUACACCCUUGUCCAUCUCUUGAUUCGUCCAGAUCAACCAGUGCAAAACGCACAUUGUGAAUCCACGACGACCAGCUAUUGUUAUCCACCAUUUUCAGCUCAGUUUUUAAAUACAUUUUGCGCUGAUUGCAUUUAGUGAAACCUCUCAAGAGGCAAUGAAAAAGCUCACCAACCUAUAUGCCAACAAAUCCCGUUUUCGAGUAAUGUUUCUCAAGUACCAGUUGUUCACAAUUAAGCAUAAAUCGAGGUCGGUUUCCGAAUAUCUUCAAGAAUUAAAGGGUAUUGCCAAUGAACUCUCUAUUAUUGAUACACCCUUUCAAGAUGAUGAUAUUGUUAUACGUGCCUUACUUGGAAUUAGUCCUGAGUGUAAAGAAUUAGCGAUUGCAAUUCGCGCAAGAAAAAAUCCUAUUUCAUUUGAGGAAUUACACGACAAACUUGUUGCUUAUGAAACUUACCUUAAGCAUGAAGAAAAAGCUACAUAAUUCAUUCCUGUCACAGCUCAGUAUACUGCCAAUGAUCCAUCCAGGAUAACCAACGCAAGUGAGUAUCAAAGUCUUACUAGGGCCCUUCAAUAUCUCACUAUCACAAGACCUGACAUCGCAUUCUCUGUCAACAAAUUAUCCCAAUUCAUGCAACAUCCCACUACCACACAUUGGGCUGCUAUUAAGUGACUUUUUCGGUAUUUAAAAGGAAGCAUAUUUCAUGGGUUACAUCUAACCCGCUCCAUGACGUCUAUUCUUCGGGGGUUCUCCGAUGUUGAUUGGGUACCGAUGACUGAUCAUCCACCUCUGCAUUUGUCAUCCAUCCUAAUCCGGUGUCUUGGAGGGUGCAGAAACAACGCACAAUUGCCCAAUCUUCUACUGAAGCCGAGCACCGCACCGUUGCCACAACCACAACAAAAUUACAAUGGGUCUAGAACAUGCUGUUCGAACUUGGCAUCAAACCAAUCACCACUCCAACUCUGUACUGCCACAACAUUGGUGCCACAUAUGUAUGUGCAAAUCCGGUAUUUCACUCCUGAAUGAAACACAUUGCCAUAGAUUACUAUUUCAUUCGUGAUCUAGUUGCAAAUGGAGUUCUUUGCGUCUCCCACAUCUCAACCACAGAUCAACUUGCAGAUGCCCUCACAAAACCAUUAUCCAGACCUUGGUUAAGUUAUUUAUGACCCAAGAUUAUCGUCUUCGAUGGAAGCGCCAUCUUGCGGGGGUGUGUUAAGGAUGAUGACACAAAUUAGGGAAUCAAGAUCAAAUCAAAUCAGUCAAGUAAUUUUUUAAAUUUUUUAAAUUUUUCUUAAUUUUUUAAAUUUUUUAAAUUUUUCUUAUUUUUUUAAAUUUUUUGAAUACUUUAUAAUUUAAUUAAUUUUUAUAUUAUUAUUUACACGUAGACACGAAACGGCGUCGUUUUUGCGUUUUCUCCACCACGUCAGCGUGCAAAACGACGCCGUUUUGGACUAAACUCGUCGGAAAAUUGCCACAUCAGCCAUUUGGCCGGAUUUUCGCCGGAGUGGCACUUAAGUGUCCCAUUUUGCUCCGAUGAUGGCACUUAAGUGUACCAUUUUAAAGUUAUGGCACUUAAGUGUCCCGGCGUGCCAAGUUAUGGCACUCCAGGUGUCCUCACCUCGAGGUGAUGCAGAAUGAAGGAGGAGGCGUGAGCAAGAUGAAGAAAAACAUAAAGGAAAAAAAAAGAAAAAAAAGAAAAGAAAAGGAAAAUAAGUCCUUAGAGAAAAACACCCUUACCUGCAAAUAAGAUUUGGCUAACUUCUAAGUUGAGGCCUUUAUUUAAGACUAAAUUAGUCAUUUUAGACCCUCAUUUGAGAUAAUGCCUAUUUUGAGUUUUUCUUUGAAAAAAUAGUUCCACUUCAUUUUUUAUUUGAAAUUUUCCCUUAUUUUAUUAUACUCAAAAGUAAAAGAAUCUUUGUGAUCAUGAUUUAGGGUUUACCUAUUUGAAGAAAAACUAUUAUCAAAAUUGUUUUUCAACUUGUUGGGAUUAGAUGCCAGAAAACUAAUCAAAUGUAAAGUUUUUUCAUGAGGGAAAACCACUUCCACUUCUACUAAGAAGGAAAUCACUUUUCCUAAACCACUAAUUAAAUGAAAACUAACUGUUCUAGCUAAAAAUAAUUUUCACAAUUUUUUUUCUGUUAUCAUGAAGUUUUUCAAUGUAAUAAAUGGACCCUUAUUCAAUUAUUGAAAAAGAGUACGCUAUGAUUAUUUUGGAAUUUUGAAGUGCUCGAUAGCUCCAAUACAAAUAUGUCCGCACGUUACACAGAAUAAUGAUUUUGUUGUUGGAUUAUGAAUUUGUAUAGGUGGAUUAUAUCGAAAUGUAACGACCACCACUGGAAUCUAUCCAUAAUAAGAACUAAUUUUCCUUUUAUUUAUAAGCAAUGCGAUUCAUUUUUUCUUUAGUUUAUUGCAUUUACUAUUUUUGUAAUAAAUCAAAUUAGUGAGUACCAUUGCCUUGCUUUGAUUAAAAAAUCUAAUGACCACAAGAAAGUGAUGGACAUUUUUUUUUUUGGUUAUUUCUUUCCGUAUUCUAUUUUCCAUAACCAAGGGAAAAAUUACUGAGAAUAGAAACAUAAUUGGAUUGAAUACGAGUUGAGUCCAGUGGAGUUGUGUGUAGAUUGCUAAAAUUGUAUUAUGUAAAGAUGGAACUGUAUGACUUUAAGUGGGUCAAUUUGAAUCAAACUCAUUUUUUAUCUGAUUGAACCUCACCCAACAAUCUGACAAGUCUAUAUAAAGGUCGUAUGAUCAUCAAUUGUAUGGGAAAAACACAAGAUAUACUUAAGAGAAAGGGCAGAGAGAAGCAUAAUCAAUACUUAAAUUAUAAGUUUGAGACUUUUUGGUGUCGCAAAAAGAGUCUAAAGUAAAUAUAUUACAAUGAGCAUAAUUUUGGGUUUUUGGUGGUUUUUUCCUCUCUUUUUUCAAGAUAUACCCUUACCAUAGCUGUUAAAUCAAGAUACCUAUUGUGAAUCGAGAUCUUGAAAUUACUCGGGAUCUAAUCGAGUCGUAAGGUUCAGUCAAGUAUCUAAAAUUGGUAUUUCAAGACAAUUACGAGUUUUAUUAAUAAUACUAUAAAAUAAGAACGUUCAAUGACAUUAUUAUAAAUAUGAGCUUAAAGAAAGAGAAUUUCAAAUAAACAAGAGAGGCCCAGCCCAGUAUACUUCCUCAGCCCAAAUUUGCUUCGAAAGUCUUCUCCUUCCUUUCCUCUUGCUGUUGCAUUCUUCCAUAGAAGAGAAAGGAGAAAGCAGAGCCUUGAGGAACCGAGACAAAAAGAGGGGGAAAUCGCAGUGGUUGGUCGGAAAACAUUAAAUUAAUGCCAGAAUACGCCUUUUGCAUGUGAUUGGUAAGCGUUUCCUUGUUGUUUUCUUUCCUCUUGCAAGUUAGUUCAUGUUCGAGGAGUUAAUGUCGUAGCCCUGGCCAUGUUGACUUCGCCGGUGACACUUCGACGGAAAAAUGUCGCUUGGAUCUCAAAGAGGAUACUAAAAAAAUAAGAAUCAAUAACUUAGCAGAUGCAAUUUGUCAAGCUUCUUGGAAUAAAACCCGAACAUUGAGCCUAGCGGAGAAAUACAUAUUUCUGGUCUGUCACGUUACUGAAAGAAGAAGGAACCGGACAAGUGAGCUGAUUUUCGCUCCGCUCAAAGUCAAGCCUGAAGGUUUUCUAUUUCAUUAGGAAUGUUACUGGAAAGCUGGUUACCCAAAAGAGAAACCAAAGGGUAAGCUCUGUCAAGUUGCCUAAAGAUGGCAAGAUUGAAACGGUGAGAUUAUUAUUGUAAAGGCUCGACCAUUGAAGAAAUUUCAAAUUCUCUAGCUCUGGUUGGAUGGAACCUGUAGGUUCAUUAUCAAGUAGGAAGUGCACUUGGUGGAGUGACGUAAGACGGUGAAAAUGGCUGAGGAGCUAGAAGCUUUAUGACUAUCUUCAAACUAGAUGUCAGUAACUUGAGGGAUUUAAAUGGUGCUACUCCAUUUUCACGAUCUUGGAGUGUAAGGUAGUAACUUUGGGAGCUAGAAGCAUUAUGACUCUUGAAACUAGUCUGCCUUCAUGCACUUGAAGUAUAAGAUAGUAAUAGAACAUAACUUGCACUCUUUCAGAAACAAAGCAUUGUAUUAUAUAAUCUCCACUCGAGAUAAAAAGAUGAUCAAUGAUCUUCGUAAUUUAAGCACUUUUACAUGGUAUUGGAACUAGUGCUAUAUCUUUUACAAGAGUAUGUUUAUGUAAGAUCGUGCGUGUUGAAAUAUCAUCUCAUACCACUUAAUGACAUUUAAUAAACAAGGUUGAUGGCCACGGUUAGAACGUUUAGUUUCUGAUUGAACGCACUCUGAAAAGAUGCAUGAUUGAAACUCUUCUGCAUGUCAGAGGAUUUUAUAUCUACACAAAUCCACAAUGAACCUUAUAAAAGGAGUAACAAAGGACAAGAUUUCAGAGACUUAAUAUAAAUAUUCCAUUGCAACUUUUUUUCUCUCGAGAUGAUGACAUCAGAUACACAAGCAACUUUACACUGACGAAAGUCAUAUUUUCUAACCCUAACUAGACAUGGAUACAUAACUUUUGCUGCGACGGCACUAGUCUGAAUAAGACUAGAUACAUAAACAGUACGAAAUAUCUCGAGUUCAGCUGUUCUUUCUACAAAUGAAACUAGAUGCUAGUAACUUCAGGUUUUGCUCCUUCCAAAAGAAAAGGCAGUUCUAUGCUUACUUGGGCAUGGAGGACACGUAGUUCUCAUCCUCAUGCUGGUGCGCGCUAAACACGUAACUUUGCUUCCGGUCAAAAUAUUUCUCCUAAAUGCAAAUUAAGUUCAAAAAAUAGUGAGCGAAACAAAAAAUUAGAAAAGUCUAAAGCUUAAUUUAUCAGUUUAAACGUGUUUUUCAUUAAAGACCAGACCUUCCUGCAUGUGGUUGAUAGAGCAAAAUCGUUUAUUAGGCGAUAUCUUCUUCAGAUUGAUCCAGUUCACGGCUUGAAUUUGUUGCAUCUCUCACAGGAUCAGUGGGCUUCUGUGCUUUUUUAACUCCAUCGAAAAUGGUCGAACGAGCAGAUAGUACAUGAGAAAUCAUUUCCGUCGACGGCCUGAGUUGGGGAUUAGCAGAUACGCAAGCGACUGCAAGCUUAAGGAUGGUCAGAAGUUCAUCCUCAAUGCCUGGCGUGGGCGAUGGCAGGCGUGAAUCCAAUAUAUCCUUCAAACCUACUGAGAUUUCCAUGUCGACCAGAGCUAAUAGAGAUGAAAGGCUCUCACCUGGAUGUCCUCCUUUGAUCACCUCAAUGGCCACUAUUCCAAAGCUAUACACAUCGCAUUUCUCCGUCACCUUCAUUGUGUAAGCAAGCUCUGCACAAAGGAGAUAUAUGUGUUAGCACAAAGACAUUGCUUUAGCUAAACCGUUAGAUCAAGAGUUGAUUUUAGAAAUUAACCUGGAGCUACGUAACCAUAUGUGCCGACGACUGCACUCCAGUUUGAUGUGUCCAACUUAAGAAGCUUAGCUGUGCCGAAGUCAGAAACAUGUGCCUCGUACUCCGAAUCAAGUAGAAUGUUGUUACUGGAAAUAUCUCGAUGAACGAUUGGAGUGAUACAAUCAUGGUGCAUAUAAGAUAAAGCAUGAGCCAUGCCUUUUACUAUAUUCACCCUCUUGUUCCAGUCCAACUCUUUAGCUUCUUUUUCAUUGCUCAAGAUUGUAGACAAGCUUCCUCUGUCAAAGUACUCAUACACCAAGAAUGAGUGUUGUGGAUGCGAACAAAAGCCCACAAGUUUCACAAUAUUGCGGUGUCGAAUUUCCGUCAAUGCCCUAAUCUCAUUCAAAAAUUCCUUUUGAUAUGUUUGCCCACUAUUAGCCGUUUGAUGGAGCUUCUUUACGGCUACUAUAUCACCAGAUCUUAAUUUGGCCUUGAAGACACUUCCAUAGCCUCCCCUUCCAAUACAAAAAAUCUCAUUAAAAGCCCCAGUGGCUUCCAUGAUGUCUUCAUAUGAAAUCAUUCCAUCGUACUUUGAUAGAGAAAAGACUUCAAUUGUCUUGGGUGCUAGUUCCAUUGUUGGAUGGAGCUUCUUUCUAUGGAAAAUGAAGAAUAUUCCAAAGAAAAUAAACAGAAGAAUUACUCCUAGCAAUGGGAACACAAUAAGAAACACUCCACCUCCUGCUGGAGAGCUUUCCCUAUCAACCACCGCUUGAUCACAGGGCUCAAGUCCUUCAAUAUUUCCACACAAUCCAUUGUUACCUUGAAAUGAUUCUUUUGUUGCAUUUUGGAAUGCCGUGGUGUUGGGGAUGGGACCCUCAAACUUGUUGUAAGAGAUGUCCACCUCCACCAAACCUCGCAUAUCCUUGAAAGUCUUGUAUAUUAGGCCAGAAAGAUUAUUGUGUGAAAGGUUGAGUUUCUCUAGGCUUUGCAGCAUGUUGAAUUCCGCUGGGACCCCACCACUUAACAAGUUAUGACUCAAGUCUAGCUCGGAUAGGUGAAUCAGCAUCCCUAAUUGCCUUGGAAUAUCUUGGCUUAACUGGUUGUUGCUCAGAUACAAGUGGGUCAAUUUUGAAGAAUUCCCAAUAGUCUGCGGGAUAGACAUGCUUAAUCUAUUCAUGGACAAAUCCAAUUUUAGAAGACUAGGUAGUGAUACAAUCUCAGGACUUAUUUGGCCUAAAAAUUGGUUCCUGCUUAGAUUCAAUUUCUCCAGAGAAGUCAAUUUUCCAAAUUCUUUCGGAACCUCACCAAGUAAACCAUUGAAAGAAAGAUCAAUUUCACCCAAUCGAGUCGCGUUCCCAAUCUCAGGAGGCAAGUUACCAGUGAUGUUAUUUCCAGCAAUUCUUAGAUGAGUUAAGCACAUGCAACUUCCCCAGUUUGUUGAGAUUUCUCCAAAGAACUUAUUGAAACUCAUGUCGAUAAAGUACAAUUUGGGGUAGACACCAAAGGUCUUGGAUAUGUUUCCAGUGAGUUGGUUUUCCUCUAGGCGUACUCUGACUAGGCUUGUGCAAUUUCUCAAGCUUAUAGGGAUAGAACCGGUUAAGUUAUUGUGACUCAGUGUAAAGUUUUGGAGCGAGCCACCUUGGCACAAGUUUUUUGGUAAGGAGCCGUUUAACUGGUUGGUAUCCAACUGUAGCACCACCAAGUUCACUAGAUCACCUAAGGAUUCAGGAAUUGAACUAGAAAGGUGAUUCUCGCGAAGGAACAAAGAUCUCAGGUUGGUCAAGUUACCCAGACAAGAAGGAAUUGGGCCAAUAAGCUGGUUUGUACUUAGCUCUAAGUCAAACAUAGUGUGGAGAUUUCCUAUCUCAUCAGGAAUGUGCCCCGAAAGCUGGUUACCAUAGAGAUAAAGAAGGGCGAGUUUUGUCAAAUUGCCUAAUGUUGGUGGGAUUGAACCGAUAAGAUUAUUAUCAUUAAGGCACAACUCGCUAAGAAGAUUCGAUUUUCCUAGCUCCAGUGGGAUGGAACCAGUAAGCUCAUUAGCAAAUAGGUGUAGCUCUAUCAAUUUGGUUAAGUUCCCCAAAGUGGAAGGAAUAGGUCCUGUGAGGAGGUUGGUGUCCAUGUGGAGCACUUCCAGAUUUGUCAUACUUCCCAUUUCAGGAGGAAUAUAACCAGAAAGGGAGUUGUUGUAGACAUACAAUGUAGCCAAUUUGCUCAAAUUACCUAAUGAGGAAGGUAUGGGUCCAUUCAACUGAUUCGAAUAUAGCGCGACCUCGGUGAGCAAAUGCAAUUGCCCGAUUUCUUGGGGAAUGGAGCCAUUUAACUCAUUGGAAACCAGGUGUAGGAUUGUUAGUCUAGUUAGAUGGCUGAUCUCCGACGGUAUUUUCCCCAUGAACCGAUUGAUAGAGAGGUCGAGAUAGGUGAGAUUGCUCAAUAGACCGAUUUGAGGCGGAAUAUAGCCAGAGAGACUAUUUAUACUCAGGUCCAUGUACAUGAGAUGAGACAAAGAUGAGAAUGGGAAUUCGUCGAGCGUACCUUGGACAUAGGCGCUAGUGAGAUUUAACCUAAUCACACUCCCUGCUUGAUUGCAAGAGAUGCCAUACCAAGCACAUGGACUCAUGGUUGAGUUGGAACCAGUGGCAUUAUGAGGAGAGGGAGUCCACGAGGAGAGAGAAGAAUCUGAAUGGUUGCCAAGAUUGGACUUCCACUUGAGGAGGGCUUGGGCUUCUAUAGGGGAAGCAUGAGCAAGAAGUGGAACGGUAAAGGUAGUGAAAAGGGCAAGGGCAGCUACAAGGCUCAUGAACCUCUUGAAUUCUGGUGAAGAAUUCAUGGAUUCUUCUUCUCUUUCUCCUGUUUUGGUUCGGGUAAGUUGGUUUGUCUUUCCCUGAGGCAAUGAGCAAUGCUUAAAUAGGCCGUGAAAACUCACCUUCCUAAUCAUUUUCCAUGGUAAUGGGUAUGCAAUAAAACAGGGACUAACCAGUGGAGACUAAGAAGAGGUACGUUUAUUUGUUUUGUACCCCGUAGGGGACCAGGGGUAGCCAUCUAACAGCCGACUAAGACGAAUUUUUGGUUCUUUGAAGACUCUGGAAUUGGUUACUUUUUGUAGUCUUCGUAGUGACAUUUUUGACUUGGUCAGUCCUCUUUUCGGAAUUGAGCCCACCCAUUAUAUGACUUCGGAGACUUUGACUUUGACUAGAAGUCUUCGAGGAAAGAGGCAAAGUCAGUCAAGGCCUCGCGUAUGGUUUGGGAACACUCAACUUUCCACAAGAUCAGACCCUAAUCUGUGCCGCACAAAAUUUUGAUUUUAAAGCGCAAAAGGAAAGUCUUCUCACUUGGCAUUCAUGAAAAAAAAUCUUGACGCGGUCGACCCCGUUAUUGCAGAAACGCCAGCUGAUGAUCUAGCCAAAUGGCCCCCGAGAGCAUGGUUAAAAUAAAAGAAAAAAAAAAAAUCUAACGACAUAUUUGAAGUGGAAAAUUGCUAAAAAUUGGAGCUUGGGUUGAAAUGGGUAUGAUUUGGGUCCAAGUGAGAUCAAGUGCAAGCUACCAAAAUUUUAUUACAAAAAUAUGGGUCGGUAUGUGUUAUAUUGGUCAAAGUGAAUUGGAUCCUUUUCUACCCAUUUGUACUAGAUCUGAUCCUUUACUAGGAAUAACACCUGAGAAAUCUAAAAGGUUAUUUAUAUCAAUUGAUGGAAGAGCAAAUAUUCACUAAGAACUUAAAACUUGUCCAUUAUGAAUAUUUUCUCCAAAAUUCAAUCAACUAUUAUACAAAUUUAAGGACAAAGUACAAAAACAAUACAAAAAUUUUAUGUGCUCAAUGUGGAAAAAAUUACAAAUCAUUCAAAACUUUCACUAAUCACCAAGAAUAGCAGAAAAUAUAGUAGUUCAUCUCUAGUCACACAGCUAGAGAAUGACCAUAUCGACGAUACAACAAUAUAUCAUUUAUAGAUUAACAAAAGAAGCAAGAAAACUCAUAAAUUGAAAGACAAAUUGGAGAAGGGUCUCAAUGAUGAACUUGAUCUCACAAACAAUAUACUAAAAACUGCCUCUUCUCCUUCGAACCUUGGUCUCUCCCCCUCUUUUAUUUCUCUUUUUGUUUGAACACUCCUUUUUCUCUUUUCACUAUAAAAAACAUUCCACCCUCAUUCUUAUUUCUUUCUCUUUAAAGAUGUGCUGGGCCCCAUGAGGCGGACCCAGCCCAUCGUCAAGUAGGAAGUACACCUGUUGGAACGACUCAGACUGAAAAUGGCUAUGACUAUCUUGAAGCCUUGUGCAUACAUGGCCAUUUUUCUCUUUUGGUCUGGAAGUCGUUUUUUCUCAGGUUCAAGACGAUUCCUCGAUCUUAUUUUCCUGUGAUUUUCCUAUUUGACAAUGAAAAUGCAUCAGCAAGUAUUAACUCGUGGAACGCAUAUUGGUAUUGAAAAUGUUGACAAUUCCCACCGGGUGGUUCUCUCUUGACAUUGCAUAUUUCUUGUUGUCUUUCUUCUAAGUAGUACGAUCGACAAUUGAGAUGAAUUGACACAACUACUUGAGAAGGUUGGGAGCACAUAACUCAUUGUCUCACUACACUUUGAACCGAAAAUGUCACGCUCCGAUCCUCCGAGCGCGUGCCUAUCCCUCGGUGGUCGAUUAAAUAGCGAUGUCCCAUGACGCGUCGCCGACUCCCGAAUGGGGCCUUCUUUGGGUCUAUCUUGCCCGUAAGGACACCAUGAUCUGAAUUGAUUGGGUCCUUAUGGGAUAGAUCCACAUCAACCUAGACAAUGGAUCUCACGAGUUCGUAGACCUAGGCUCCUUGGCUCCUAAGGAGAGGAAUAUGAGAGAUCUAUUCAGUGACCUUCUUCAGUUGGCCAAAACGCUCAGGAGGUACAGCCAUUUAAGGACUUGUAAAUGUUAGCCCAUGACGGGGUGAGAUGAUGUCUGAGCAAGUUCACCCCUAAACUCCAACUAGGAAGGAAAUAUGCCAAAUGAUACCUAUACACACACGAGAUAGAUGACUUACCUUUGCCUUAGUUAUGACUUACAUUUGCCUUAGUUCAUUUCUACAAGUCAGUACAUUUCAUAAACCUCAACUAAUCAAUCAGUCCAAUCGAUUCAAUACCAUCGAUACCAUCUAUCGAUCAACCCAAUCAAUACUAUCUAUCAAAUUGUUUCAUCAAAAUGAUCACUGCUCACCUAAGCUGAUAUACAAUAAGUGCUCGCUUAAGCUGAUAUAGAUAGAUAGUAUAGCUCACUGAAGCUGAUAUAUGCUUACCGAAGCUUAUAUAUGCUCAUCGAAGUUGAUAUAUGCUCACUGAAGCUGUUAUAUGCUCACCGAAGUUGUUAUAAGUAUAUUAUUCUCAUCAAUUGACAAUUUCAUCGUUUUUAUAAUACCUAGUAAAAAUAAUCAUGUGUAGAUACACGGUAGGCUUGAGCCAAAAAUAUAAUACAUUUAUUUUAUAAAAUCCCACUAAUUAUAUAGUCUAAAAAAAUAUUUUUGGCGAUGUAGACCGAAGCCUGGUAAUUUUCUAAUUAAAUACUAAAAUUAUUAAAUUUUGUGAUAAAUACUCAAAAUUACAAUUAACACUUAAUUUGCACAAUUUAGCACUCAAUUAAAUAAACCACGCAUACCAUUGCGAUCAGCACGGAAUUCCGAUCACCGACUAUCUCGGUAUAAUUUCCGAAAAAUAAUAGAUAAUUAAAUAAUCACCGAAAUUUAUUAAAUAAAUACCAAUAAAUACCAAAAAGCAAACUUAGGUCGGAAAAGCCUAGUUAAAUACUGAAACGGGCCCGGAAAAUUUCUGAACCUAUCUAAAUAAAUAAUACAACCUAUCUAGUCGCUAAUUAUGCUAUUCUAACCACCUAACAUGCAAUAAUGAGUAAGUAAAUUGCUAAUCCGUUCUAACUAACCAUCUAAUCCCUAAUUAGCCUAAACUAAUCAAUUUUUAAUCAUCAUUAACUCCCUAAGUGGAGAUUAUUGAGUAAACUCACUAGUUUUGAAAUUCGAUGAGUUCACGGCGAUGGCGUUGCGGAGACAAGUGACAAACUAUGAGGCUUGGAAGCAGUCCAAAGUGGGCCUCGAAGCCCACGGUGGUUUGCUGGGUUUCGGCUUCUGUUGUUGGGUCAAAGGGGCUGCUUGGACGGCUAGCUUAGGCUAGAAAUGGCAUGGGAUAGGUGACGAGCUGCAGCAGGGCUUGGCCGUGCUUGAUUGCGGCAGGCGGCGAUUGGAUGGCUACCAUGAUGGCUCAGAUGAGCUGGACAAAAGCUCGAUGGCGGUCUAGGGCAUGACAGGAGGCACAGGACGCGAGCGGGAGGAUGGCGCUGCUUUGGGUGCGCAACAGUGCCCGACGGUGCUCCAGUGGUUGGCAGGUGGUUGACGGACAAGUGGGUGGGGCAUUGCUCGGUUCUCUGCAAUUCUUGAGCUCUAAAGUGGAUGUUAAUAGAGAAAGCAAGCUAGAGGAAGAAGAAAGGGGACAACCAAGUAGGAGGGGGGCACUAGGGGUGAGCGCAAUUCCUGGUUCUUCAGGGACCGGUUCUGGUUCCUGAUUCCCCUUUUUUGGAAUUGGCGGUUCCCGGUUAGGGCUAAAAGGAAGCCCCAACUGACUUGCACUUUCACCGUUUCACAUACGACACUUUCCGAUUCACAGUUCUCUCUUUGCCCAUUUGACGCCACCGUCGCUCGCCCUCGACGCCACCGCUCACUGACCUCUGCUCGAUGCCAUUGUUGCUCGCCUGAAUGAGGUGAUUGAGAUUUGGGAGUGUCGCGACGGCGCGUGAGAUUUGGGGGUUUUUGGUUGUUUCUGCUGCUGCUGUGCGUUCGAGUGGUGGGGGUGGAGGUGAGGGUCGUGGUUCGCCUAGUCCAGCGUGGGUCGCACGUCGCGUGUGAGCGCAUAUUGUUUUUUAGAUCGGCUUUUGGGAUUGGUGUGUGUGUGUGUGUGUGUGUGUGUGUGUGUGUGUGUGUGUGUGUUGCUCGGUUGUCCGUGGAUUUGAAUGGAGGAAGCUGACGGGAGUGUCGAUUCUUGUGCUCUGCAGAUCUGCUGGGAAUGCAGAGACAAACUAGGUAUAUGGAGAGGAAAAAUUCGAUGAAUAAUCGAGGGAAGAGGAGCUUGGAGGGUGAAGAUGACUAGCAGCAGAGGAUAUGGUCUGCUCUCGCCAGGUAUGGCAGUCCCCACCCCCAAUUGGUAGCUCUUUUGUGAAAUGUGGUUUGUGUCUUUUGUUCGGCAUACCCAGUCUUCUUGUGCAAGAUUGUACUUUGAGAAGGUCUUGCGUGGUGGUUGUGAAGCACACUUAGAAAUUCUGCUUUUUUCUUCGCAGCAAGUUGAAAUGAACGUUCUUGUAAUGGGAUUUUCACCAAUUGCUACUUUUCUAGGCUGAAGCAAUAAGGCUUUUCCCCACUUUAAAUGGCAUGUCGAGCCUAUCCUAACACGUCUUUCUCCCCUUCCUUCUCCUCCUCUGUGAAUUAAGUUAAUUUUGUGAUAUUCUGACUAGUGUAAUCCUGUGAAAUUUGCGAAUUUUAUUGAAAUUCUAGCAACCUUUGGUGAACAAAAUGUUUAGCUAUGCUUUAUAUUUGCUAGUUGUGGGCUGUAGGUUCUGCAUUCAACUCUAUCUUUUGUUGUAUGAAGCAAAAGACAAGGUUUUUGGACCAAGAACUCCGGAUGAAAGUCAAAUUGAAUUGGAUAGCAGGAAAGACCAGAUCUCUAGUAACAUUGCCGAGAGAUAUUCAUGUAGCUCCACCUGAAAGAUUUGUUACUAAAGUUGCUAAAGUCAUUAGAAGCUGUAAAACAAUGAGGGAUAUGGAUUUAUUUUGGUGUAGGGUUGUUGCUGAGGUAAGGCUUGACUUUGUGAAGUGAACCGCUGGACUUUGUGAAAGAGAAAUAGUUUACAUUCUAGAAUAUUAAAUGCUUAUUAGUAUUAUAGAUUGUGUUAUAGUUAUAUUCUCUUUGAUGAAUGACAAGUUUGUUUAUUAUUGCUGCAUUCAUUUCCAUUUUUUUUAACUAAAAAUGAAAAAAAAAAAAAGAACCUGUUGGAACUUGGAACCGACCCCGGAACCUGUAACAGGGUAGGUUCUAAGUUUUUGGUUCCGACGGGUAGGUUCCAGGUUCCAAAAAAUGAGCAACCUGUACCCGAGGGUAGGUUCCAGGUUCCAGGCGGAACCUGUAAAGUACUUGGAACCGCUCACCCCUAGGGGCAACACCUCUUCUAUUCUAUCCCUUUGUCUCUUGAAGAGGUCCCACCAUGGCUGGCUGGCUUCCUCAGCACAAUUGCAUACCAUAAAGCUUCCCUUAGAAGCCAAUGAAGUGGUCCAAAGGGGCUACAAAUUUACUACAUUUUCUUUCAAAUCCACUUCAAUUCCUCUUGAAUUGAUUCAAUUCGGCUACCAUAAAUUCAACCAAGGUAUCCUCAACCCAAUUGACAUUUUUUCUUGCCAAUAGAACCAAUUUGCAUAGAAAAUGCGAUAAAAAACGGCCCUCUAAAUUUUCCGGUUGAAAAUGCCCUUACUUUGAAUUUCUGCCAAAAAUCUUGGUUUGUGGAAAAAUCUUCAUAGGAUGACUCGACGUUCCUAAAAUGACUCGUGACAUGACAACUUUCAAUUUCGGAAAUCGGAUUCAAAUUCACAGUUAAUUUCAAUCUGCCACGAUUUUAGCGUAACCUAGUCGAUCGGGUAGCUUUCAGGAAUUUUUAGUGCAAUUGACCCGUGAUUGAUUAUUUUUAAGCUACAACGUACAUCUUUGACAUAUUGGCGACUCUCGAUGGUAGUGAAAAUCUCGAGAUUUCAAAUGCGGGCACAAUGUACCAAAAUGACAGAAAAUCGGUCUAGUGCCGAUCGAUGAGAAUUUUGCAAUUUAAUGGAAUCACCCACACUUUGAUCACCUAUCUCAAUCAAACCGACCUAUCUCCGAUCCCUGAUUGAUUUUUAACUAUGCUGUAAUAAUCUCUGCUGAUGAGCACGGUCGAGUAGUCGAUUCCCGAUCGAAUUCUCAAGUCUUAUUGCCUUAAAAUCUCUUAAUGGCUUCCCUCAAUAAUCUAUUUAUCUCAUGAGUGAUCAGCUCAGAGAAUAGCACUAUAGGCGCGUCGAUGAAAAUCCCGAUUUAUUUAAUUGAAAACAAAAUUGGAAUUUCAAGGUGUCACACCAACGUGGCGGGUUGCUGCCCGGUCAUGCCGGAAGACCGCCGGCACUUGUGUGGGCCGUGGCUCGAGGGGUUGUAAUAAUUGGAACACGUGUGUCGACAAUGAUCAUGAAAUUCUAGUAUGUGUUCUGAUUGUUAUCUAUGCACAUUACACUAUUAUUGUUGUGCGAGACGCGCUAAUAUGUAGGGGUGUGCUGAGGCAAUGUGAGUUUAUGUGUGGCACGUGCUUAGGCUACCUUUGAAGCGAAUUCGUGUCCUAAUCGAGACUUAGGGAUUUAACUCGCUAAGAUUUUUAUCUCACCCCGUCGUUGUAAAAUAUUUUUAGGUCCAUAGUAUGUAGGGGUGUGCAUGGUUCGGGCGGGCGGUUCCUGACCUAGAACUAGGAAUCGCCCGCUAAGGACCGGUUCCAAUUUUUCGGAACCGAGAUUCACCCGUUAGUUGCAUGGAUCCACCCGAAAAACGGACCGGACUAAAACAAUUUUGGUUUUCGACUGAAAUUGCUAGUUCUUUGCUCGACCUAUUCUUCUUCUCCUCCUCCUACAACCCUGCUUCUUUGCAUGCUUUCUUUUUGCCCACUCACUACUCGGCGUUUUGUUAAGGACUCAAGGUGCACUUUGGAUUUUUUUAGCUUUUGGACCUCUCCAUUUGGUUUGACUAGAGAUUACCCAGCCCUGCUUCUUCACGAUCUUGACUUAAUUUUUUUAGUUAUUUGAUUUGGGUUUAUUAAUUAGUAAUUUCAAUUUUUUUAAUAUUAAAAAUUAAUAUAUUAUUUUAAUAUAAUCGGUCUAGUCUGGGUGGGUGGGUGGACAGAUCUGCCCAUGAAACUGGGAACUAGACUGGUACCCACCGGUUCCCAUAAAUUAGAAUUGGGAACCGGACUGGUUCCCUCAAGAACCACUGGUUCUAGGCGGUUCUGGUCUGAUUCCGGGCUGUUCGAGUGGGUUCCGAUUCUUUUGCACACCCCUAAUAGUAUGGAGUGUUGCCCUUUGCGUUUUGGGGUCCCUUGGGACAUGGAGGUAGAGACCACUCUAUAUCCUAUUCCUAGGACCGACCAAUUUCGUGAGCUGGUGGUUAUGAUAGUGUGGGUAGAUGAGGGCUUUGUACAUGUGGUGCCCCAUAAUUUUAAGGCAUGAUUCAUUAGGGAGGCAAAUGGCGAUCGGAUUGGUCCCCUGAAUGGUUUUCUUGGAAAUGUGGAUUGGCAAGUAGGCAAUCCCAUGGAUAUCGACAUCUCUAAUGAUGUUGUGGUGAAUCAAGAUUUCGAGCCGGAGGGGCCCGAGGAGCCAUGCUCGCUUGACCAUGUGCACGACUUUGCACCCGGAUACUAGGACGAAUGUUUGGAGUUUGUGUAGCUGGAAGUUAACCUUGACCUUCUAACCCUUUUUGGUUAUAGGUCGCAUAGGAGUUUCGUUUUGUGGUAGGCUUGUAUAUAUUAAACUCCUUGGGUUAACUUGUAAAUAAAUAAAUCAUGGUUUUUGGGAAAUCGUCAUUGUGUUUUACUAUUCCUAUUGUUGUUGAUUGACUGAGUGUUUAAUUUAGUCGCUUCCGCAUGUGUAUAAUCGAAAGAUAAAAAGAAUGGGUCGACGACGUGUCUUGAGAUCUCGCAUUUUUAAUCGACCACUGAGGGAUGUUCGCGUACUUGGGUUUAGGGCGUGACACAUUGCUUAAUUUUUUUUUCUCUCUAAUCUUGUUUGGAUGAAUGGAUUUCAUGUUGGGAAGCAACUAAACUGAUGAAAAUAAUAAUGUUAGUGAUUAAGAUGAGAUGAGCAAUUCAAUUGAAGAUGCUAGUGAUGAAUGAGUCAAGACACCAAGAAAUCCUAAGUUAGUAGCGAUGAAAACUAAUGUUUUUAGGCCACUAGAGAGUCCUUUUAAAGCAAUGAAUCGAGUGGAACGAACGAGAAAUCACAAUGCACAAUGAUAUUUGUUAUUAGUUGCAAAGCCAAUAUUUCAAAUGUUUUUCAUCUUUGGAAUUUAAUAAAUCUUUUUAAUGACAUUAAUGAUUUCUUUUUAACUUAAUAAUAAUACUUGUUUCACUUGUGAUUAUUUAUUUGGGUUAAUACCCAGAAAAACCUCAAACUGGUACACUUGUGAUAAAUUUACCUCAAACUAUUUUUUUGACCACAAAAAACCCCAAACUUGUAUACUUUGAUAAAUUUACUCCAAAACGGUACACUUGUGACAAAUUUACCAUUUAUUAGUUUUCGUUAAAUUUUACUGUCAAAUUAUUAAGUUAAAUGACACGUGACAGUUGACUAAUAUACUAAUUUGGGAUUUUACGCUUCGUUUGUUACAGUUUAUAAUUUUUGUGAUUUUUUUGUGGUAUUAAUUUAAUUUAAUAGAGGGUAUAUUUGUUACAAAUUUAUCAAUUUGGAGUUUUUUGCGGUCGAAUAAAUUAGUUUGGGAUAAGAUUUGUCAUAAAUGUACCAGUUUAUGAUUUUUUUUUUUUUUGUCAGUCGAGGUAAAUUUGUCACAUGUAUACUAGUUUGAGACUUUUCAUGGUUAAAAAAAUAGUUUGGGGUAAAUUUGUUACAAGUGUACUAAUUUUAGAUUUUUUAGGGUAUCAACCCUAUUUAUUUUGUGGUAUGUAAUUUUUUUUUCUUUUUCAAAUUCAAGGGUUUUAACUUACUGGGAUAUUUAGAGUUUCCCCGUUCAGAUAGGUGCUUUUUGGGCCUUUAUAAAUCUUCUAAUCCUAAAUUAAGCCAAGAGCAAAUGGAAAUGAUAUAAAGUUAAAAAAAAAACAAACAAACAAACAAAUAAGAAAUCGGUCACGGGAUUAUCCUGUUUUCCUCCAUUAAAAGCUGUGGCUGGUAUUAGACGGUUAGAAAAUUAAAAUUACGAUACCGAUAAGAUGGCCGAGCUCAUUGAAAUUAUAUGUCAGAUGUGGACACUUGGAUUUAUUGCUCCGACAUCACAUGUGAUGCGAAGGCCCCAACCAAUGCCCGGACGCUUUCCUCAUAUAAUUCCUGCCGUACACCAAUUUGGCGCACCACAAUUUCCAGCAGAUACAUUCAAUAAGGGCUUCAUGGCGCACUUUCGGUCCCAUCCCAUAUUCCAUAUCGCCCUGAAUCUUCACAAAACCACCAUAUUUACGUUAAUCCAUCACUUUCAGAUCCGAGGAGACCCUGGUAAAGAAUCGAGAGAAAAGGAAGUAGCGCAUGGGCGCGGAAGUCCGAACACUUAAUAAGAUCAAUUGUGCUAUAUCUUUUUACAAGAUUGCUAAUGCCGUGACUUUUCAUCGCCGUUGCAUGUCAGAAUCUCGCAACUAAUGCAAUGGCCGAGAGUAAGGCCAACGAAUCGAACCCAUUUUCUGGAAACUUCGUCAAGACCCAAAAAAAAUUGCCAAAUUCGGACACCCACCGCUGUAAGAAUAUAAACAGAUUGUGCUUAUAUCAAGACUGUGUUUCAUCCGGUUAAGCUUAUAUCAAACUUGAUUGUUUUAAUUCAGCAAUAUUUAUCAAGUUCAUUGAAAUCAGCUGUUCAUCCCACUAGGUAAUACCGUUAGCCAACAUUAGUUAGCAUAACAAAAGGACACUAGUUAGAGAAUUAGUGUAAUCAAGUAUCCAAUCUCUAUCUCUAGUUGCGUAAAAUUAUUUUUCCAGUUGCCUCCUAGACAGCCUCAAUAGACUAGUGAUGACCCCAAAUUGUAAUCUUGCCCCAGUUUUGGCCUCAUUCUUGCAGAAACGACAGCUGAUGAUUGAGCUAAUGAGUCUGGACCACACCCACUUGCAAACUCACAUCAAUUGAAAGGAAAAUUGAAGAGGAGAAAUCAAAAUUGUCUUUAGCCCACUUGUUCCAGUCUUUUCUCACAAACAAUAAUGUGGCUGUGGAGGCUUGCAUUUAUCGGUAUUUCUUGAUUAUCAAGUUGAUCAUCAUUGCCGGUGUUGCGAUGAGGCGAGCGAUCGAAUAAAAUAUAGACGGAAGAAAAAAAAAAUCGGACACCGGAUUUACGUGAUUCAAUUGUAAAGACCUACAUCCACGAGGAGAACAGCAGCGAAUUUCACUAUAGAUCAAGCGAUACAAGGAGAUUACACACUCAAGUCACUCAAACACUCUCUCAGUGUUUCCCAAACCCUAAUUUAAUCCCAAACCCAACUCACGGCACAAAAUUACCACGCGUUCAAGCUCCAAAUACAACGCUCUACGUAUGCCUGAUUUGCGUACACACAAAAUCCUGUAUUUCUUUGAGCUUCGCGCGACUUUGAGCGAUCGGUGAAUGUGCGGCUUCUUGGAUCGUCGAACGUUUGUGGCUUCGUAGGGUUUAUUUCACAGAGACUUCAUGCAAGCCGUCCCACGCACACUCGCAGAGAAGAAAAUAUAUUUUAUAUAUAUAUAUAUAUAUAUGUGUGUGUGUGUGUGUGUGCCCAGAAAAGGUCAAACAAUUGACCUGGGCCCACCAUCCACGUAUUUAGCUUCACACGGCAGAUUCCUCUCUCGGCGGACGUGUGUGUGCGUGUGUGUGUCCAAGGUCAAAACUUUGACCUUGGGCCCCACCAAUAAACCAAUCUUCGCAUGAAGAGGAAAUCCCGUGCAGGAGCUUCGCAAGUUUCGAUUCCGCAUAAUUUCCAAAGAGGAAAUUCAUAUCUAUUUUAGCAAACGCUCAAACUCGAGUCAUAUUUAACAAUCUUCACCUUGGCUCGACGUUUGAGCUAAGUCGCAAUCACUUCAUAAAAAUUCAAAUUCUGCUGCUACUUUCCUAUAGCCCCUGAUGGGCUCAACCAUCACAGAUAUUAUCCAAGUCCAAGCUUCGCUUGAACUUCACCAUAACCAAGGACCUCAUCAAAAUACCAACUCCACAUGCACUUUUAACUGCUUCGCAAGAAUUUUCUGACACAACCUCCUCAACCGCAGAUAAAGCAAAACCAUUAUUGCAUCCAUAUCUAUCAGGAGAUUGAAUACAUACCUUGUUAAUUUCAGCAGUUACAGCAAUUGUUGGCUCUAUAAGCUCCACCUCGCAACAAACACCAUCUGUGUCGAUUAUUUUGCUAGUACUAUACUCGCUACCUCAGGAGUUUCUGGUUGCAACUCCACCUCAAGCUGAACACCGUUCAAAUCCGUAUUAACACUGCUAUAAUCACUCCUAGCCAGAAGUACUUGAGACUUGUCAAGGGUAACUUCUCUGCUGUCAACAGGUGAAUUUAUAUCCGGACACCACAACUGAUCGCCCCGCUCACCUUGUGCAUAGCCAUAGAAUAUGCAUCUUGCCCUCCAAUUGAGCUUACCAUCACUCACUCGAAAAUAACAUGGGCAACCAAACAUUUUAAUAAUAUAAUAACCAGCAACGUUAUCUGACCACACUUCUUUAGGAGUUCGCCAUUCAAUAGCAGUUGAUGGGGAUCUAUUUACCAGGUAGCUUACCGUACUUAGCACAUCAAUUAGGAUUCUCCUAGCAAUACUAGCACUAGAGAUAAUUUUUCGGGCCAUCUCUAGUAAUGUUCUACUCGUUAAUUUUGCAAAUUGUUGUGAUUCAUUGGCACUACUGCGGUGUUUUACUAUGCUGUCUUUCAUGCAGAAUUUAUUUGCCAGCUCUGAGCAAAACUGAUCCAUGUAUCCUUUGAACACUCUGUUCAUUAGACCCAUACAAAUAGCUAGAGGGUUCGUCAAACCGAAUGAUAAUACAGUAAACUCACAAUUGCUGUAUCAAGUACGCAAUGUUGACUUCAAUGUCUUUCUUCCUGAUCCUCAACUGAUGAUACCCUGUCCUCAAGUCGAUCUUGGAGAAUAUCGAUGCACAAACACAACGAACCAUCUUUCUUCUUCACAAACAAGACUGAUGCUCUCCAAGGUAAUGCACUGGGAUGUAAGAAUCCCUUAUUUAACAAUUCCUACAUCUCCACCUUCAAUUCUUUCAACUCAGAUAAAGCCAUCCGGUAAGGAGCCUUAGGGACUGGCUCUAAUCCGGUUGCUAAUUCAAUCACGAACUUUAUUUCCCUUUCUGACAGCAACCUGGCAGUUCUUCAGGAAACACCUCAGAAAACUUCUAUACCACGGUUAAGUUCUCCUUACUUGUUCCGUCAACUAUCGCAUCCACUACAAUUGCCAUAUAGAUUUGGCAACCUACAACCAGACUCAGGUCAUCUUCAGUGAUGAACAACAGGGAUCGAAGGUCCUUUUUGACUUUCAGUAACUCAAAACUUCCGCACACUAACUGAACCAACUAAAUUAUAUCACUGCCACAAUUCAUAACAGCAGAAAGCUCCUCGAGCCAAAUCCUUUUUAUAAAUGACUCAUAGGUCAUAUAUAAGCAAACCCCUCAAGUACAACUAUAGUCAGAGAUACUUCUUUCUACUACUUUAUUACAACCAUGGAAACUCCACAACCUUCACUCAAAAUCCAGCUGUGCUACUCUGAUAAAAACACUUCAGAAACAUUCUUCCUUUAAUCAAUGCAUGGUCAAUCCAUUCUUAUUCCUUUCGCUAUCCUAGUGGCGUCAUGUCAGCGGUAGCGAUGCUCGAGUCCUCUUGGACUUACACGGACAUUUCCUAUCCCGAUGGCCGUGUUGGCCACAUUCAAAGCAUGCUCCCAUUGCACUUGGUCACCAGGUUGACUCACACUUCUUUUUUCAAACUUGCCACACAAUCAGUGAGUCCUCUAUCUCCUGUCAGGUAACAGCAUGCGCUCUUCCUUGUACUGAAGGUCUGUUCCAAAAACCCCACUAUGCGUUCUAUGGCGCAUUCCUUUCGAUCUGUCCCAUCGGUUUUCUAAGACCAUUUCUGGCCAGGUAACCUUGUUGGUCACACUUAGAACAAGCACCCGUCUUACCAGGACACGGGGCUGAUCCAUGUCGGCUUCCAUCAACACAACACACUCCAUUCUGAUUCAUUGCUGACCUAACCAUCCCACAUUUCCAUUUGGACGGAAAUAGAAUACUUUUCUAUGAUCAUAGACUCCUUCCUCAACUAAUUUCCAUCUCUACUGAAUCUGAACCUCGACUCAGAUGCAACGGCUUGCUCCCAUAUCAUAACUCCAGCUUGGGCCUCAACAAGCGCAGCAACAACAACGAUGACAACACUGGCGACGGUAAAUACAGCAGCAACAGCGACGGCUCGGUCCUGAGCUUACUGACUCAACAAGCUUCCAAGGAACACUAGCGCCUGAACGAUCCCAUCAAACCUAGGAUUGCUCGGUGCUGCUACACUAGUACUGACCUACAGCGGUACUCUCACACACGCGCUGGUCUAAGCCAGUGCUCCACCACGACCACCUCGGGUACCGAUCCUUGUCGGCAUGCCACCCCGAGUAACUGGUCUAAAGGUUCUCUCUAGGAGUCCUCUGCUCCUGAUCACUCAUCUACAGGAUCUUUACAGAAACCUGUUUCUCAAUUCUAAUCCCCAAUUAGAAUUUGAGUGAUCUACACCAAACAAUUUACCAAACAACUAUCAGCCACAUGCACCAGCAUGAAAUAAAAGCCAUUGCUACCAACUAUCCCAUAAACAAUUGCACCUUAUCACUCCAUUCACAGACCCGCUCUAAUACCACUUAAACGGGGAUGUCACGCCCCGAUCCUCCGAGCGCGUGAACAUCCCACUCUGGUCGAUAGAAAUGCGACUUCCCAGGACACGUCGCCAACCCUUUCAUUUUUAUUACGCAUGCGGAAGCGAAACAAAUCCCCUGACAACAUUUAAUUUGGGAUAGAAAAGCAGUCAAUCAAUCAUAACCAAACAAGCUUUCUAUAAACACAUAGGUUUAUAUACAACACUGGAUGGUCUACAAAAUAGAUAGGCUCAACAACUAGGGAACUGUCCUAUGACCAACUUGUCAGACACGUUCGCCGAUUCUUCAGCCUCCACCUUUCGAACUCCAGGACUUCCGGUCCUCCACGACCGUCAUCUAGGGACCUGAAAUAUUAUCCCACAACCGGGAUGAGACUACGUCUCAGCGAGUCCUACCCUCUAAAACUCAAUUAGGGAGAAAAUACGCCUCAGGGCGCUCUAGCCACACAAAUAGAAUAGAGGACUUACCUCGCCUCAGUCCCUUUCUUGCACGUCAGUACAAUUCAUAUUCAAACAAUGCUCGCACAAGCUGAAACUACCGACAUACCCAUCGGUAUAUCAAUUCAGUCAAUCCAAUUGAUAUCAUACGAUCCACACAUCUAUCAAUUCAUAUCAUCUAUUAAACCAUACCAUCUAUUCAUCCAUCAAUACAAUUACGGCUCGCACAAGCUGAAAUGGAUGCAAUGCUCUCACAAGCUGAUAUAGAUGGUAGCUCACACAAGCUGAUAUAUACAUAGAUGAUAGCUCGCACAAGCUAAUAUAUGGAUCGUUGCUCUCACAAGUUGAUAAAUGAUCAUUGCUCUCAUAAGCUGAUAAAUGAUCAUUGCUCUCACAAGCUGACAUACAGUACUCACACAAGCUGACAAUGAUGCUCACACAAGCUUAUACAUAUAUAAACCAAUUGCUCGCCAAAGCUGAUAAUUCAAUAAUAAACCAACUCAUACCUCAAUUCAAUCAAUCAAUAAAUCCAAUUGAUUCAAACUAGUCAUACAAAUCAAUUACGGUGCUAAAAGCCAACACCGGGUAUUUUCAAGUUAAAUACCACAACUUCAUCAAUAUCACUCAAUUCCACAUUUUUGGAAUAAUUAACCAUAAUCAUCAAUCACUCAAUUUCUCAAUUUAAACAUACAAUUAACACAAACCGACCGCACUGCUGUGAACAGCGUGAAAUUCUGAUGACCGGCCAUCCCGGCACAAUUUUCGAAAUUAUUAAAUAAUUAAAUUAAUUCCGAAAAUUAAAUAAUUAAAUAUUAUAUUAUAAUAAUAUAAUUUAAUAAAAUAAUAUUUAUAAAUUCGAAAUAAUUAAUUAAUUAAAAAUAAUUAAUUAGGGCUUAACAAGAUUACACUAAUUUAAUCAUACAAUUAGCCCUAAUUAAACACACAUUAAACUAAUCAUACAACUAAUCUAAUUUACAUUAAAAUAAUAUAAUUUAAUCACAUAAACCUAAUUAGACUAAUCUAAACACCCCUUAAGCGUCAUUAACUCACUAAGCAAGAAUUAGAUGAUAAACUCACUGGAUUAACGAGCCGAACGGCUCAAAACGACGGGGACGACGCGAGGAUCGAUAGUCUCCAAGGCGGGCCUAGCUUCUGGGGUCGGGAAGCCGGCCAAAACGGGCCAAAUAGCCCCUGCCAUACCCAUUUUACUAGCUUCUGUCCAUUGUUGGUUGAGGGCGGAUUCGGCACCGAUUGAGGCGCACAAGGGCCUAGAUGGACGGGGGAGACCAAACCGGACCUAGGCGGGGCUUCACGGUGGUCGGAGGUGAGCUGGACAGCUCCGGAUGAGCUUCCCCAGAUCUGGAAUGGCUGCUGGACUUGCGGAACAGCAGGGACGAGCAGGCACACGGCUGCUGGCUUCGUCUUCUUGCGACGGUGAAGGGGAGGUCGGAUGGGAGGCUCCGGUGAGCAGGGGCGAUGGAGGUUGGCUGACGACAACGAUGGAGCUCCUGCUAGCUUCAAUGAAGAUGGACAGAAGCAGAUCGGACGCGCGGACAUCCAAGACCACGCGGCUGGAGCAGCUUGCAUGAGCGGGCGCGACGGCGACUUCGGCCACUCCGGGGACAGGACGGUGGAGGGUGACGGACGGGGCUUCUUUGGUUCGCUGCUGGGCUUUCGAAGAAGAAGAUGAAGAUGGAGAGAGAAGGAAACGGUCGCAUGGUAGGGAGAGGGAGGAGAGAGGCAACGGAAGAGAGAGGGAGAGGAGAGAGAAGGAAGAUGGGACCACUUUUCUCUCUCUAAUGGCCCACCAUGACCUCAUGGAUGAUGUCACCUUCCACUAUCUCCCACAACCUCAUUCCAAUGGGUUCAAUUUCUUUUUCCGCCGUGGCAUAAAAUCUUGUACACUUAAUUCACUCAAUUCUCAAUCAAUUCCAUCCAAUUGAAGCUCAAUUAAAUUAACCCAUGUGUCCUCAGCCUUCUCAUGACACUUCCCCAUCAAAUGAUCCAACUUGCAUCCCGAAAAUUCGAUUAAAAAUGGCCCUCUGACAAUCCCGAACAUAAACGGCCUUACGUUGCUUUUUCCGCCAGAAAUCUUGGUUUGUAGAAAAAUCUUCUGGAAAUGAGUCGACAUUCCUAAAAUGAAUUGUGACUUGACAGAACUUCCAAUUUCUGUAAUCGGGUUCAAUUUCACGGUUAAAUUCAAUCUGGCGUGACUUUAGCACGUCCUAAUCUACUGGGUAGCUUUUAGGAAUUUUCUGUGCAAUUGACCUGUGGUUGAUUAUUCUCAAGCCACAAAAUGCAUCUUCGACACCUUGGCGACUCUCGAUUGUCGUAGAAAUCUCGAGGUUCUAUUACGGACACAGGGUACCUAAAACGACAGAAGAAUCGGUCUAGUGCCGGUCGACGAGGAUAUUGUGAUCAGGUGGAAUCACCCACACUCUAAUCACAUAUCUCAGUCGAAUUGACCUAUUACUGAUCUCUGUUAGAUUCUGACAGUGUCGUAAUGAUCCUUGCAGAUUAAUACGGUCGAGUAGCCGAUUCAUGGUCGAAUUCUCAAGUCUAUUGCGUUUAGAUUCCUUAACAGCUUCACCUGAUAGACUAGUUAUCUUGUGAGUGGCCAACUCAGAGAAGAAAGCUAUAGACACGAAGAUGAAAUGCUCGACUUAUUUAAUUGAAACCAGAAUUGAAAAAUCGGGAUGUCACAUCUUGGAUCGUCGAACGUCUGUGGCUUCGUAGGGUUUAUUUCACAGAGACUUCAUGCAAGCCGUCCCACGCACACUCGUAGAGAAGAAAAUAAUAUAUAUGUGUGUGUGUGUGUGUGUGUGUGUGUGUGUGUGUGUGUGUGCCUAGAAAAGGUCAAACAAUUGACCUGGGCCCACCAUCCACGUAUUUAGCUUCACACAGCAGAUUCCUCUCUCGGCGGACGUAUGUGUGCCCAAGGUCAAAACUUUGAUUUGACCUUGGGCCCCACCAAUAAACCAAUCUUCGCAUGAAGAGGAAAUCCCGUGCAGGAGCUUUGCGAGUUUUGGAUUUCGCAUAAUUUCCGAAGAGGAAAUUCAUAUCUAUUUUAGCAAACACUCAAACUCGAGUCAUAUUUAACAGCCGGUCUCUUUGGGCCGAUGCCAGCCAAACCUGAAGUGGCAGCUCAAGAGGGUGCUCAACCUGGAGUUCUUGGGGCGGGCAUCCUGAAGAUUUCAUCAUCGGAGAAGGCGAUUGGCAGCAAAUAACUUCAAUUCGACUUCAUUGAUGAGUGCCUGCACGAGGAUUUGGAAUUGCAGAAUGCAGAGCACGCACUUUUGAAGUUUGCUGAUGGGGAUGGUGCAAAAUUGAAUUGCGCAGUUUACAGUUUUGUAAAACUGCAGACACUUCUUGAAAAUCUUUCCAGCUUCUUCUUUUCCUAAAUUGUUCAAAUUGUUCUGCUCCUAUGUAAGCUCGCUGGUGAGGAGGCCAAUGUUGUUGUCAAGAAGGAGGUGAUGCAGAGUGAAGGAGGAGGCGUGAGCAAGAUGAAGAAAGAAAAGAAAAACAUAAAGGAAAAAGGAAAAAAAAAAAGGAAAAAAGAAAAGUGAUGGUUUUAGGUGAUGGGCCUAAGUUAGCCCGUCCGCCCAUGAUGCGCCUAAAAGCCCGGCCCACAUGAUUAUGGCCCAUGGACGAAGGGGUACGUUUGUAUUUUAGAGAGGACGUAUAUAAAGGAGGAGAGAGAGGGAGAACGUACCUUUUGACAUUAUGUAUGUUCCUUCCUCCCUCUCUCCCUCCAAAAACAACAGUAAGCAAAAGAGGUGACGCUGUCUUCCCUUCAAGGCCAAUUGACGUCAUCGGAUUGAACAUGAUCGGUUUCUCUUCCUCAAUCUUCAGCAUUGGUGUUUAAUCUGUGGUUAACAAGGUACGCUCGAAUCCAUGGUGUGCUUUAGGAUCGAUGAUACGUGAUUUUCCCGGGCUUCGUCUUCCGCAUUCGUUUUAGGGGUUCGAUUUAGUGUUGAAUCUGGUUUUUGGGGAUCCGUUAAUCCCAACAUUGGUAUCAGAGUCCGAGUUCAUAUUUUCCCGACCUUUUUUAUGUUUUUUUAUUGAAUUUUCGUGAAAGUAUUCAGCCGACACGGAUCAUGGCGCAAAAUCUCGACACCCGAGCAUUGUUUGUCCAUUUUUUCGAGUUUCUGUAACUCGAAAUCGAUUUCUGAAGACCUAGGGUGAAAGGGCUCGUCGAGACGAGUCCGACGACUUGUCGUGCGCCGCCGGGAGACGCCGCACGCACCCACAUGCACGGCCAGAAGCCGCUGUGCGUGGGCGCCACGUGCCAGUCGGCGAACCGACACACGCCGGUCGGCGACGCGUGCUGACGUCAGCAUGACGUCACCCGAUGGUCGGUAACCAUUGGGAUGACGUCAUCAAUGACGUCAGCACCGACGACGAUUGGCCGGGCGGUCACCGGCCGGCGACGCGACUAGCGACCCGACCUGACUCGCGAACGCCUGGCACGCGCGCAGCACGUGCCGGCUAACUUCUGUGUGACAUCAGCCCGCACACGGGCGCGGCACGUGCGGUCGGUUCGUCCGACCCGGCCCGACCGAUGCGACGACCAACGACCUGACCGUUGACCAUUGACCUGUUGACCGACGACCGUUGACCGUUGUUCCGUUGACCCGUUGACCGUUGACUCGAAAAAAGAAAAGAAAAGAACUUGUUUCUUUUUUUAGUUAUGUCUGUGUGGUUUAGAGGUAAUCCAUUUUUUAUUAUGCAUUUGUUGCAUGAAUCAUGGAAAAUUAUGUAUUUUCCAUUUUGUUUAUUGUGGAUUAUAAGUGAUCCAUUUUUUGGUUCUGCGUUUGUUGUAGGAACUAUGAUGCGUUAUGCACGAAUACCUGCAAUCCUGAGAACGGACGAAGGAAAAGCAAGACUUAAAAGGCCGAUGACAGAGUUAGCUGAUUAUCGGUGGCAUUAUGGUGAUUUAGUAUCACACGUGGUCAGGGUCAAUCAGAUGAUACAGUAAAUAAUCUAGAAUGGUUAUCUUAUGCCGGAUUUUGAGAAGGUGCCGGCUUUGAUGAACACUCUUCCACCUGAAUAGCAAGCAAUGUUAGAUCGGUUAUAGGAGGUCAACAUGGUCCCGGAUUAUAGGAGGCUAGUGGAAGCUUUUGUAAGAGAGUACUAUAGGAUUGAGUUAACCAAAAUUUCAACCCUUAGAUUGAGCGCCACAUGGCACAGAGUGAAUGCGCCUUGGAGGCGACAUGAGAGCUCUCCAAAAGUUUUUCCAUAGUUGGCAAAUGUACCAUCAAAUUUCUCAGAUAUUUUGACUGAUAGAUUAGAAGGGACUUUCCCUAUUUAUUUCUUAGAUUAGUUUGAGAUGUUUUUGAGUGUUGAAUAUCUCUCUCUAUGUUGAUAUUUUUCUUUGUAUAUAUUACUUAGGGUAAUGGAUGGUUGUAUUAGUUGAAAGCAUUAUUACUUUAUUGGAUGUCAAUUAUCUGUUGCUUUCUGUAAUUGCUAGUUAGCUGUGGGUAGUUAUAGAAGUUUUUGUAACUUCAUAGAAUUUAUUUUGCAUAAGACAAUUAUAUUAAUAAUAGUUUUAAGUUAGGAUUUUUUGGAGGAUGAUUGGAAACAUAGUGACCUUUUGAUUCUGAAACCUUACUUGAAUUAUUUAUUGAUAUGAUGGGUCUAUGCAAAGUGGAAGCAUAAAUGAUAUGCAUUAAUUAUUCGUGCAUAUAUGUCUGAUGUGUUCAGAUUGAUGGUUUCAGCAACUAAGAACGUAAUUGCUGAUAUGAACGGCAACAAUUGUGAAAUAUUGAAUAUAAAGAUUCAAUAUGUGCUGGAAAAGCAAGAAGCACUAGAAGCUCUUGACCAUGUUAUGGAAGAUCUUGAGGAUGCUGUGCGCCACCUUGAGCUAGUAGAGGACCGCUUAACGGCAUGUGAGCUGAAAAUAGAUAUUUGCAAUGCUGGUUCUAGCUCAGAAAUGGCUUUGAGCUCUAAACGCAAGCGUAUUGAUUCGUUCAAUAUGUGGGAAUGCAAAGGAUCAAGUCCUUAUUGCAAGAGAUCAAGAGUUAACCAACACAAGAGAGGAAAACGUCCUCAAGUGAAGAAAAUGUUAAGGGUGAGGUGUUACAAUUGUGACAAGAAAUGUCACUAUGCUCGCGACUGUCGUGAGCCAAAAAAAAAAAGAGAGAGAGAAGGUAAACACCUCUUGUACAUUUGAGAACUUUACUUAUGUGUCAAGUUCUGCAUUAUUAGCUGAAUCCAAUCAUUUGUGGACUGUAGAUUCAGGAGCAACAGACGAUGUAGCGAAGGAUAGAGGAUCUUUUGUGGAAUUCCGACAAAUACCGACUGGAACUAAGUGGAUCUAUGUGAGAAACAACUCAAGAGAUAAAGUUAAAGGGAUUAGCACCUGCCAAUUGAACAUGCGUGAUGGACGCACCUUGUUCCUACAUGAUGUUCUAUAUGCUCCGAAGAUUCGUUGAAAUUUAAGUGUCUGUUUUUUGUGUUGGUUAAGCUUGUUAUUAGUGUGAACUUCCGUAAUAGCGGUGUAGAUUUGUAUUUGGAUACAAACUACUAUGGUUGUGGUCAUUUUCUGGAUGGUUUUAUUGUACUAAAUGUUGACUGCAGUGAUGUCAAUAUUUGUUAUUCCCUUCUUUCACGUCUUCUACUUCAUAUGAUAAUGAUGUGAAUAUGUGGCAUGCUAGAUUUAGUCAUAUUGGCCAACAACGUUUUGAAUAGACUAGCCAAAGAGGGCUUGUUGGGCAACAUUGAAAAAGUCAAUUUGCCUAUAUGUGAGUAUUUCCUAGUAGGGAAAAUGACAAGGAAACCAUUUGGAAAAGGUAAAAGAGUUGAAUUUAAUCUGCAUUUAAUCCAUUCUAACGUCUGUGGUUCAAUGACUGUGAGAAGAAGGCAUGGGGCUGUUUAUUUCAUCACUUUUAUAGAUGAUAAUGCUCGAUUUGGAUAUGUCUAUUUGAUUUCUCAUAAAUCUGAAAUAUUAUGUUGUUUCAAAAAAUUUGUGAACUUGGUAGAAAAUCAAUUAGACAAGAAAAUAAAAGGAUUGAGAUCCGAUCGAGGUCGAGAAUAUUUAUUUGAUGAUUUCAGAAAAUAAUGUGAUGAAAAGGAAUAGAAAUACAGUUGUCUAUUCCAUAUACUCCUCAACAAAAUGGUGUUGCAGAGAGAAGAAACAGAACCCUACUGGAAAUGGUUAGGUCCAUGAUAGCGCAUGCUAACUUACAUAUCACUUUUUGGAGUGAUGCGUUGUUAACUACUGCCUAUAUACUUAACCGGGUGCCUUCCAAAUCAGUUACUUCCACUCCAUAUGAGUUAUGGACAGGUAGAAAACCGAACUUAAGUUUACUUAAGCCAUGGGGUUAUGUUGCCUAUACUCAUAUGUCCUCUCACAAGUUUGGGAAAUUGGGUUCCGAAGGAAAGUAGAGUAUUUUAAUGAGAUACUCCGAACACUCAAAAGGGUAUGUGUUCAUAAGUGAGCAGGAAAGUGAGAGUAUAACUGAAUUUUAAUCACAGGAUGUCAUAUUCUUAUAAGAUGAAUUUCCUAAGAAGGGCGAAAUAGGGGAAGAUUACCCCUAUUUGAAACCUUGGAUCAAGAUAAUGAUAUUAGUGGAGUUCGUCCAAGUGGGAGUAAUAUGAGAAGUGAUGAAUUGAAUUCAACUCAUUCUCAAUUGCAACCACGUGAUGAGACAACGUUAUCAUUAUCCAAUCCUAGUGGAAGUAUAAUGGGGAAUGAUGUGCAAAGUGUACAAUCUCCCAUACGGCGAACAAGUCACCAAAGUAUUUCCCGUUGACAUUUUGACAUUGAAGGGGAAACUUUUAUGAUUGCUCCGCAAGAUGAGGAUGAGCCAAGAAAUAUUAAUGAGGCUCUAAAUUGCCCUAGUAAGGAAAAAUGGAUUUAUGCAAUGAAAGAGGAAAUGGAGUAAAUGAAUUCAAACCAAGUUUGGAACUGGUUGAUCUUCCAAUAGGACGCAAAGCUAUUGGGAACAAGUGGGUUCUUAAAAUAAAGCGUAAAGCUGAUAGCUCGAUAUAAAGGCAUAAGGCUCGCCUUGUGGUGAAUGGGUAUAAUCAACAGGAAUGAAUUGAUUAUGAAGAAACAUUUUCUCCUGUAGUGAGAUUUACCUCGAUUCGCAUAAUUCUUAGCAAUAGUAGUUAGUAUGGAUCUUGAGUUACAUCAAAUGGAUGUAAAGACUGCUUUCCUCAAUGGAGAAUUAGAGGAAGGAACAUAUAUGGAACAACCUGCUGGUUUCAUAGUGAAAGGCCAAGAAGAAAAGGUAUGUCAACUUUUGAGGUCGAUAUAUGGCCUUAAGCAGUCGUUAAGACAAUGGUAUAUACGAUUUCAUAAUGCCAUAAUGACAUAUGAUUUUACAAUGAUAAAUGAAGAUCAUUCUAUAUAUAUCAAACGAUCCAAGGAUCAAUUUGUGAUCAUAUCAUUAUAUGUUGAUGAUAUACUAAUUGCCGGAAGCAAUAUGGAACUUGUCAAUACUGUCAAGAGUUGGUUGUCUUCCAACUUUGAAUUGAAGGAUAUGGGAUUGUAAACUCAUAGACACUCCUAUUGCAAAAGGUGAAGGAUUGAGCCAUAAACUGUGUCCAAGGACUCCACAAGAUAAGGAACAAACGAAAUAUGUUCCUUAUGCUAGUGCUGUUGGGAGCUUGAUGUACGCUAUGAUGUGUACAAGACCUGACAUAUGUUUUGCAGUUGGAAUGGUGAGUAGAUACCAAUCCAAUCCAGGUCAAGCACGUUAGAAAGCCGUUAAAUGAAUACUAAGGUAUCUAAAGGGGAUUGCUGAUUAUACGUUGAGUUAUUAUGGAAAUGAUCUGCAACUCAAAGGCUAUUCUGAUGCUGAUUGGAGAGGAGAUUUAGAUGAAAUAAAAUCUACCUCUGGGUUUGUUUUCUUACCGAAUAAUGACACCAUAUGUUGGAGCAGUAAGAAACAAAAGUGUAUGGCAUUGUCCACGAUGGAAACUGAGUUCGUGGCAUUAUCAGCAGCAAUAAAAGAAGAUGUUUGGCUUAAGAGAUUAUUGGAUCAUUUAGGUGUUAUUUGAAGUGCUGCAGAUUCUUUGUUGGUUAACUGUGAUAGCCAAGCAGCAAAAGCGUACACCAAAGAUCCAAAAUAUUAUGGCAAGACCAAACAUAUAGAUACCAAGUAUAACUUUGUCAAGAAUAUGAUUGUACGAAAAGAUGUGAACUUACAGUACAUAUCUACACAUAUAAUUGUAGCAGAUCCUAUGACAAAGCCAAUAUCUAGAGAUGUGUUUUGUGGCCAUAUGAAAUCUCUAGGAUUGCGUAGAGUCUGAUGUACUGGAUUGUAAUUUCCCUGAAGUGUUCACAUUUGAUGAAUUUGUGUUUUUUCAUCAUUAAUGCCUAUGAAUCUUUGUUUGAUCUUUAUGCAUCUUAAUGCGUAGUGUAUUAUUUUAAGUUGAGAAAGUAUGUCGGACAGAUAUAAGAUUAGUCCACUCACACGGGUAAUCGCCUCUAUUUACUAUGUGAUAAAUAGAGAUGAGACUGUUUUUAAGCUUAUUAUCUAGGUGAUAAUCAAGAGCUCAAGCUUAAAAUACGUAUGUCGCCUUAACCGGGUGUUAAGAUGAGGACAUAAUACUUACUAUAUCCGAAAGUAAAAUACCCCACAUAUUUUACUUUAUCUGUCUAUGAUGCAAGAUGUGAGUUCUGAUGAAUUUUGUGAAUGAGUAGAUACGUGAACUCAAGUUAGACAUUGGGUAUGUCUGAACUAUCAUCUGUACGGUAUUGAAGGUGUAGACAUACGCUCCAUGGGAAAUGAGUUAUUACAGUAAUACGUAUUUCAUACUACGUAUGCAUGUAACGACCAAUAAUAGUGGCAAAAGUUUGAUCUCAACUUUUAUGUCGUGUGAGACUCUUGAGGAAAAGAAUUCCUCAAUUUUUAGUCCCCUCAUGACUCUUACUUAUUCUCAAGAUUUCUAUUUAGUGUUUGUUAUCUUAGGAUGUUGCCAAUGGUCAUGAGUUGAUUCGAUCUAAUGGGAUAUUUCUAGAAAAGUAAGCUGAACUGAAAUUGAGAGUUUGAAGGAAAGAGGAAGAUCGAAUUUGGAGAAUCACAUUGUAGUUUUGUAUUCACUAGUUAACCAAUUAUGACUAUCUUUAGGAUAAUCAUAAUUGUAAAUACAAUAUAUAUCAUUGUUUGAAAGAGAUCAAGAGAGAUAUAAAUGUGAUUGAUCGAUCUAGGGUACUGCAUACUAAAUCUACUCAGAAUGUGAUGCCCAUUAUGAGCUGCUAUAUAUUCCUAACAGAUGUAUGUCAACGAGCUCUCAAAGUAUGCUGGUCGCACUGAUUAUUCACCGGUAUGAAUGUUGAAGAGAGGUAAAGAGAAUUCUGUUCAGCCCACCAUGUGCAAGUGGGAGAUGAUGGUUUUAGGUGAUGGGCCUAAGUUGGCCCGUCCGCCCAUGAUGGGCCUAAAAGCCUGGUCCACAGGAUUAGGGCCCAUGGACGAAGGGGUACGUUUGUAUUUUAGAGAGGACGUAUAUAAAGGAGGAGAGAGAGGGAGAUCGUACCUUUUGACAUUACGUACGUUCCUUCCUCCCUCUCUUCCUCCAAAAAGAACAGUAAGCAAAAGAGGCGACGAUGUAUUCCCUUCAAAGCCAAUUGACGUCAUCGGAUUGAACAUGAUUGGUUUUUCUUCCUCAAUCUUCAGCAUUGGUGUCUAAUCUGUGGCUAACAAGGUACGCUCGAAUCCGUGGUGUGUUUUAGGAUCGGUGAUACGUGAUUUUCCCGGGCUUCAUCUUCCUCAUUCGUUUUAGGGGUUCGAUUUAGUGUCGAAUCCGAUUUCUGGGGAUCCGUUAAUCCCAACAAAAAGAAAAAGAAAUCCUUAGAGGAAAAUACGCCUAUCUGCAAAUAAGAUUUGGCUAACUUGUAAGUUGAGAUAUUUAUUGCAGACUAAAUUAGUCACUUUAGAUCCUUAUUUGAGAUAACAUCUACUUUAAAACUUUUUUUUAAAAAAAUGAUUUCACUUUAAUUUCUUCUUUGAAAAUUUCCCUUGUUUUAUUAUACUUAAAAGUAGAAGAAUAUUCACGAUAAUGAUUUACGGUCUACCUGUUUGAAGGAAAACUAUUACAUAAAUUGUUUUCCAACCUUUUGGUAUUAGAUGACAAAAAACUAAUCAAAUUACGGAAAAAAAGUAUUUUCAUAUAUUGAAAACAACAAGUUUACAUCGAGAGAAAACCAUUUCCACUUCUAUUAAGAAGGAAAUCACUUUUUCGAUGAAAACUAACUAUUCUAGGUGAAAAUAAUUUUCACUAUUUUUUUUUCUGUUAUCAUGAGAUAGAGUACGCUAUGAUUAUUUUGGAAUUUUGAAGUGCUCGAUGGCUCCGAUCCAGAUAUGUCCGCACGUUACACGGAGUAAUGAUUUUGUCGUUAGAUCAUGAAUUUGUAUAGUUGGAUUAUAUCGAAAUGUAAUGACCACCACUGGAAUCUACACAUAAUAAGAACUAAUUUUCCUUUUAUUUAUAAGCAAAGCGAUUCAUUUUUUCUUUAGUUUAUUGCAUUUACUAGUUUUGUAAUAAAUCAAAAUAGUGAGUACCAUUGCCAUAAUUUGAUUGAAAAAACUAAUGGCCGCAAGAAAGUGAUGGACUUUUUUUUAACUGGUUAUUUCUUUCAAUAUGCUAUUUUCCAUAACCAAGGGAAAAAUUUACUGAGAAUUGAAACCUAAUUGUAUUAAGUAUGAGUUAAGUUCAGUGGAGUUGUGUGUAGAUUGUUAAAAUUGUAUUAUGUAAAGAUGGAAUUGUAUAAGUUAAAUGAGUCAAUUUGAGUCAAACUCAUUUGCAAUUGGAUCGAACCUCAUCCAACAAUCUAAAAGUCAGUACAAUCAUCAAUAUUAUUGGAAAAACACAAGAUAUACUUAAGAGACUACCAAUCCUACAAGGGUAGAGAGAAGCGUAAUCAAUACUUAAAUUACAAUUUUGAGAUUUUUUGGUGUUGCAAAAAAAGUUUAGAGUAAAUAUAUUAUGGUGGGUAUAUAUUUUGGGGUUUUUGGUGACUUUUUUCAUUUUUUCUUUCUUUUGUCAAGAUGUACCCUUACCAUAGUUGUUAAAUCAAGAUACCUAUUGCGAAUUGAGAUCUUGAAAUUACUCGGGAUCUAGUCGAGUCGUAAGGUUCGGUCAAGUAUCUAAAAUUGGCAUUUCAAGACAAUUACGAGUUUUGUCAAUAAUACUUUGAAAGAAGAACAUUCAGUAACGUUAUUAUAAAAUACGAGCUUAAGGAAAGAGAAUUUCAAAUAAACAAGAGAGGCCCAGCCUGGAAUACGCCUUUUGCAUAUGAUUGGUAACCGUUUCCCUGUUGUUUUUCUCCUAUGGCAAGUUAGUUCUUGUUCGAGGAGUAAAGCAGAGCCUUGAGGAGCCGAGAAAGAAAAAAAAAGAAGAAGAAGGGGAUUGCAGAAAGAAGAAGGAACUGGACAGCUGAUUGUCGCUCCACUCUUAGUCAAGCCUAGAGGUUUUCCAUCUCAUUUGGAAAAAGCUGGUUACCCGAGAGAGAAAUCAAAGGGUAAGUUCUGUCAAGUUGCCUAAAGAUGGCAAGGUCGUGAGAUUAUUAUUGUAAAGGCUCUACCAUUGAAGAAAUUUCAAAUUCCCUAACUCUGGUUGGAUGGAACCUCUAGGUUCAUUAUCAAGUAAGAAGUGCACUUGGUGGAGUGACCUAAGACCGUGAAAAUGGCUGGGGAGCUAGAAGCAUUAUGACUAUCUUGAAACUAGAUGCCAGUAACUUGAGGAAUUUAAAUCGUGCUAGUCCAUUUUCACUCUCUAGAAGUAUAAGGUAGUAACUUGGGGAGCUAGAAGCAUUAUGACUACCUUUAAACUACUUUGCCUUCACGCUCUUGAAGUAUAAGGUAGUAACACAACAAAACUUGCAAUCCUUAUGAGACAAAGCAUUGUACUAUAGAAUCUCAACUAGAGAUAAAAUGAUGAUCAAUGAUCUUCCUAGUUUAAGCACUUUUACAUGGUAUUGGAACCAGUGCUAUUUCUUCUCCAUAAGUGUGUUUACGCAAGAGGGUGUGUUGAAAUAUUAUCUCACACAGCUUAAUAACAUUUAAUAAACACGGUUGAUAGCCGCCAUUAGAACAUUUAGUUUCUGAUUGAACGAACUCUGAAAAGAUGCAUGAUUGAAACUCUUCUGCUUGUCGGAGGAUUUUAUAUCAACACAAAUCCACAAUGAACCUUAUAAAAGGAGUAACAAAGGACAAGAUUUCAGAGACAUAAUAUAAAUAUUCCACUGCGACUAUUUUGCUCUCGAGAUGAUAACACUGGAUACAUAAGCAACUUUACACUGACUCGAAAGCCAUAUUUUCUAACUCUAACUAGACAUGGAUAUAUAGCAUUUGCUGCGACGACACUAGUCUGAAUAAUACUAGAUACAUAAACAGUUUGAAAUAUCUCGAGUUCAGCUGUUCUCUCUCCAAAUGAAACUAGAUGCUAGUAACUUCAGGUUUUGCUCCUUCCAAAAGAAAAGGCAGUUCUAUGCUUACUUGGGCAUGAAGGACACGUAGUCCUCAUCCUCAUGCUGGUGCGCGCUAAACACGUAACUUUGUUUCCGGUCAAAAUAUUUCUCCUAAAUGCAAAUCAAGUUCACAAAAUAGUGAGCGAAACAAUAAACUAGAAAAAAGCUCGAAACUUAAUUUAUUAGUUUAAACUUGUUUUUCGUUAGAGACCAGACCUUCCUGCAUGUGGUUGACAGAGCAAAAUCGUUUAUCAGACGAUAUCUUCUACAAAUUGAUCCAGUUCACGGCUUGAAUUUGUUGCAUCUCUCACAGGAUCUGUGGGCUUCUGUGAUUUUUUAACUCCAUCGAAAAGGGUUGAACGAGCAGAUAGCGCAUCAGAAAUCAUUUCCAUCGACGGCCUGAGUUGGGGAUUAGCAGAUAUGCAAGCGACUGCAAACUUUAGGAUGGUCAGAAGUUCAUCCUCAAUGCCUGGCGUGGGCGUUGGCAGGCGUGAAUCCAAUAUAUUCUUUAAAACUACCGAGAUCUCCAUGUCGACCAGAGCUAAUAAAGAUGAAAGGCUAUCACCUGGAUGUCUUCCUUUGAUCACCUCGAUGGCCACUAUUCCAAAGCUAUACACGUCGCAUUUCUCCGUCACCUUCAUUGUGUAAGCAAGCUCUGCACAAAGGAGAUAUAUAUGUUAGUACAAAGGCAUUGCUUUAGCUAAACCAUCAGAUCAUGAGUUGAUUUUAGAAAUUAACCUGGAGCUACGUAACCAUAUGUGCCAACGACUGCGCUCCAGUUUGAUGUGUCCAGCUUAAGAAGCUUAGCUGUGCCAAAUUCAGAAACGUGUGCCUCGUACUCCGAAUCAAGCAAAAUGUUGUUACUCGAAAUAUCUCGAUGAACGAUUGGAGGAAUACAAUCAUGGUGCAUAUAAGAUAAAGCAUGAGCCACGCCUUUUACUAUAUUCACCCUCUUGUUCCAGUCCAACUCUUUAGCUUCUUCUUCAUUGCUCAAGAUUGUAGACAAGCUUCCUCUGUCAAAGUACUCAUACACCAAGAAUGAGUGUUGUGGAUGCGAACAAAAGCCCACAAGUUUCACAAUAUUGCAGUGUUGAAUUUCCGUCAAUGCCCUAAUCUCAUUCAAAAAUUCCUUUUGAUCUGUUUGCCCACUAUCAGCCGUUUGAUGGAGCUUCUUUAUAGCUACUAUAUCACCAGAUCUUAAUUUGGCCUUGAAGACACUUCCAUAGCCACCCCUUCCAAUAUAGAAAAUCUCAUUAAAAGCCCCAGUGGCUUCCAUGAUGUCUUUAUAUGAAAUCAUUCCAUCGUACUUUGAUAGAGAAAAGACUUCAAUUGUCUUGGGUGCUAGUUCCACUCUUGGAUGGAGCUUCUUUCUACGGAAAAUGAAGAAUAUUCCAAAGAAAAUAAACAAAAGAACCGCUCCUAGCAAAGGGAACACAAUAAGAAACACUCUACCUCCCACCAGAGAGCUUUCCCUAUCCACCACUACUUGGUCACAGGGCUCAAGUCCUUCAACAUUUCCACACAAUCCACUGUUGCCUUGAAACGCUUCUAUUGUUGCAUUUUGGAAUGCCGUGGUGUUGGGGAUGGGACCCUCAAACUUGUUAUAAGAGAUGUCCACCUCCAUCAAACCUCGCAUAUCCUUGAAAGUCUCAUAUAUGAGGCCAGAAAGAUUAUUGUGUGAAAGGUCAAGUUUCACUAAGCUUUGAAGCUUGUUGAAUUCAACUGGGAUCCCACCACUUAACAAGUUAUGACUCAAGUCUAGCUCGGAUAGGUGAAUCAACAUCCCUAAUUGCCUCGGAAUAUCUUGGCUCAACUGGUUGUUACUUAGAUUCAAGAAGACCAAGUUUGAAGAAAACCCUAUAGCCUGCGGGAUAGACAUGCUUAAUCUAUUCUUGGACAAAUCCAAUUUUUGAAGACCAGGUAAUGAUACAAUCUUGGGACUUAUUUGGCCAGAAAGUCGAUUUCUGCUUAGAUUUAAAUUCACCAAAGAAGUCAAUUUUCCAAAUUCUUUUGGGACCUCACCAAGUAAACCAUUGAAAGAAAGAUCAAUUUCACCAAAUCGAGUCGCAUUCCCAAUCUCAGGAGGCAAGCUACCAGUGAUGUUAUUUCCAGCAAUUCUUAGAUGAGUUAAGCGUGUGCAACUUCCCCAGUUUGUUGAGAUUUCUCCAAAGAACUUGUUGAAACUCAUGUCGAUAAAGUCCAAUUUGGGGUAGACACCAAAGGUCUUGGAUAUGUUUCCAGUGAGCUGGUUUUCCUCUAGGCGUACUCUGACUAGGCUUGUGCAAUUUCUCAAGCUUUUAGGGAUAGAACCAGUUAAGUUAUUGUGACUCACUGUAAGGUUUUGGAGCAACCCACCCCGGCACAAGUUUUUUGGUAAGGAGCCGUUUAAUUGGUUGGUAUCCAAUUGUAGCACCACCAAGUUCACUAGUUCACCUAAGGAUUUAGGAAUUGAACCAGAAAGGUGAUUUUGGCGGAGGAACAAAGAUCCCAAGUUGGUCAAGUUACCCAGAGAAGAAGGAAUUGGACCAGUGAGCUGGUUUGUACUCAACUCUAAGUCAAGCAUAGCGUGGAGAUUACCUAUCUCAUUAGGAAUUUGCCCUGAAAGCUGGUUACCAUAGAGAUAAAGAAGGGCGAGUUCUGUCAAAUUGCCUAAUGUUGGUGGGAUUGAACCGAUAAGAUUAUUAUCAUUAAGGCACAACUCGCUAAGAAGAUUCGAUUUUCCUAGCUCUAGUGGGAUGGAACCAGUAAGCUCAUUAGCAAAUAGGUGUAGCUCUAUCAAUUUGGUUAAGUUCCCCAAAGUGGAAGGAAUCGGUCCUGUUAGGAGGUUGGUGUCCAUGUGGAGCACUUCCAGAUUUGUCAUACUUCCCAUUUCAGGAGGAAUAUAACCAGAAAAGGAGUUGUUGUAGACAUACAAUGUAGCCAAUUUGCUCAAAUUACCUAAUGAGGAAGGUAUGGGUCCAUUCAACUGAUUCGAAUACAGCGCGACCUCAGUGAGCAAAUACAAUUGCCCGAUUUCUUGGGGAAUGGAGCCAUUUAACUCAUUGGAAACCAAGUGCAGGACUGUUAGUCUAGUUAGAUGGCUGAUCUCCAGCGGUAUUUUCCCCAUGAACCGAUUGAUAGAAAGGUCGAGAUAGGUGAGAUUGCUCAAUAAACCGAUUUGAGGGGGAAUAUGGCCAGAGAGACUAUUUAUACUCAGGUCCAUGUACAUGAGAUGAGACAAAGAUGAGAAUGGGAAUUCGUCAAGCGUACCUUCGACAUAGGCGCUAGUGAGAUUAAUCCCGAUCACACUCUCCACCUGAUUGCAGGAGAUGCCAUACCAAGUACAUGGACUCACGGUUGAGUUGGAACCGGUGGCAUUACGAGGAGAGGGAGUCCACGAAGAGAGGGAAGAAUCUGAAUGGUUGCCAAGAUUGGACUUCCAUUUGAGGAGGGCUUGGGCUUCUAUAGGGGAAGCAUGAGCAGGGAGUGGAAUGGUAAAGGUAGUGAAAAGAGUAAGGGCAGCUACAAGGCUCAUGACCCUCUUGAAUUCUGGUGAAGAAUCCAUGGAUUCUUCUUCUCCUUCUCCUGUUUUGGUUCUGGUAAGUGGGUUUAUUUUUCCCUGAGGCAACAAGCGAUCCUUAAAUAGGCCGUGAAAACUCGCCUUCCUAUAAUUUUCCAUGGUAAUGGGUAUGCAAUAAAACGGCGACUAACCAGUGGAGACUAAGAAGAGGUACGUUUAUUUGUUUUGUACCCUGUAGGGGACCAGGGGUAGCCAUCUAACAGCCGACUAAGACGAAUUUUUGGUUCUUUGAAGACUCUGGAAUUUGUUACUUUUGUAGUCUUCGUAGUGACAUUUCUGACUUGGUCAGUCCUCGUUUCGGAAUUGAGCCCACCCAUUAUAUGAAUUCGGAGACUUUGACUUUGACUGAGAAGUCUUCGAGGAAAGUGAGGUAAACUCAGUGAAGGCCUCGCGUGUGGUUUGGGAACACUCAAUUUUCCACAAGAUCAGACCCUAAUUUGUGCUGCACAAAAUUUUGAUUUUAAAGCGCAAAAGGAAAGUCUUCUCACUUGGCGUUUAUGAAGCAAAAUCUUGACGCAGUCGACCCCGUUAUUGCAGAAACGACAGCUGAUGAUCUAGGCAAAUGGCCCCCGAGAGCAUGGUUAAAAAAUAAAAUAAAAAAAUCUAACGACAUAUUUGAAGUGGAAAAUUGCUAAAAAUUGGAGCUUGGGUUGAGUUGGGUAUGAUAGGGUCCAAGGGAGAUCGAGUGUGAGCUACCAAAAUUUUAUUACAAAAUUAUGGGUCUGUAUGUGUUAUAUUGGUCAAUGUGAAUUGGAUCCAUUUUCUAUCCAUUCAUACUUGACAUGAUCCUUUACUAGGAAUAAUACCCGAGAAAUCUAAAAGAUUAUUUAUAUCAAUUGAUGGAAGAGCAAAUAUUCACUAAGAACUUAAAACUUGUCCAGUAUGAAUAUUUCUCCAAAACUCAAUCAACUAAUAUAAAAAUUUAAGGACAAAGUACAAAAACAAUAUAAAAUUUUUAUGUGCUUAAUGUGGAAAAUACUACAAAUCGUUCAAAACUUUCACUAAUCACCAAGAAUAAUAGAAUAUAUAAUAGUCAUCUCUAGUCACAUAGCUAGAGAAUGAACAUAUCAACGAUAUAACAAUAUAUCAUUAGUGGAUUAACAAAAGAAGCAAGAAAACUCUAACUAUUACUAGAGAAAUUGAAAGACAAAUCAGAGAAGGAUCUCAAUGAUGAUCUUCAUCUCACGACCAAUAUAUUAAAAUUUCAGCUGAUUCUAAAUUUGAACUGUCUCUUCUCCUUCGAACCUUGGACUCUCUCCCUCUUUUAUUUCUCUUUUUGUUUGAACACUCAUUUCUCUCUUUUCACUAUAAAAAACAUUCGACCCUAAUUCUUUUUUUUUUUUAAAUGUGCUUGGCCCCGUGAGGCGGACCCAGCCCAUCGUCAAGUAGGAAGUGCACUUGUUGGAAUGACUCAGACUGAAAAUGGCUAGGGAUGCUAGAAUCAUUAUAACUAUCUUGAAGCCUUGUAAAUACAUGGCCAUUUAUCUCUUUUGGUCUGGAAGUCGUUUUUUCUUAGGUUCACGAGGAUUCCUCAUUCUUAUUUUCCCGUGAUUUUCUUAUUUGACAAUGGAAAUGCAUUAGCAAACAUUAACUCGUGGAACACAUAUUGGUAUAUGCCGUUUGGCAUAAUAAAAAUGCUGUCAAUUCCCAUUGGCUGGUUCCUUCUUGACAUUGCAUAUUUCCUCUUGCCUUUUCUUCUAAGCAAUACAACCAAGAAUUGAGAUGAAUUGACACAACUACGUGAGAAGUUUAGGUGCACAGAACUCAUUGUCUUGCUACGCCUCGCUUCAAAUAGCUGUCCCUUCAUUGUUUUCUAUCUAUACUAUUCAUUCACGAAGUUUUUUGAAAUUUUGAUUUUAUGAUGUUGGGUUUUACGUAAGAGUGAUCGAGGGCCGGGUCAAACAUUGGUCUACUAUGGUAUCCUUUUUCAAAUUCUCAAAGCUCUCAGAGGCUAAAGUCUAUUGUUUUCCAUAUGAAGUUCAUAAGGAGACGUUGUUCUGACAUGUUUUGCGCAAGAUCUAAGUUCUCUGUUUUGAAGUGUUAAAUUAUGUCUCGAGUUUGAGUGUUUACAAAAUGCGAUUCGUUGGAUUUUUGAAGAUUUAUAAAAGAGAAUAAAAUAGAAUAUAAUAAAAAAGGGCAGCAAAGUUUUCUUUUUCGUUGCAAGAAGGCCGAAUAAGGUUAGUUAUGUGGGGCCCAAAGUCAAAUGUUUGACUUUGGGCACACGCAUAUAUUCCACACCGGAGUUUCCUUUUCGCUAUGGAAAUUAAAGGGUGGAGUCUGCACGUGGAGCCGAAAAAAAAAGGAGAGCUGGUGGGCCUAGGUCAAUUAUUUGACCUUUGGGCACAUGUUUUUCUUCAUUAGGCGUGCGUGAAGUGGUUUAAAAAAAAAAACCCUACGAAAGCAGAGAAAGAGAGGAGCCGCACAUACUUGCUGCUUGAGAAGAGCCGCAAGUUUUCCUUGAAGCCACAUGAAGUUUUCCAAAAGAAAGUGAAGAUUUACGUACGUGGACCAAAGACGAACGCCGGAGUUCUUGAUUUUGGUGUACGUAGAGCAUUUUGUUUUGAGCUUGAACACGUGAUAAUUUUCUGCCGUGGAUCUAUAUCUAAAUGAGUUGUUUAUUUAUAAACACUUUGAGUUUGGGAUUAAAUCUAGGUGUGGAAAACACUUGAGCAUAUGAAUGAUUGUAAACUCUAAUUCUCCGAUUAUAGUGGAUUAUUUGCUGCCGACUUUGCCGUGGACGUAGGUACCGAUACUCGGACCGAACCACGUAAAUUUUUGGUGUCUUUAUUUUUUUCGUUUAUUUCUCUGGUGAUUUUGUGUUAACGAAAAUUGCAAGAUCCUAUCAUUUCCGCGUAUUUUAUCCCAACAUGAAGAAUAGAAAAGAUGCUUGAUGAUGAACUAAAACCCCAAUGAGUUCUACUUGUAUUUGACAAUGGAGCAGGCCUAGUAAAAACAGCCCAUCAUGAUUUAAAACCUCCACGAUUUUAGAGGGCUGGAUAUCGUCUACCUUCACGCUCUUGAAAUAUGAGGUAGCGCUAGAACAGAACUUGUAGUCUUUCUGAAACAAUGGAUGAUCUCCUCUUGAGAUGAAACGAUGACCAGUGGUCUUCCUAAUUUGAGCACUUCAAGUUCGAAGCUCUAAUGAAAACGAAGUCCGGAUCUCUCUAUUUUGGACGAUCAAAAGAUGCUAAACUUCUAUUAACGACUCAUGCCACAGCAACAUGCACAUGGCACUCCGAAUAGGAACGGAUUGAUUGCCCUCUCUGUCAUGAUACACGGUUGUAGUAAUUGCACAAAACCCAAAAUUAUGGUGGAUGGCCACGAUUAGGGACAAUUAGUCUCUGAUUGAAUGCACUCUGAAAAGAUCCAUGAUUGAAACUCGUCUGCAUAUAAGUCGAUUUUGCAUCUAAAUAAAUCCCAAAUAAACAUAUAGAAGGACUAAUAAUGAUCAAGAGUUUAAGAGUUCAUAUAAAUGCUCCAUUUCAUCCUUACAUGGACAUUUCGAUUUCAAGAUAACAACACUGGAUACAUCGUCAACUUUACAUUGAUACAAAAGUAAUUUUUUUCUAAGUCUGACUUGACAUGGAUAAAUUCACUCCAAAGACACUAGUCUGGGUAAAGACUAGACGCAGAAACAUUUUGAAAUAUCACUUGAGUGCAGCUGUUGUCUCUACAAACGAAAGUAGAUGCCAGAAUGUUCUAGUUUUGCUUCUUCCAAAACAGAAGGCAGUUCUAUACUUGGGCAUGAACGAAACAUGGUCCGCAUCCUCAUGCUGAUAUGAAAUACUCAACUUUGGUUGACGGUCAAAAUAUUUAUCCUAAAUGCAAAUAAAGUAAACACAUAAGUGAGGGAAACAGUGUAUUGAAAAAAGUUUGAGACUUAAUCAAUUAGCUCAAGCGACUCUAUUUUUCAUUAAAGAUCUUAAACUUCUUGCGUGUGGUUGACAGAGCCACAUCAUUUAUCAGACGAUAACUUCUAUGAAUUGAUCCGGGAAAUGGCUUGAAACUAUUGCAUCUUUCACAGGCUCAGCGGCUGUCACUGAAUAUUGAACGCCGUGGAAAGUGGUUGAACAAGCUGAUAGUCUCUGAGAAAUCCUGUCCAUCGACGGCCUGAUUUGGGGAUUAGCGGAUAAGUAAGCGACUGCAAGCUUGAAUAUGGUCAGAAAUUUAUCCUCAAUGCCUGACGUGGGCGUUGGUAGGCGUGAAUCCAAUAUAUUCCUCAAAACAACUUAGAUCUCUAUGUCGACUGGAGCUACUAGAGACAAAAUGUUGUCACCUAGAUGUCUUCCUUUGAUCACCUUGAUGGCCACUAUUCCAAAGCUAUACACAACACAUUUCUCUGUCACCUUCAUUGUGUAAGCAAGCUCUGCACAAAGAGGGUGAUAUAUGUAUUAGCAUGAAGACAUUGCUUUAGCUCAACCUUCGGAUUAAGAGUUGAUUUUAGAGUUUACCUAGAGCUACACGACCAUAUGUGUCGACAACUAAAGUCCAGUUUGAUGUAUCCGGCUUAAGAAGCUUAGUUGUGCCGAAGUCAGAAAUAUGCGCCUCGUACUCGGAAUCAAGCAGAAUGUUGUUACUUGAAAUAUCUCGAUGAAUGAUAGGAGGGUUACAAUCACGGUGCAUAUAAGAAAGAACAUAUGCCACGCCUUUUAUGAUAUUCACCCUCUUGUUCUGGUCCAACUCUUGAGCUUCUUCUUCAUUGCUCAAGAUCGUAGACAAGCUUCCUCUGUCCAAAUACUCAUACACUAAGAAAGAGUGGCAUAGAUGUGAACAAUAGCCCUCAAGUUUCACAAUACUGCGGUGUCAAAUUUCUGUCAAAGCCCCGAUCUCAUUCAAAAAUUCCUUUUGAUCAGUUUGCCCACUAUCAACCAUUUGAUUGAUCUUCUUAACAGCUACUAUAUACCUGAUCUUAAUUUGGCCUUGAAGACACUUCCACAGCCUCCCCUUCCAAUACAAUAAAUCUCAUCAAAUGCCUCGGUGGAUUCUAUGAUGUCUUCAUAUAAUAUCUUUCCAUUGUACUUUGAUGGGGGGAAAGACUUCAGUAGUCUUGGGUGGUAGUUCCGGUAUUCGAUGGAGCUUCUUUCUACAAAAAAAUGAAGAAUAUUCCAAGGAAAAUAAACAGAAGAACUGCACCUAAUAGAGGAAACACAAUAAGAAACACUUUGCCUCCCGUAGGAGAGCUUUCCCUAUCCAACACCGCUUAUAUGACAUCAUGAAUUUCCAGUUCUAUUUUCAAUUAAAUGAAUCAGCUUUUCAUUGACGCGCCUAUAGUUCUAUUCUCUGAGCUGAUUACUCACGAGAUAACUAGUCUAUUUGGUGAAGCCGUUAAGGGAUUUUAACGUAAUAGACUUGAGAAUUUGACCAAGAAUCCAUCGCUCGACCAUGUUAGUUUGCAAGGAUCAUUACGGCACAGUUAAAAAUCGACCAGAGAUUAGAGAUAGGUUGACUCGACUGAGCCAUGUGAUUAAGUGUGGGUGAUUCCACCUAAUUGCAAAAUCCUCGUUAAUAAGCACUAGACCAAUUUUUUUUGUUAUUUUGGUACCAUGUGUCUGCAUUUGAAACCUCGAGAUUUUUACGACAACUGAAAGUUGCCAAUGUAUCGAAGAUGUACAAUGUGGCUCGAAAUAAUUGACCACAGGCCAAUUGCACUAAAAAUUCCUAAAAGCUACCCGAUAGGUUAGGUCACGCUAAAAUCGUGCCAGAUUAAAAUUAACCGCGAAUUUGAACUCGAUUUCAGAAAUUGAAAGUUCUGUCAUGUCACGAUUUAUUUUAGGAUCAUUACCUCAUCCUUUGAAUAUUUUUCUGCAAAUCGAGAUUUUUGGCAAAAAUUCAAAGUAGGGCCAUUUUUUACCAGAAAAAUUCGAGGACCGUUUUUUAUCGCGUUUUCGGGAUUCACGUUGGUUCAAUUGGUAAGGAAAAAUGUUAAUUUAGUCUAGGACAUUUUGGUUGGAUUUAUGGGGAUCGAAUUAGACUCAAUUGGAGAGGAAUUAGGUUCUAUUCGGCGGAAAAUGUUACAAAAUUCGUAGGCCAUGGGAGGGGGAACAUUUUGACCACUUGAUUAGCUUCUAAGGGAAGAUUGUGGGCUGCCAAGGGGCCAUGGAUGACAUCCAUGGCUGGUGGGGCCUUGCCAAGGGACCAAAUGGAUAGAAUGAAGGCUUUAGAAGCCAAAGAGGGACCCUCCACCUUCAGCAGCUCCUUCUUCAUUUCCAGCCACCUUUCUCCAUUUUUAGUCUCUUUUGAAACUCCAAAGUUGCAGAGAAACCAACCAAGCUCCCCCUAGCCCGUCACACGCCCGCCGAGCCACCAAGACCACCGUGUCGCCGUCGCGUCACCCGUGAGCCUCACGUGCUAGCCCAUUCACAUCCCGCUUGUCCCACACCAUCUCGUCAUCCCCCGCGAUCCAUGGGCCACUGUCGAGCCUCCGUCUAGUCACCUGAGCCGUCUCCGUUGCCAUCCAGUCACUGUUGAGCGUCGCCAUCACUCGCUGCAACCAUCACCACCCGUCCUAGCCAUUUCCAGCUCAACUCGUUGCUCGGUUCGCCCUCUCGACCUAGCAACCAAAGCCGAAGACCAGCAAGGGUCUUUGGGCUUCGAGGCCCGUUUCGGACCUUUUCCGGGCCUUGUUUGGCUUCGUCGCCAAGAGAUUUGUUGCCCGUCUCCUCGUUGCUGUCGCCGUGGACUCAUCGGAUUGCUAAACAGGUGAGUUUACUUACUAAACUUGGCUUAGGGAGUUAAUGACGUUUAAGGGGUGUUUAGAUUAGGUUAAUUAAGGUAUGCAUGUUAGAUGGAUAGGACGGCUUAAUUAGGGACUAGAUAGAUCGUGCUAUUUAUCUAGAUUGGUUCGGAAAUUUUCCGGAUCCGUUUCGGUGUUUAAUUAGGCAUUUUCGGCCAAAGUUUCUAUUGUUGGUAAUUAAUUGCAUUUAUUUAAUUAUUUUUGGUAUUUAUUUAAUUAAUUAUUAUUUUUUUAAAAUUAUACCGAGAUAGCCGGUGACCGGAAUUUCAUGCCGAUUGCAAUGGUGUGCUUCGUUUAUUUAAUUGAGUGCUAAUUUGUGCAAAUUUAGUGGAAAUUGUAAUUUUUGGUAUUUAUAUCAAAAUUGUGUAAUUUCGGUAUUUAAUCAGAAAAUACCAAGGUGUCGAUUUUUAACGUCAAAAAUGUUUUUAGGCACUAUAUUAAAUAGUGGGAUUUUUAAAAAGAAAUAUAUUAUAUUUUGGCUUAGACCGACCAUGUAUCCACACACGAUUAUUUUUAUCGGGUAUUUUCAACACAAUGAAAACAUGCCAAGUUCGUUAUUUAAUUGAGGAAUCAGUGUGCAAAACACAAGGUCCUUGGUUGAGAUUGAUUUAUCAUGUAUCAGCUUAGGUGAGCAUUAUUGAAUUGUUAGCUUGUAAGAGCAGUAUGCUAUAUCAGCCUAUGUGGGCUUGAUAUGUCAGCUUGUGAAAGCAGUAUACCUUAUCAGCUUGUGUCAGCAAUGAUCAUUUAUCAACUUGUGCGAGCUACUAUCUAUCUAUAUCGGCUAGUGCAAUAUACCAUCUAUCUAUAUAUUAGCUUGUGAGAGCUAUUAUCGUCUAUACUUCAGCUUGUGGGAGCAGUAAUUGAAUCGAUUGUUUGAUAGAUGGUAUUGAUUGAUAGAUGGUAUGAAUCAUAUCGAUUGUGUCGAAUUGAGUUGAUUGACUAGGUGGAUCGAUGGAUCGAUGAUUUGAAUUGAAUUGAUUGGUUGAGUAUAUGAAUCGUACUGACUUGCAGGAAUGAAUUGAGGCAAUGUAAGUCAUCUGUCUUGUGUGUGCAUAGACUGCCUUUAGGCGUAUUUCUUUCUUAAUUGGAGUUUAGGGAGUGAACUUGCUGAGACAUUGUCUAACCCCGUCGUGGGCUCAAUAUUUUUAGAUCCUUAGAUGGUGGUUCCUCCGGAACGUUUUGGUUGGCCCAUGAGGGUUAUCGAGCGGGUUCUUAGCUACCCCGAUCCCGGAAGUCACUGGGUCUAUGAAAUUGUGGUGACCACCAUCUGGGUCGAAGAGGACCUACCUCAUAGGGUAUCUUAUCGAGUUAGAGCGUGGUUUCACUAUGGACCCAAUGGAUUCAGGAUGGGUCCCAUCAGGGGUUAUGAAAUUUCUGUUGUAAUAGUUGAUAGGGGUGUGCAAAAGAAUCGGGAUCCACCCGGACCGCCUGGAACCGGAUCGGAGCCACCUGGAAUCGGUGGUUCUUGAGGGAAUUGGUCCAAUUCCUAGUUCCAAUUUAUGGGAAUCGGUGGGUACUGGUCCAGUUCCCAGUUCCAUGGGCAGAUCCGUCCACCUGCCCACCCAGACCGGACCGGACCGAUUAAUUUUUAAUAUUAACAAAAAUUGAAAUUACUAAUUAACAAACCCUAUCGAAUUUUCUCUCUCUCUCUCUCUCUCUCUCUCUCUCUCUCUCUCUCUCUCUCUCUCUCUCUCCAUCACCACCGUUUUCCAGCUUCAGCUUCAUGCUUGUUAGUCGACCCACCACCGAAAACCUUACCAAGUCCCGAGAGCCUAUGGCUCUCGACGCUCCCUUCCUUCCCCAAAAACUCGAAAGAUCUCAACUUUGAGGUUCCCCAGCUCGCCAUCCUCCAUCGACGUUGCGGAGCUCCAUUGCUUCCCGGUGAAAUGGCACGAAAGGGAGCUAUAAAACAGUAGUGAAGAAACCUUAAAACACUGCCUCCACCCCUCCAAAUCCAAAUACCAUAACCCUCCCAAGUACCCAUCUUUAUUCUAGCUCAAAAGCCUUCUCUUUCCACUACAAUGUCCCAUCUUUUUGGUUCUUUGACAUUGCCCCUUCCAUUGGUCAUUCUUUAUUGGUGAGACCGGUUCCAUAGAUCCACCCGAGAACCGGACUGGACCGGUGGUCCGGUUCCCAGGUGGAUUCAUGCAACAAACGAGUGGAUCUCAGUUCCAAAUUGGAACCGGUCAUUAGCGGGCAAUUCCCGAUUCUAGGUCGGGAACCGCCCGCUCAGACCAUGCACACCCCUAAUAGUUGAUGUCACUCUAGGUGAAAGUGCAGCUGACCCUCCUAAUGGUGUGGUGGAGGACCCGACGCCCCCGGAGCCUAUGGAGACAGAAGGAUCGGCGAAUAUGUCUGGCUAGUUGGUCUUCGGAUAGCUUCGUUUGAGAGCCACUCUUUUGUAGACUUUUGUCUAUAGACUAGUAUUGUAAAUAAACUAGUUAGCUGUGUAUAAAGGUGUGUUGUGGUUGUGUAAUGAUGGUCCUGCUUUUCUAUCACAUCUUUGUGCUGUCUGGGGAUUUAUUUAUACGCUCCACAUAUGCAUUCAAAUGAAUGGGUCGGCGAUGCGUCCUAGGACGUCGCAAUAUAAUUGACCACCGAGGGAUGGGCACGCGCUUGAGGACUGGGGCAUGACAACUUACUUGGCUCUAGUCCUUCAACAUUUCCACACAAUCCAUUGUUGCCUUGUAACACUUCUUUUGUUGCAUUUUGGAAUGCCGUGGUGUUGGGGAUUGGUGUAAUACUUGAGAUUCAAGCGGUGGGGCCCACACAAAAAAGAAAAAAAAGAAGAAAGAAGUUUGAAAAGUCAAAAUAAAAUGGAAAAAGAAGUGAGUGGGGCUAAGCUCUUUUAAGAGAGCCCGAACUAGUUCAGGAAGAGAGAGAAAAGAAGACAGAGAAAGAAAGAAAGAAAGAAAAGGAGGAGGAGGAAAAAGAGGAAGAGGGUUUGACGCGUGCAUGCUGUGGACACCUCGCCAAGCCGACUUGAUUCUGUAAUGCAAUGCCCAAUAAGAACUUAUGCCCCUUGUUCGUCCAAUCAAAGUAUUUUCUAGGAUUAGCGCUCAAAUUCGAAAUUUGGAAAAAAUCUAGCAGCGAAGUUCGAUUUUUGAGUUGUUGAGCCACGUAAUUUUAUAGAAAUGAUAGUUUAGGGUGUUGUAGAGCUAUAGGAUUUUACGGAUCAUGAUUAAAGCUUACGGUUUGCCUAAAACAAAAUUUUGAAUUUCUUGCGUGCGAUGAACAGUACACGUCCAGCAUAUUCGGGUCCUUAUUUUGUUGUUUUUCAGCCUGAUUUUGGGAUGGUCAAGUUGGGAUUCUUGUAAUCUAUUUGAAGAGCUUUCUAUUAACUAUAAGUAUGUUUGGAAUAGGGUUUAUAGGAGAAAGUUAUGACAUAACCAAAGUUGUGCUCAACCUACGCAUUGCGAACAGCUUGAAUAAUCGCUUUGGGUAUAUGAUUUGUUAGUACAUAUGAGUCAUUUUGUUAGCAUUGAAGUGUAGUUUAGUCAUUUCGUAGUUAAGGUAGAGUUUUAUUUGAUUUUAACAUUAUUCCUUGGUUAUUUGAUAGGGCUACGAGUUCAACGAUACGAGUAUCAUUAUUAUUUGAUUGUAAGUGUCGAGAUGAGUGGUACUAUAUCUUCUUUGAAUUUGUAAAACUCAUGUUUUGAAAAUGCUGCAAAUUAUAUAUAUAUAUAUAUAUAUAUAUAUAUAUAUAUAUAUUAUGAAUUAAGAAAAUGCAUUGUUAUUGCAUAAAAGCCAGAUUGAAUACUUACUACUCUUUGGUUAUUUGUGGAUGUUUAGAAAGUGUAUUUGCAAAGUAUUGUAAAGUAAUAUAUACAUGUGACUACUUUGCAACUAGCUUAUGGAAAUGUCUAUAAAUGACUUAAGAAAUGAUGGAUGAUUAUGUUCUGGCAAAAAGUUAUUCUUUUGGUUUAGGAAAUUGAUUUCUCGAUUGGAUUCCUAGUAUUGGAGGAUGAAUAUUUAUGUUCAAUAGGACUAUGAACCUAGUGAGGGGUUAAGGGUUAUGCAUAUCGGGGUUAGGAUAUCUUUUUAGGCCGAGCCACUGGCUUUGUAGGCAGAGACUUUGCCAAGGGGGAAUCUUGGUUACCUUAUUACCAGUGUGACGUCAUGAUUUUCAGGUUCUACUUUCGAUUGGAUAAGUUGGGCUUUUCAUCGACGUAUCUACAGUGCUAUUCUCUGGGUUGGCCACUCACAAAAUAACUAACUAUUAGGUGAAGCUGUUAAGGAAUAUAAAUGUAAUAGAUUUGAGAAUUCGACCAGAAAUCGACUGUUCAACCGUGCUAAUCUAUAAAGGUCAUUACGGCAUUGUUAAAAUCGAUUAGAGAUCAGGGAUAGGUCGAUUCGAUUGAGAUGUGUGAUCAAAGUGUGGGUGAUUCCACCUAAUUGCAAAAUUCUUGUCAAUCGACAUUAGAUCGAUUUUUCUGUCGUUUUUGGUACCCUGUGUCCGUAUUUGAAAUUUGGAGAUUUUCACAAUUACCAAGAGUCACCAAUGUGUCAAAGAAGUAUGCUGUAGCUCGAAGAAAAUCAACCACGAGUUAAUUGCACCAAAAUUUUUUAAAAGCUACUCGGUAGGUUAGGUCAUGUUAAAAUCGUGCCAGAUUAAAAUUAACCAUGAAUUUGAAUCCAAUUUAAAAAAAUUGAAAAUUCGGUCAUGUCACAAUUAAUUUUAGAAACGUCGACUCAUCUUCCGAUUUGGUGAGUUCAGGAUUUUUAAGGAAAAUCGAUUCGGACGAUUCGGAAAAAAAAAAAUCAGAUUGAUCAAAUUGAAGGAAUCUUUGGCCUCAAAAGUGAGCUACUUAGCAAUGGGAAAUCGUGAACAUUGUGUGGGCUUCUUUCUAAAAAUAAAAUAAAAUUGGACAUUAAAUUGGAGAAUUGGAUAGAAAUGGAAGUCCAAUUUGUGAAUUCGGAGGCUAGUGUGGGAUUGCAACGUUUGGCACCAAAUUUGACUUGUUUGUGGAAUUUUAUAUGCAUAAAAGCUUAGGGGACAUUAGGGAUUUGCAUGUGAGCUUGUGGGACCAAGACUUGGUGAGUAUAAGAUAUUUUAUCUAUUUUCCCCCUCCUCCUCCUUCAGUCCCUCCAUUUCGCGUGCCUCUCUACUUCUUUUUCUUAUUUUCGUACGUCCUCCCCACCAGCUGACGAUCCCGUGCAUGCUCUUCCUUUUGCUUGUUUCUUUGACCAUGUGGGCCAUUCUUAUCCACAUUUCUCGUACGNNNNNNNNNNNNNNNNNNNNNNNNNNNNNNNNNNNNNNNNNNNNNNNNNNNNNNNNNNNNNNNNNNNNNNNNNNNNNNNNNNNNNNNNNNNNNNNNNNNNCGAGCAGCCUAUUCACCAUUCCAGCUUUCCGCCCCAACAAAACCGGUCCACCGAGCAACCCCUUGCAUCUUCCAUCUCUACCGAAGCAGCAAGUCCAGCAGCACAGAAGCAAAAGCCAAGCUCAAUCGUGAGCUUCCUUUAGGCCGUCUCGGCCCCGCUUGGUGCUCCCGCUUCAGAAUUUGUUGGCCACUGUCGCCGUGGAUUAAGUGGUUAGUUAGAACAUAUUAGUGAUUUAGUCAUUCGAUAUUACAUGUUAGAUGGUUAGAGUAGUGCAAUUAGCAAGUAGAUAAGUCGUAGUAUUUAUUUAAAUAGGUUCGGAAUUUUUUUGGGCCCAUUUCGGUAUUUAAUUAGGCUUUGCCAGCCUAAGUGUGCAUUUUUGCUAGUUAUUGGUAUUUAUUAGUUAAUUUUCGUAAUUAUUUAAUUAAUUAUUAUUUUUUGGAAAUUACAUCAGGAUAGCUGGUGACUGGAAUUUUAUGUUGAUCACAAUGGUAUGAUUGGUUUAUUUAAUUGAGUGCUAGAUUGUGCAAAUUGAGUGUGAUUUGUAAUUUUGGGAAUUUAUCCUAAAAUUUAAUAAUUUCAAUAUUUAAUUAGAAAAUACGGGGCGUCGGUUUAUAGCGUCAAAAAUGUGUUUGUGGACUAUUGGAAUUAGUGAGAUUUUAAAAAGGAAAAAUAUUGUAUUUUGAUUAAGGCCGAUUGUGUACCCAUACAUGAUUAUUUUUAUUGGAUAUGAUAAAAAUGGUGAAAUUGUUAGAUGAUGAGGAUGGUAUACUAUAUCAAUCUGCGGGCUUGAUAUGUCAACUUAGAGUGAGUAGUAUACUCUGUUAUCAGCUUUUGACGAGCUAUAUUUAUUAUUAGCUUUGGGUGAGCUAUACUAUCUAUCUUCAACUUAGGGAUAGCAAUUCUUGAUAUGAUCGAACUCAAUAGAUAGUAUUGAAUGAGUUGACCGAGAGAUGGUUUUGAUGGCAUGAAAUCGAUUGGGUCGAUUGGUCAAUGAUUCGAUCUAAGUUGAUGAUUUGAGUUAAUUUGAGUUGAAUUGAUUUGUUGAAUUAUACUAACUUGCGGGGAGGAAUGGAAGCAAAGGUAAGUCCUCUGACUUAUGCUUGUACUUAGGUAGCCCUUGGGGUGUAUUUCCUUCCUGGUUAGAGUUAGGGGGUGAACUUGUUGAGACAUCAUCUCACCCCAUUGUGGGAUAACAUUUUCAAGUUUUAGAUGGCGAAUCCCCCUGAGCAUCACGGUCGUCCCAUGAGGGUUACCGAGCGGGUUUCUAGUUUCCCCGAUUCCGGAAGUUUUUGGGUCUAUGAGCUUGUUGUAACCAUUGUCUGGGUCAAAGAGGUUCCACAUCAGGAGAUACCUAAUCGAUUCAGAGCGUGGUUCCAUUACGCUCCCCACGGUGUCAAGCUAGGUCCCCUUAGGACUUUUGAUAUUCUCGCCAUGGUAAUUGAUGCUACUUUGGAUGAGGAUCCAGCUGACCCUCCUGGUGGCGUAGUGGAGAACCCGCCGUAGCGCCCGGCUCUUGUGGACACUAAAGAAUCAGCGAACAAGUCGAACUAGCUGGUCAUAGGACAUCUUGUUUUGAGAAUCGACAUUUUUUUAGACCUUGUAAAUAUCGGCUAAUAAUGUAUAUAAAUUAGUCUGGUAUGUAUAAAGGUGUGGUUUGGUUUUCGAAAAUUUGUGGUCCUAUUUUUCUAUCCCAUCGUUGUGUUGUCUGGGGAUUAAUUAUUUGCUUCCGCAUGCGUAUUACAAUGAAUGGGUCGGCAAUGCGUCAUGGGAUGUCACUAUUUGAAUCGACCACUGAGGGAUGGGCACGCGCUCGAAGAUUGGGGCAUGACAACUAGGCAUUGUGUCAUGACUAUGGUAGGAUAGUGAGCCAUAGAUUGGUCAAGGUAAUGGACCAUUGACGUGUGAUUUGAUGAGAUUAAUCAACGGAAUAGACCAUUGAUACGUGAGUUGUUCAAAUUGAUCAAUGAAUUUGACUAUUGAUGUUUAUGAUGAUUAAAUGAUUAUUUUAUAAAUUGCAUAAAGCUUGUUGAAAUUAAAUAACUCAUGUGAUUCGAUACAUAUUUUAUACCUUGAGUUUGGAUUAUGAGUUUUUGGUAUUGUUUUUAUUUACAUGCAUAGUAGUUGUUCGAUUUGCUUAGAAGAUAUACAACUCAUUGACCUUAUGGUUGCUCACCUCUCUCUUUCCCAACCUUCUCAAGUUCUUUGGUUAGCAGCUAGUAGAGCAAGAGUGUUAUCGACAGGGGCUUUUGGGAGUUGAAUUUUGAUGGUUUGAGGCUGCGUCCUUCGAGUGGAAGGACAACCAUGUCAUCUCCAUCCUCGUAGGGUUUGGGGUGUGAUAUAUUGUGAUAUCAGAGUUUAAGUUAUGAUUUUUAGGUAUAGAUUCUUUGGGUCAUAGUGAGCUCGUGUGCUAGCGUAUAAUGCGUUAGUUUUUUGGGAGAUACUUGGAUAUAUGUUUCUUUUGGUGCAAGUGCUCAUCAAUUAGAGAUGGGUGAGUUAUUAUCUUUGAUGCCAAAAAUGGAUCUUAUGGUUCUUGAGGUUCACUUUUGAUAAGGAGAAUUUAUCUUGAAAGUCUUGAGGUGUUACAUGAUGAUAUUCGGUGUAAUAAGAAUUGAUUUUAGAAGUCAUAAACUUGAAUGGUCAUGUGAGACAUAAAUUUACUUAUGGUGAAUAGGUGGGAUCGGUUUGUGAACUUUUGAAUUGCAGGUGAUGAUCUUACUUUAAGCAACUUUAUGGAGCUAAUAGACAUGGUUAGUUUCAAUUGUAGUUUUCCUAGAGGCAAAGUGAAUAUUUAAGUGUUUGAUUUAAGAAGUGAUAAAUUUUAAGUGAUGAUUCUUUAAGUUUAGAACUUGAGGCUCAUUAGAUUUAAUGGAAGCUAGCUAAGUUCUUAUCUCGGCGAUUUGAGGAGUUAUAGGCAUUUAGCCGUAAGUGAUGAUCUCAUAAAUGAUGAUAUUAUUAGGUUAUGAUUGUUAGGGAAAUCCAUUAUGAUGUUUUGAAGAUGACAAAAUAAAUCAAUGGCUACUAAUGUGUUUAAUUGUUGAGUAGUAGACUAUGCAGAUGAUAGAACAUGUAAAUGAUAUUAUUCAAAGUCUAUUUUGAAGAUUUCCAGACUUUUGUGUCAAAGUCUGAAGACUGCCAUACUUUAGUGUCAAUGUCUGUUCUACAUCAGAAGUUUGCCUACUUUGACAAAUUCUAGAUUGAACGUGAAUGAAGAACCAGAAGAUGGACUUUAUGCUGAAGCUGAACUUAUUCAGACUGUGUUCAGACCUUAAAGCUAAAUAUGUUCAGAAGCAGAAUAUGUUCAGACCUAGAUUGUAAAGUCUAUUGUACUCGGAUUCAAAUUGUAAAGUCUAUUGUACUCAGACUUUACAUUCAAAUUCGACAGAACGUAACACAAGCCCUAAAUGUAUAACGGCUAGUGAUCUGAUUUAGAUUCUACAUCAAGAUUGAUUUGAUUGACUAAAUCUAAUUGAUUGACAAAUGGAUCAUGAAGACAAGAACUUUCUAUACGAAGAAGCUCUACUUAUGGAAACCAAGAUUCUGUUUGUAUGGGUGAUCAGAAUCAAUUUGGGAUUCUAUUUUUAUCACUCAACGGCUACCAAAUCUUUUAGAUAUAGAUCUGUCCAAUGGGUAGAUUGGAAGAUGAUCUUCAAGAUAUUGUCCAACGGCUAGUUUGGAAGUGGAGGAGUAUUUAAGGAAAUUAAGGAACGAUGAGCAAGUAAGAGACGGGGCGUAGAAUUUAAAUUCCAAAGUCCGAGCAACCUUCGAUCAUACACUUGUCUUUGGUGAGCUUAAACGUUUGUGAUUGUUAGAGAAAUACCAAAAGAGUGACUUAGUGAAAUAGUGUGAUCUACUACUAAGUGUUUGCACUCAAAGUUGUAAGCUAUUGUUGAUUGCAUAUUGGAAUCCAACCAAAAGGCUGUUAGCGUGGGAAAGUGGACGUAGGCUUGAUCUAAGCCGAACCACUAUAAACUUUGUAUUCUUAUUCUCUUCCCUGAACUCCUUUAUUUUGUUCGUAGUCUAUUUAACUACUAAAGUCUGAACUCGGUCAAAGUCUGUUGUUCUUCAAACUCAGUUUCAAAAGUCUAUUAUUAUUUAGACUCAAGUUAAAAGUAAAGGUUUUCACUGCAUUUUGCAGAAUCUAUUUUUACACCUAUUCACCCCCUUCUAGGUGUUCAUACUAGUACUUUUAAUGAUCUAUUUUGGUGUAGAUUUUAUAGGACGUUGUGAGGUCGUGUGUUAGUUUGUAAUGCGUCAGUCUUUUGUACAUUUCUUUUUAGGUCCAAGUGGUCAUUGAUUCUGAUUUACAAUGGUGUAUCUUAAGGUUCUCAACAUGCAGUUUUGGUAGGAAACUAAAGGGGAAAAUAUAUGGGGAGUCAUGACUCAAGAGAUGUACUCUUGAACGGGACGCAAUUGUCAUCCACCAUGGACAAGCAAGAAGACAAGGAGCUUUUAGUCUCUAGUGCAUCAGAAAGUAUAAUGUCGGCAAGCUAAGAUAGAAUUAGUGGUGGAAGGGAAGAAACCUUAGAUGGAGCCAAGGAUUCUGGUGGUCAAGGUCGGAGGAGGGGCCUUGUUGUGGAAACUGUUGCAAAGGAAUGUGCAUUUAAUAAUGGAAAUGACUUAAUAGUCAAGGUUUCAGAUUUUGAAGUCUUUGUAAAUGGCGGUUGCAAACCUAGUGAUGAAGAGAAUCUAAACGUUUAAGGUAGGUGUGAUGCAUUGACUAGCAGAAAUAGGAGGUUAAAGAGAGAUGCAAAGUCUUUGCAAGAAGAAAUUAAGAGCUUAAAUUGGUGCUAUAAAGUGUUCUCUCCCAAGUAGGGUAGGCAAGUCUCGACCUUGCAUGUGUCGGAUAAAUAGUGAAGGGGUAUAUAUAUAUAUUUUUGUCAUCACAAAGCCAGUCUAAGAACAUAAGGUCUGCAAAACAUGGGGGUUCAUAAAACUACAGAUUCUCUUGCUCCACCUCCUUACUAUCAUUGGAGCCUUCCUCCGAGUACACCGGAGUUCCUGGAUCUUCAAGAUCGGGGUCCACCGGGUCUACCAUCAAACCACCAGGGGGAUCUACAGUGUCUUUCCAAAAAGCAACCUCCAACACAUACACAUGUAUCUCCGACUCAGAUAUGAGUCCCUCUCUCUGUCCGUGCCGCUUACGACGGUACCAUGAUCUGUAUCAAUGGGGUACCUUGUGGGGUAGAGCCUCAUCCACCCAGAUUAUAGACUUCAUGAGCUCAUAGACCAAACCCCUAGGGUGCCCAUGAAUCGAAAUAUAGACUACUUGUUAUGUGAUCUUCUUCGGUUGACUAAAACGCUCGAGAGAAGCUACCAUUUAUGGACCUGAAAUUGUUAUCCCACAAUGGGGUGAGAUAACGUCUCAGCAAGUUCAAUCCCCUAAGACUUGACUACGAAAAAAAUACGCCCCAAGGGCUGCCUAAGCACAAACAUGAGUUCAAGGAUUUACCUUUGCCUCCACUUCUUCCUACAAGUCAAUAUAAUUGAAAUUCAUGGAAUCACAUCAACAAAUAAAAUCAUCACACCCAAUCAACUUAUCGAUCAAUCGACCUAAUUGAUUUCAUGUCAUCAAGACCAUCACACAGUCAUUUCAAUUACUCAUCCCAACUAUUAAUUAUGGCCCAAUGGGCACGGCCUACUAAAAGUUCAGCGGUGGAUUACGGCCUAAUGGGUACAGCUUGUUCCAAGUUCGACGGUAAAUUAUGGCCCAAUAGGCACAACCAUACUUCGGCGUUAAUUACAGCCUUAUAUGCACAGCCUGCUUCAACGGUUUUCUUAACUUAACUCAUUCAUCAUGCACCACAUACGUAACCUCAUCUCUCAAUAGUCAUCUUAUUACGACUAUAAUCCAUCACACGAUUAUUUACCCACGGCCAAUGACCAUUGUGCCUCACACUUCAAUUCCCCAAUUUAAAUCAUAUCUUGGCUUAUUUUCCUCGUGUUAAGGAUACCCAAUAAAAAUAAUCAUGUGUGGGUACAUAGUCGGCCUCAGUAAAAAAUAUAACAUCUUUACUUUAUAAAAUCCCAUUAUUUUCAAUAAUCCAUAAGGAUAUUUUUGGAGCUGUAAACCGACGCCCAGUAUUUUCUAAUUAAUUACCGAAAAUAAUAAAUUUUGGAAUAAAUACCCAAAAUUGCAAAUCAUACUCAAUCAGCAGAAAUUAGCAAUCAAAUAAAUAAUUCAAUUAUACCAUUGCAAUCAGCAUAAAAUUCUAAUCACCGGCUAUCCCAGUCUAAUUUUUGAAAAAUAAAUAAAUAAUUAAAUAAUUAUGAAAUUUAAUUAUUAAAUGCCAAUAAAUACCCAAAAUAGCAACUUAGGCCAGAAAAGCCUAAUUAAAAGCCGAGAUAGGCCCAAAAAAUUUUCGAACCACUCUCGAUAAAUACUAGAGCUUGUCUAGGCUUUAAUUAAACUACUCUAAUCACUUAACAUGCAAUAACGGUUAAUUAAAUUGCUAAUCUAUUCUAACUAUCCACCUAAUUCAUACUUAGUCCAAACUAAUCAACUAUUAAGCAUCAUUAACUAACUAAGUAAGGAUUAGUGAGUUAAACUCUCUUGAUUAAAGAUCCACUCGAAUCAAAACAACGGGGACGCAGCGAAGGUCGAGAUACUUCAAAGCGGGAUCGCCUUUCAAGGUCCCAAAAGCCACAAAAACGGGCUAAACAGCAGCUUGGAGACCCACACGGUUUGGUUCUGCACAAUGGCUGAAGGAGAUGCUCCGAUGGUCAAUUGAGGUUGAAACGGGUGGUGGGCCUAGUUGCGGGUCUAGGCGAGCUGUGGCGGUGUUUCAUGGCGGCGAAGGAGGCCCGAACGGGCUCUAAUGGUACUUGACGAUUUGCUGGGCACGAAUAGGAGGCGGAACCAACGUGCAGUGCAAGUAGACGGCGAGAGCAUGCAUGUGGGCGAGCAGCGCGAGCGACGGCAUGCAGUGGUCAGACAGGUUGCUGGGUUGCUUCGUCGGCUUGCUGGUUCGGUUCCUGGGCUUGCUAGAAGUUUUAAGGAGCUGCCAAAGGGGAAGGAGUCUACGGAAAUGGGGAAGAAUGAGAGGGGGAACCGGUUGGGCUAGAAGGGGGCCACCUUAGUCUUCUCUUAUCUCAUUUGGUCCCCUUGACUUGGCCCCACACCAAACUGACUUCCUCAGCACAUUUCCAGCAGCCUAGCUUCCUUCUAGAAGCCUUGAAGUAGUCCAAAGGUUGGGUCCAAGGGAGGCAAACGAAUUUGCACAACCUUUGGCUCAAUUUGGAUUAAAUUUUCACUUGAUUCAACUCAAGUCGGCCUCUAUAAAUUCCAUUAUCGAACUCACGAUCAAAUUGACAUUUUUCCUCACCAAUAGAUCUCACUUGCAUGCCAAUUUCGCGAUAAAAAACGAUCCUCUGCAUUUUUCAAUUCAAAACGACCCUACGUCGACUUUUUUCGCCAAAACCUCGGUUUGCAGAAAAAUCUUCGGAGACAAAGUCAAUGUUCCUAAAAUGACUUGUGACAUGACAAAACUUUUAAUUUCUGAAAUCAAAUUCAAAUUCGCAGUUAAUUUCAAUCUAGCGCGAUUUUAGCGUAACCUAGGCUACCAGGUAACUUUUAGAAAUUUUUAGUGCAAAUGACACGUGGUCAAUUUUCUUCGAACCACAAUGAACCUCUUUGAUACAUUGGUGACUCUUGGUUGUCAUGAAAAUCUCAAUGAUUCAAAUAUGGACACAAGGUACCAAAACGACAAAAAAAAUCAAUCUAGUGCUGAUCGACAAGAAUUUCUCAAUUUAGUGGAAUCACCCACGUUUAACCACACACCUCAAUCGAACUGACCUAUUUUUGAUUUCUAAUCGAUCUUACUGUGUCGUAAUAAUCUCUGCAGAUGAGCACGGUCGAGUAGUUGAUUCUUGGUUGAAUUCUCAAGUCUAUUUCAUUAAAAUUCUUUAAUAACUUCUCCAGAUAGUCUAGUUAUCCUUAGAGUGAUCAGCUCGAAGAAUAGCAUUAUAAGCGCAUCGAUAAAAAGUCCGAUUUAUUUAAUUAAAAACAUAACUAAAAAAUUUGAGAUGUCACAAGAACACCAUGCUGGUAGCCUUUUCUUAAAGGACUCGGAUUAGAGUGUAAUGAGCUCAAGCCAAAUGAAGACUUCCUUAAGCAGGGGCUUAGAAUCAUGAUCGAGCAAUGUUAGAUGCUGUAAAAGGAUAAGCAUGAGCUUCUAGAGAUGAAAACCUUUUCAAAUUGGAUCUAGGCAAGGCAGAGCAACAAUAGAAUGCACUAGAGAUUGAUAUGAAAGUGAUGUACAAGAAAUUGGUUGAUGUGCUAAUAAAUUACUGGCAAUUGCAAGUGUUGAGAAAACUCCUAUAAGGUUUUAAAGUUGACAAAACUUUCAUUCUCUUAUUCUUACUCUUACUCUAAAGAAUAUUAAACUUCUGUGGAAUACUGUCAAAGUCUAUUAGAAGUCUUUUCCACUCUAAUGAAGUGCAGACUGAAUUCAAGACAAGAAUGAAGUUAUAAUCAAACUUAAGAUUAUUAAUCUUUCAACAAGGAUUCAGUACGUGCAAGAUAUAUUUGGCUUUCUGGCGGAGAAUCUCACUUACAUUUUCUAAAUAUAUUGAUGAAAUCAAUCACAGAUUGAUAAAAUCAAUUUCGAAGACAAGUUCAUUCUUGGGAAGAUUCUACUUAUGGAAACCUAGAUUCUGAUUGUAUGGGCAACCAGAAUCAUCGGAUUUUCAUCUCAAUCUUCAAACGGUUACAAGAUUUUCUUAAUCAAUUCUGUACAAUGGGUUGAUUGGAAGAAAUUCCUUUAGAAAGUGCCAACGGUUAAAAAAGCAUAGAGGAGUAUUUAAGGAGGUCAUUCGAUCCAUUUGGGAGAGAGCAUGAGAAUAAAAAUUCCAAAGUUUGAGGUCUUUCAAAUCAUUUGUUCUUUAUUGAUAGUGCUUACAUAUUGUAUUUGAGAGAGAAAAACACAAAAUGAGUGACUUAGUGAGAGAAAAUGAAACUCUUCACUAAGUGAUCGUACUCAAAUCGUUGUAUUUCUCUGUUGAAUCCAUAGUGAAAUUCAGCUAGAAGGUUGUUAGUAUAGGAGAGUGGACGUAGGCUUGAUCUAAGUGGAACCCCUAUAAAUCUCAUGUCCAAUUUUCUCUUCCUUUAACUCUUUUGAUUUGUUUGUUGCAAUAUUUUUCUAAGUUCUGCUAAUUUCUAAAACAUCAUAUUUAAGUCUGAAUUUAUAUCAAAAAGUUGGUGUCAGUUAGACUUUGCUUAAAGAAAAUAACUUUUACUGCUUUUAUUAGCUUAAUUUGUUUUUACACUUAUUUACACCCCCCCCCCCCCCCUAUCUAGGUGGUAAUACUAGCACUUUCAGCAAGAAGAUAACUCCAACAGACUAAUCGGAAACCAAGCUUUGUUGGAGAAGAUUAUAGAUUCAAAAAAAAAAAAAUAGAAGCACGUUCUUCCGAGGGAAACUCUUAAGAUAAUCUAAGAACGAAAUCCUCUUGGUAACCUCUCUCUAUUUUUCUAGAGCUUUGGAUAGAGAAAUCUGAAGAACUAAAAGCUCUUGCUCAUGAUCCUUGUGGCCUCCAAGUGGUUAACAUCAAUCUAGCUAAGGAAGAAACAAGAGAUAGAGAGAGGCUUCCGAGGGAAACUCUUAAGAUAAUCUAAGAACGAAAUCCUCUUGGUAACCUCUCUCUAUUUUUCUAGAGCUUUGGAUAGAGAAAUCUGAAGAACUAAAAGCUCUUGCUCGUGAUCCUUGUGGCCUCCAAGUGGUUAACAUCAAUCUAGCUAAGGAAGAAACUAGAGAUAGAGAGAGGCUUCAGGUUAACUCAAUCGACAAGUUGGACAAAGAGUUCGAUGAAGGGAGGGACUUCAACCGUAAAUUAAACCACCAAAUUUUGAAUUGGCACUAGAUGAAACUAUAGAUGUUAUGGAGCUAGUUGAAGAUAAGCAACCUUGCUCUAAUGAGGAUUUCGCUCCUGAUGUCAGUCAUUCAAAUGUAGAAGACAGAGAAGUUGGAGAACAAGCUUCUAAUAUCAUUGUCGUUGGUUUAACUAAUAUCGACAAAAUGGAAAUCGAUAAUCAGCUUACAGACAAUGAAAAGCAAAAGGCAAUUGAGGAGACAACUAUUGUAGACGGAGGUUCAAAGCUAGGAAGCUUAGUGGGAGUGAACCAAACUGUUUAUAAGUUGCCAAAAAAAGAAGAAGAAGAUGAAAAUAUAUUGUCGAUGUCUAUUUCGGUUUGAGGUAAAGUAAGAAGCUAUUCAUGAUAGCCUGGACAGAUCUUUGAUCCUUUUGAAUGUUGUAAACUGCUCUUUGGAUGAUCUCAAGAGGGGUUGAGUUAGGAUUGGCUUGCUUUUUGCAUACCAAAGGAUGUUUACGACGAGAUAAACGUCCACAUUGUUGAAAAUAUUGGAAUUCGAGAAGAGUUAGGCUCCAGAGAAGUUGUGGAUGAAACCAUGAGUGCGAGUUCUUUCAAACCGAAUAAACUACUGGAGUAAAAAAAGAGAAAAAAAAAAAAAACAGAGAGAGAACAUUGGCUCCAUGCUUUUCUAGCAGAGGUGAUUGGCUCGGUCUUGUGAUAGCUAAAGCUUAGCUGUUGGCCUUUCACAUGUAGAAAGGUUAUAAUGAGCUCCCCGAAUUACAAUUUUGUGAAGGCUUAAUGGAAAGUUAGCUAAAGCUCUAAAUUUUGAUGGCGAUAAUCAUGUGGGCAAUAACACAGAAUUUGGCACUCUGUUUUUUAGGACACGAUGGUCUCCUCUUGGCGGGAUGGUUUGAAAGCCCCCAAAGGUUCGUCUCAUGGGCGCAAACACAACUUGAAGGAUAUAGAUGAUUACAAGAAGAAAGAGAGAAAUUUGGCUGAAUCAAUGGAUGACUCUAUUGAUUAUUAUACGAAGAAAUUGAUGUUGACAGUAAAGCUUCUUGUAUGUUGGUCUCACUAUCUUCUAGCAAGAGCCAUAAGGCUCGAGAUCCCAGUGCUUAAUCGAUCACGUGUGCAAUUCAGAUACUUAUAUUGCCUCUUCUUGAUCAUGUUCCACGCAAAGUUUGGGGCAAGUUUUUAGUCCAGCAAGGUGUUCCACUUAAUGCUUGAGAGGAACGUCGUUCCUUGGGCUACCAUAAUUCGAUGUUAUGGUGAGGCGGUUGUGAUAUGGAUGCAUUGUUUAAUCUGUUGAAUGAGGAGUGGAGUCCAGCUUGGUGAUAGGGUUGUAGUUGCUUGCUGGAUAUUUGUAGCAUACAAGAGUGCAAUGUUUGCAUUGUAUGCACUGAUAUAUGGUUUUGGAUCAGAUGUAGUUGUUGAGAUUAAGCGAGCGAUCAAACAAUAAUAUAAACGGAAGAAGAAAAUAAAUCGGACACCAGAUUUACGUGGUUCAGUCGUAAAUACCCACAUCCACAAGGAGAGCGGCAGCAAAUUUCACUAUAAAUCAAGUGAUAAGAUUACACACUCAAGUCACUCAAACACUCUCUUGGUGUUUCCCAAACCCCAAUUUAACCCUAAACCCAAAUCACGGCACAAAAUUACCGCAUGUUCAAGCUUCAAAAUACAACGCUCUACGUACACCUGGUUCGCGUACAUAUGAAAUCGCGUAUCUCUUCAAGCUUCUCGCAGAGGACUUGUGGCUUCGUCGAUCGUUGAACGUGUGGCUAUGUACGUAGGGUUCGGCGCCAAUUUUCAGAAGCCCGAAAAAAGACUUGCAAAAAUCUGCUUUUAUACAUGGGUGUACAAGACGUGUGCAGGGGACUCCAUCUUUACGCCAAAGAAGGAAAUCGUGCACCCAACCUUGGGCCCACCUACGCUCCUUACUUCGCUAAACGUGUGUGUGUCCAGAGUCAACACUUUGACUCUGGGCCCACCUAUUUUCAAUUCACGUACAGAGGCUUCAUGCCAAAGGAUUUCGGUAGAGCAUGGGGCUUCGGCAGCUUCACUCCAAAGAAGAAAAAUUCCUCUUUUAAUUAUUUCCUCUUUUGUAAAUCCGUCAAAAGUCCAGUGAAUCUCAAACUCGAGUCAUAAAUUAACAAUCUCCACCUUGGCUCGAUGUUUAAGCCAAGUCGCAAUCGCUUUGCAAAAAUUCAAACUCUGCUGCUACUUUCCCAUAGCCCCCGAUGGGCUCAACCGCCACAGAUAUUAUCCAAGUUCAAGCCUCGCUUGAACUUCGCCUAACCGAGGACCUCAUCAAAAUACCAACUCCACAUGCACCUUUAACUACUCCGCAAGAAUUUUCUGACACAACCUCCUCAACCACAGAUAAAGUGAAACCAUUAUUGCAUCCAAUCUGUUAGGAGAUUGAAUACGUACCUUGUCAAUAUCAGUAGUUACAGCAACUAUUGGCUCUAUAAGCUCCGCCUCGCUACAAGCACCAUAUGUGUUGAUUACUUUGCUAGUACUCAUACUUGCUACCUCAGGAGUUUCUGGUCGCAACUCCAUCUCAAGCUAAACAUCAUUCAGAUCCGUUUGAACACUAACCACACUUCUUUAGGAGUCCGUCUUUCAAUAGCAAUUGAUGGGGAUCUAUUCACCAUGAAGCUUACCGUACUUAGCACAUCAGCUAGGAUUCUCCUAGCAAUAUCAGCACUAGAGAUAAUUUUUCGGGUCGUCUCUAGUAAUGUUCUGCUCAUCAAUUCUGCAAAUUAUUGUGAUUUACUAGCACUAGUGUGGUGUUUCACUAUGCCCUCUUUCAUGCAAAAUUUAUUUGCUAGUUCCAAGCAAAACUCCAUGCUAUUAUCAGUCUGCACAUACUUGAUCGACUUACUAGUCUCCAUCUCGAUCAAAGCUCUUGACUGCGAGAUCUUGACACCAGCAUCAAACUUGUGCAUUGGCACAAACCUCCAAGUCUUCUUCGAGCAGUCAAAAGACUCGCGAGCAGAUGCAUCCGAUGUCUACGGGGCGAAACCUGUCAUUGUCUCACCUUGAAGUUUAUACGGGCCAUCAUGCUUGAUUCCUUUCAUUAUCACCAGGACACCUCGAACAACCUUCAGAACUCCACCUUUUGAAGAAUACCUGUAACCAGCUAAAUCUAGGGCACCCAAAGAAAUUAAGUUCUUUUUCAAUUCUGGAACAUGCUUGACUCCAGUCAAUGUCCUCACAAUACCAUCAUGCAUUCUGAUUUUAACAUCAUUAACACCCACAACAUUGCACUCAACAUUGUUCCCUAACUGGACUUUAUCACUAGCCUUGUACUGAUAAGUGAUAAACCAUUUUCUAUUUGGUGUGACAUGAAAAGAACAACCAGAAUCCAUAACUCAUCCAUCAAACGAUGAAUUAUUAGUGAUAGACAAGACAUAAUCGGCAUUAUUUGCUAUAGCUAUAACAUUAUCUACAAAAUCAACCAUAAUUCCCUUACCCUUAUCAUUCUUCAACUUAAGGCAAUCCCUUCUAAGAUGCCCCCUCUUGCCACAGCUCCAAUAAACAACAUUACCAGUCUUGGAUUGACUGCGUCUGUUCAUAUUAGUACUACUCUUAUCCACACGUGUUACAGAUCUUUUUAUAUUUUCACCUACUAAAGCAGCAGAUUCUCUUCUACGAAUGUCCUCGUUCAGAAUUAAAUCUCGAAUCCCAUCAAACGUCAAACUUGUUGACCUAGAGGAAUUACUAAUAGCAGUAAUAGUAAUAUUCCAACCAUCAGGCAAUGAGGAUAACGGAAUCAAAGCACGUACCUCAUCUUCAAAGUCAAUCUCAACCGAACUCAAUUGACUAACAAUCACAUUGAAUUCAUUGAUAUGAUAUGCAACUAACGUACAUUCGCUCAUCUUCAAAUUAAACAGAUGUCGCACCAAACAGACCUUAUUGAUCAUAGAGGGCUUCUCGUACAUAUUCGACAGGGCUUGCAUCAAAUCAGCAGUGGUCUUCUCCUUCAAGAUGUUAAAUGCGACGUUACGAGCCAACGUCAGCCAAAUAACACCCAUAGCUCGUCUAUCUAGCAAAUCCCAAUCAGCUUGCUUCAUCGACUCUGGUUUCUCCCCAACAAGGGCAAGUGUAGUUUCAUCUGGUAAAGAUAAUCUUCAAUCUGCAUAUUCCAGAAACUAAAAUCCUUCCCAUCAAAUCUGUUGAUUUUCACAUUUACUUCUUCUGUUGUCAUCGAUUUGCUUCAACUUAGCCAAGCCUGUCUCUGAUACUAAUUGUUGAGAUUAAGCGAGCGAUCGAAUAAUAAUAUAAACAGAAGAAGAAAAUAAAUCAGACACCAGAUUUAUGUGGUUCAGUCGUAAAGACCUACAUCCACGGGGAGAGCAGCACCGAAUUUCAGUAGAGAUCAAGCAAUACAAGGAGAUUACACACUCAGGUCACUCAAACACUCUCUCGGGGUUUCCUCCUCACCAACGAGCUUGCACAGGACUGAAUCACGUAGUUUGCAAUUUUGCAAAACUGCACACACUUCUCGAAUUUUUUUAUUUUCUUUUUUCUUUUCCUACAUUGUUCAAAUUGUUUCACUCCUGUGAAAGCUCGUUGGUGAGGAGGCUGAUGCUGAUGUCAAGAAAGAGGUGAUGCAAAGUGAAGGAGGAGGCAUAAGCAAGAUGAAGAAAAAAAAUAAAAGAAAAACACAAAGGAAAAAGAAAAAAGAAACAAAUAAAGAAAAAUAAAGAAAUCCAAGAGGAAAAUACCCCUACCUGCAACUAAGAUUUGGGUAACUUGUAAGUUGAGUCCUUUAUUUGAGACAAAAUUGGUCAUUUCAGACCCUCAUUUGAGAUAAUGCCUAUUUCAAGUUUUUUUUUUUUUUUUUUUUGAGAAAAUGGUUCCACUUCAUGUCCUUAUUUGAAAUUUUUCUUGUUUUAUUAUACUUAAAAGUAGAAGUAUAUUUGUGAUCAUGAUUUAGGGUCUACCUAUUUGAAGGAAAACUAUUACGGAAAUUCUUUUUCAAAUUUUUUGUAUUAGAUGACAAAAAACUAAUCGAAUUGCGGAAAAAAAAAUUUAUGGAUUAAAAACAACAAGUUUACAUUAAAAUAAAACCACUUUGACUUCUACCAAGAAGGAAAUCACUUUUCCUAAACCACUAAUUAAAUAAAAACUAACCAUUCUAGCUGAAAAUAAUUUUCAAUUUUUUUUUCUUUUAUGAUGAAAUUUUCAAUGUAAUAAAUGGACCCUUAUUCAAUUAUUGAGAAAGAUUUCCCUAUGAUUAUUUUGGAACUUUAAAGUGCUCGAUGGCUCCAAUACAAAUAUAUCCGCACGUUACACGGAGUAAUGAUUUUGUUGUUGGAUUAUGAAUUUGUGUUGUUGUAUUAUAUCGAAAUGUAAUGACAACCACUGGAAUCUACGCAUAAUAAGAACUCAUUUUCCCUUCAUUUAUAAGCAUUGCGAUUCAUUUUUUCUUUAGUUUAUUGCAUUAAUUAUUUUUGUAAUAAACCAAAUUAGUGAGUACCAUUGCCUUGCUUUGAUUAAAAAAUCCAAUGGCCGCAAGAAAGUGAUGGAAAUUUUUUUAAUUGGUUAUCUCUUUCCGUAUGCUAUUUUCCAUAACCAAGGGAAAAAUUACUGAGAAUUGAAACCUAAUUGGCUUGAAUAUGAGUUAAGUCCAGUGGAGAUAUGUGUAGAUUGCUAAAAUUGUAUUAUGUAAAGAUGGAACUAUAUGAGUUAAAUGGGUUAAUUUGAAUAAACUCAUUUUUUAUUUGAUCUAACUUGACCUAACAGUUUGACAAGUCUAUACAAAGGUAGUGCAAUCGUCAAUUUUAUCGGAAAAAUACAAGAUAUACUUCAGAGACUAUCAAUCCUAAAAGGACAUAGAGAAGCAUAAUCAAUACUUAAAUUACAAGUUUGAGAUUUUUGAUAUUGCAAAAAAAGUUUGGAGUAAAUAUAUUACAAUGAGCAUAAGUUAAGAUUUUGGUGAUUUUUUUCCUUUUUUUUUCUUUUGUCAAGAUGUACCCUUACCAUGGCUGUUAAAUCAAGAUAUCCAUCGGGAAUUGAGAUCUUGAAAUUAUUCGGGAUCUAAUCGAGUCGUAAGGUUCGGUCAAGUAUCUAACAUUUGUAUUUCAAGACAAUUACAAUUUUUAUCAAUAAUACUGUAAAAUAAAAACGUUCAGUGCCAUUUUUACAAAAUAUGAGCUUAAAGAAAGCGAACUUCAAAUAAACAAGAGAGGCCCAGCCCAGUAUACUUCCUCAGCCCAAAUUAGCUUCAAGAGUCUUCUCCUUCCUCUUGCUGUUGCAUUCUUACAUAGAAGAGAAAGGAGAAAACAGAGCCUUGAGGAACCGAGAUAAAAUAAGUAAAUAAAUAAAUAAAUAGAGAGAGGGAAAUCGCGGUGGUUGGUUGGAAAACAUUAAAUUAAUGCCGGAAUAGGCCUUUUGCAUGUGAUUGGUAAGCGUUUCCCUGUUGUUCAUUUCCUCUUGCAAGUAAGCUCUUUUUCGAGGAGUUAAUGUCGUAGCCCUGGCUAUGUUGGCUUCGCCGGUGACGCUUCGGCCGAGAUAUGUUGCUUAGAUCUCAAUACUAAAAGAUAGAAUCACAACUUAGCAGAUGCAUUUGUCAAGUUUCUNNNNNNNNNNNNNNNNNNNNNNNNNNNNNNNNNNNNNNNNNNNNNNNNNNNNNNNNNNNNNNNNNNNNNNNNNNNNNNNNNNNNNNNNNNNNNNNNNNNNNNNNNNNNNNNNNNNNNNNNNNNNNNNNNNNNNNNNNNNNNNNNNNNNNNNNNNNNNNNNNNNNNNNNNNNNNNNNNNNNNNNNNNNNNNNNNNNNNNNNNNNNNNNNNNNNNNNNNNNNNNNNNNNNNNNNNNNNNNNNNNNNNNNNNNNNNNNNNNNNNNNNNNNNNNNNNNNNNNNNNNNNNNNNNNNNNNNNNNNNNNNNNNNNNNNNNNNNNNNNNNNNNNNNNNNNNNNNNNNNNNNNNNNNNNNNNNNNNNNNNNNNNNNNNNNNNNNNNNNNNNNNNNNNNNNNNNNNNNNNNNNNNNNNNNNNNNNNNNNNNNNNNNNNNNNNNNNNNNNNNNNNNNNNNNNNNNNNNNNNNNNNNNNNNNNNNNNNNNNNNNNNNNNNNNNNNNNNNNNNNNNNNNNNNNNNNNNNNNNNNNNNNNNNNNNNNNNNNNNNNNNNNNNNNNNNNNNNNNNNNNCUGGAAAGCUGGUUACCAAAGAGAAACCAAAGGAUAAGCUCUGCCCAGUGCCGACGACGCAGAUGAAAGGUGAGAUAUAUGUAAAGGCUCAAUUAUUGAAGAAAUUUCGAAUCCUUGGCUCUGGUUGGAUGGAACCUAUAAGUUCAUUAUCAAGUGGGAAGCGCACUUGGUGGAGAAACCUAAGACAGUGAAAAUGGCUGGGAAGCUAGAAACAUUAUGACUAUCUUGAAACUAGAUGCCAGUAACUUGAGGGACUUAAAUCAUGCUAGUCCAUUUUCACGCUCUUUUAGUAUAAGGUAGUAACUUGGGGAGCAAGAAACAUUAUGACUAUCUUGAAACUAGUCUCCCUUCACGCUUUUGAAGUAUAAGAUAGUAAUAGAACAGAACACAACUUGCAUUCUUUCAGAGACAAAGCAUUGUACCAUAGAAUCUUCACUCAAGAUAAAUAAAAAAUAAAAAAUAAUCAAUGAUCUUCGUAAUUUAAGCACUUUUACAUGGUCUUGGAACCAAUGCCAUUUCUUUCAUAUAAGUGCAUUUACGUAAGAGGGUGUAUUGAAAUGUCAUCCUACACCACUUAAUAACAUGUAAUAAACAUAGUUGAUGGCUGCAUUAGAACGUUUAACUUUUGAUUGAACGCGCUUUGAAAAGAUGCAUGAUUGAAACUCUUCUGCAUGUCAGAGGAUUGGUUGAUGGCCGCGAUUAGAACGUUUAGUUUCUGAUUGAACGCACUUAAAAAAGAUGCAUGAUUGAAACUCUUCCGCAUGUCAGAGGAUUUUAUAUCUACACAAAUCCACAAUGAACCUUAUAAAAGGAGUAACAAAGGACAAGAUUUCAGAGACUUAAUAUAAAUAUUUCAUUGCGACUAUUUUGCUCUCGAGAUGAUAACACUAGAUACAUAAGCAACUUUACACUGACACGAAAGUCAUUUUUUCUAACUAUAACUAGACAUGGGUACAUAGCUUUUGCUGCGAUGACACUAGUCUGAAUAAGACUAGAUACAUAAAUAGUUUGAAAUAUCUCGAGUUCAGCUGUUCUCUCUACAAAUGACACUAGAUGCUAGUAACUUCAGGGUUUGCUCCUUCCAAAAGAAAAGGCAGUUCUGUACUCACUUGGGCAUGAAGGACACGCAGUCCUCAUCCUCAUGCUGGUGCACGCUAAACACGUAAUUUUGUUUCCCGGUUAAAAUAUUUCUCCUAAAUGCAAAUAAAGUUCACAAAUAGUGAGAGAAACAAUACAUUAGAAAAAAGUUUGAAACUAAAUUUUUUAGUUUAAACGUGUUUUUCAUUAGAGACCCAGACCUUCCUGCAUGUGGUUGAACAGAGCAAAAUCGUUUAUCAGACGACAUCUUCUAUAAAUUUAUCCAGUUCACGGCUGGAAUUUGUUGCAUCUCUCACAGCAUCAGUGGGCUUCUGUGAUUUUUUAACUCCAUUGAAGAUGGUUGAACGCGCAGAUAGCACAUGAGAAAUCAUUUCCAUCGACGGCCUGAGUUGGGGAUUAGCUGAUACGCAAGCGGCUGCAAGCUUUAGGAUGGUCAGAAGUUCAUCCUCAAUGCCUGGCGUGGGCGUUGGCAGGCGUGGAUCCAACAUAUUCUUUAAAACUACUGAGAUCUCUAUGUCGACCAGAGCUAAUAGAGAUGAAAGGCUAUCACCCGGAUGUCUUCCUUUGAUCACCUCGAUGGACAAUAUUCCAAAGCUAUACACAUCGCAUUUCUCCGUCACCUUCAUUGUGUAAGCAAGCUCUGCACAAAGGAGAUAUAUGUGUUAGUACAAGACAUUGCUAUGGCUAAACUGUCAGAUCAAGAAUUGAUGUUAGAAAUUAACCUGGAGCUACAUAACCAUAUGUGCCAACGACUGCACUCCAGUUUGAUGUGUCCAGCUUAAGAAGCUUAGCCGUGCCAAAGUCAGAAACAUGCCCCUCAUACUCUGAAUCAAGCAGAAUGUUGUUACUUGAAAUAUCUCGAUGAACGAUUGGAGGGAUACAAUCAUGGUGCAUAUAAGAUAAAGCAUGAGCCACGCCUUUUACGAUAUUCACCCUCUUGUCCCAGUCUAACUCUUUAGCUUCUUUUUCAUUGCUCAAGAUUGUAGACAAGCUUCCUCUAUCAAAGUACUCAUACACCAAGAAUGAGUGUUGUGUAUGCGAACAAAAGCCCACAAGUUUCACAAUAUUGCGGUGUCGAAUUUCCGUCAAUGCCCUAAUCUCAUUCAAAAAUUCCUUUUGAUAUGUUUGCCCACUAUUAGUCAUUUGAUGGAGCUUCUUUACGGCUACUAUAUCACCAGAUCUUAAUUUGGCCUUGAAGACACUUCCAUAGCCUCCCCUUCCAAUACAAAAAAUCUCAUUAAAAGCCCCGGUCGCUUCCAUGAUGUCUUCAUAUGAAAUCAUUCCAUCGUACUUUGAUAGAGAAAAGACUUCAAUUGUCUUGGGUGCUAGUUCCCCUAUUGGAUGGGACUUCAUUCUACAGAAGAUGAAGAAUAUUCCAAAGAAAAUAAUCAGAAGAAUUACUCCUAGCAAUGGGAACACAAUAAGAAACACUCCACCUCCCGCCGGAGAGCUUUCCCUAUCCACCACCACUUGAUCACAGGGCUCAAGUCCUUCAACAUUUCCACACAAUCCAUUGUUGCCUUGAAAUGAUUCUUUUGUUGCAUUUUGGAAUGCCGUUGUGUUGGGGAUGGGACCCUCAAACUGGUUGUAAGAGAUGUCAACCUCCAUCAAACCUCGCAUAUCCUUGAAAGUCUCAUAUAUAAGGCCAGAAAGAUUAUUGUGUGAAAGGUCAAGUUUCACUAGGCUUUGCAACUUGUUGAGUUCAGCAGGGAUCCCACCACUUAACAAGUUAUGACUCAAGUCUAGCUCGGAUAGGUGAAUCAGCAUCCCUAAUUGCCCUGGAAUAUCUUGGCUCAACUGGUUGUUGCUCAAAUUCAAGAAGACCAAGUUUGAAGAAAACCCUAUAGACUGCGGGAUAGACAUGCUUAAUCUAUUCCUAGACAUAUCCAAUUUUUGAAGACCAGGUAAUGAUACAAUCUCGGGACUUAUUCGGCCAGAAAGUCGAUUCCUACUUAGAUUUAAAAUCACCAAAGAAGUCAAUUUUUCAAAUUCUUUCGGGACCUCACCAAGUAAACCAUUGAAAGAAAGAUCAAUUUCACCCAAUCGAGUUGCGUUCCCAAUCUCAGGAGGCAAGCUACCAAUGAUGUUAUUUCCAGCAAUUCUUAGAUGAGUUAAGCGUGUGCAACUCCCCCAGUUUGUUGAGAUUUCUCCAAAGAAUUUGUUGAAACUCAUGUCGAUAAAGUCCAAUUUGGGGUAGACACCAAAGGUUUUGGAUAUGUUUCCAGUGAACUGGUUUUCCUCUAGGCGUACUCUGACUAGGCUUGUGCAAUUUCUCAAGCUUCUAGGGAUAGAACCAAUUAAGUUAUUGUGACUCACUGUAAGGUUUUGGAGCAACCCAUCCCGGCACAAGUUUUUUGGUAAGGAGCCGUUUAACUGGUUGGUAUCCAAUUGCAACACUGCCAAGUUUACUAGAUCACCUAAGGAUUCGGGAAUUGAACCAGAAAGAUGAUUUUGGCGGAGGAACAAAGAUCCUAGGUUGGUCAAGUUACCUAGAGAAGAAGGAAUUAGGCCAGUGAGCUGGUUUGUACUUAGCUCUAAGUCAAGCAUAGAGUGGAGAUUUCCUAUCUCAUCAGGAAUAUAACCCGAAAGCCGGUUACCAUAGAGAUAAAGAAGGGCGAGUUUUGUCAAAUUGCCUAAUGUUAGUGGGAUUGAACCAAUAAGAUUAUUCUCAUUAAGGCACAACUCACUAAGAAGAUUCAAUUUUCCUAGCUCCAGUGGGAUGGAACCAGUAAGCUCAUUAGCAAAUAGGUGUAGCCCUGUCAAUUUGGUUAAGCUCCCCAAAGUGGAAGGAAUCGAUCCUAUUAGGAGGUUGGUGUCCAUGUGGAGCACUUCCAGAUUGGUCAUAUUUCCCAUUUCAGGAGGAAUAGAACCAGAAAGGGAGUUGUUGUAGACAUACAGUUUAGCCAAUUUGCUCAAAUUACCCAAUGAGGAAGGUAUGGGUCCAUUCAACUUAUUCGAAUACAAUGCGACCUCAUUGAGCAACUGCAAUUGCCCGAUUUCUUGGGGAAUAGAGCCAUUUAACUCAUUGGAAACUAGGUGUAGAACUGUUAGUUUCAUUAGAUAGCUGAUUUCCGAUGGUAUUUUCCCCAAGAAUUGAUUGAUAGAUAGGUCGAGAUAGGUGAGAUUGCUCAAGAGACCGAUUUGAGGCGGAAUAUGACCAGAGAGACCAUUUAUACUCAGGUCCAUGAACAUGAGAUGAGACAAAGAUGAGAAUGGAAAUUCGUCUAGCGUACCUCCAACACCAGAGCUAGUGAGAUUUAUCUUGAUCACGCUUGCAGCCCGAUUGCAGGAGAUGCCAUACCAAGCACAUGGAUUCACAGUCGAAUUGGAACCAAUGGCUUUAUGAGGAGUGGGAGUCCACGAAGAGAGGCGAGAAAUUGAAUGGUUACCAAGAUUGGACUUCCACGUGAGGAGAGCUUGGGCUUCCGCAGGGGAAGCAUGAGUAGGAAGUGGAAUGGCAAGGGUAUUGAAAAGGGCAAGGGCAGCCGCAAGGCUCAAGACCCUUUUGAAUUCUAAUGAAGAAUCCAUCGAUUCUUCUUCUCCUUCUUCUCUUUUGGUUCUGGUAAGUUGAUUUUUCUUUUCGCGAGGCAACAAGGGAUGCUUAAAAAGGCCGUGAGAACUCACCUUCCUAUCAUUUUCCAUGUUAAUGGGUAUGCAAUAAAACGACCACUAGCCAUUGAAGACUAAAAAAUGAUAGGGUGAUAUUGGUCUGCACGCCGUAGGAGUAGUCAUCCGAGAACUGACCGGGACGAAUUUUUUAUUCCUUGAAGACUGGAAUUUUCACUUUUGAAGUCUUCAUAGUGACAUUUUUGACUUGGUCAGUCCUCUUAUCGGAAUUGAGCUCCACUCAUUAGUCAUUAUAUGAAAUCGGAGACUUUGACUUUGAUUGAGAAGUCUUCGAGGAAAGUGAUGUAAAGUCGAGGCCUUUCGUGUGGCUUGGGAACACUCAACUUUCCACAAGCUUAGCCCCUAAUUUGUGCUGCACAAAAUUUUGAAUUCAACGCGCAAAAGGAAAGUCUUCUCACCUGGCAUUUAUGAAGUGAAAUUUUGACCCAGUUGACCGUUAUCGCAAAAACGACAAUUGAUGAUCUAGCCAAGUGGCCCCCAAGAGCACGGUUAAAAAAAAUAAAAUAAAAAAUCUAAUGGCAUAUUUGAAGUGGAAAAUUGCUAAAAAUUGGAGCUUGUGUUGAGUUUGGUAUGAUUCGAGUCCAAGUGGGAUUGAGUGUGAGCUGUCAAAAUUGUAUUACAGAAAUAUGGGUCAAUAUGUGUUAUAUUGGUCAAUGUGAAUUAUAUCCAUUUUCUAGCCAUUCACACUUGACCCGAUGCUUUACUAGGAAUAACACUAGAUAAAUGCAAAAGAUUAUUUAUAUCAAUUCAUGGAAGAGCAAAUAUUCACUGAGAGCUUAAAACUUGUCCGAUAUCAAUAAUUUCUCCAAACUCAAUCAACUAAUAUAAAAAUUUAAUGACGAAGUACAAAAACAACGCAUAAAUUUUACAUGCUCAAUGUGGAAAAAAAUUACAUUUCACUCAAAACUUUCACUAUUCACAAGAAUAGCAGAAUAUACAAUAGUUCAUCUCUAGUCAUAUAGUUAGAGAAUAAACACAUCAACAAUACAACGAUAUAUCAUUAGUGGAUUAACAAAAGAACUAAGAAAACUCUAAUCACUACUAGAGAAAUUGAAAGACAAAUCAAAGAAGGAUCUCAAUAAUGAAUUGAUCUCACGAACGACAUAUUAAAAUUUUGGCUGAUUCUGACAAGAUUUCACCUUUAAAUUUGAACUGGCUCUUCUCCUUUCAACCUUGGUCUCUCUCCCUCUUUUAUUUCUCUUUUUAUGCGAACGCUCAUUUCCCUCUUUUCACUAUAAAAAACAUCCCAGCAUAAUUUUUAUUUCUUUUUCUUUAAAGAUGUGCUGGGCCCCAUGAGGCGGACCCAGCCCAUCAUUAAGUAGGAAGUGCACUUGUUGGAAUGACUCAGACCGAAAAUGGCUAGGGAAGGUAGAAGCAUUAGCACUAUCUUGAAGCUUUGCGAAUACUUGGCCAUUUUUCUUGUUUGAUCAGGAAGUCGUUUUUUCCCAGCUUCACGAGGAUUCCUCGAUCUUAUUUUCCCGUGAUUUUCCUAUUUGACGAUGGAAAUGCAUUGGCAAGCAUUAACUGGUUGAAUGCAUGUCGGUAUAUGCCAUUUGGCAUAAUGAAAGUGUUGACAAUUCCCACCGGGAGGUUCUUUCUUGACAUUGCAUAUUUCCUGUCGCCUUUCUUCUAAGCGGUAGAAUCGAGAAUUGAGAUGAGCUGACACAAUUACUUGAGAAGGUUGGGUGAACAUAACUCAUUGUCUCGCUAUGCCUUGAUUCGAAUAGCUGUUACUUCAUUGUUUUCCGUCUGUACCGUUCAUUAAUUAAGUUUUCUGAAACUUUGAUUCUACGAUGUUGGAUUUUACGUAAGAGUGAUUGAGGAUGGGGUCAAACAUUGGUCUACUAUAGUUUCCUUUUUCAAAUUCACAAAACUCUGAGCUCUCAGAGACUAAGUCUACUGUUUCACGGAUGAAGUCUAUGAGGGGACAUUGUUCUUACAUGUUUUGCACAAAGCUGUUUUCCAGAUCUAAGUUCCCUGUUUCGAAGAACAGAAAAGAUGUUUGAUGAUGAGCUAAACCCAAAUGAGUUCUUCUUGUAUUUGACAAUGAAGCUAGGCCAAGCAAAAACAGACCAUCAUGAUUUAAAACUACCAAGAUUUUGGAGGGCUAGAUGUAGUCUACCUUAUACGCUCUUGAAAUGAAAGGUAGUGCCAGAACAGAACUUGCAUUCUUUCUGAAAUCAUGGAGAAUCUCCUCUUGAGAUGAAACGAUGACCUGUGAUCUUCCUAAUUUGAGCACUUGAAGUUUGAAUCUCUGAUGAAAAUGAAGUCCGGAUUUCUCUAUUUUGGACAAUCAAGAGCUACUGAACUUCUGUUAACGACUCAUGCUAUGGCAACAUGCACAGAACGCUCUGAAUAGGAACUGAUUGAUUGCCCUCUCUGUCAUGAUACACAGUUGCAGUAAUUGUACAAAACCCAAAAUUAUGGUGGAUGGCCACGAUUAGGGACAACGAUCGAAUGCACUCUGAAAAGAUCCAUGAUUGCAACUCUUCUGCAUGUAAGUAGAUUUUACAUCUAUAUAAAUCCGAACAUAUAGAAGGACUAAUAAUGAUCAAGAGUUUAGAGACUUCAUAUAAAUGUUCCAUUUCAACCUUACAUGGACAUUUCGGUUUCAAGAUAACAAUACUGGAUACAUCAUCAACUUUACAUAGAUACAAAAGUUAUAUUUUCUAAGUCUAACUUGACAUGGAUACAUCGACUCCGAAGACACUAGUCUGAUUAAGACUUGAUAAAGAAACAGUUUGAAAUAUCACUUGAGUUCAGUUGUUGUCUCUGCAAACGAAACUAGAUGCCAGAAUGUUGUAGUUUUGCUUCUUCCAAAGCACAAGGCAGUUCUAUACUUGGGCAUGAACGAAACAUAAACCGCAUCCUCAAGCUGAUAUGAAACACUCAACUUUGGUUGACGGUCAAAAUAUUUAUCCUAAAUGCAAAUAAAGUAAACACAUAAGUGAGGGAAACAAUAUAUUGAAAAAAGUUUGAGACUUAAUCAAUUAUUUCAAGCGACUCUGUUUUUCAUUAAAGAUCUUACACCUUCUUGCAUGUGGUAGACAGAGCAACAUCAUCAGAUGAUAUCUUCUAUGAAUUGAUCCGGGAAUUGGCUUGAAGCUAUGGUAUCGCUCACAGAAUUGGCGGCUGUCUCAAAAUAUUGAACGCCACGGAAAGUGGUUGAACAAGCUGAUAGUCUCUGAGAAAUUGUGUCCAUCGACGGCCUGAGUUGGGGAUUAGCAGAUAAGCAAGCGACUGCAAGCUUGAAGAUGGUCAGAAGUUUAUCCUCAAUGCCUGGCGUGGGCGUUGGCAGGCGUGAAUUCAAUGUAUUCCUCAAAACAACUGAGAUCUCCAUGUCGACCGGAGCUACUAGAGAUGAAAUGCUCUCACCCAGAUGUCUUCCUUCGAUCACCUCGAUGGCCACUAUUCCAAAGCUAUACACAUCACAUUUCGUUGUCACCUUCCUUGUGAAAGCAAGCUCUGCACAAAGAGGGUGAUGUAUGUAUUAGCACGAAGACAUUGCUAUAGAUCAACCUUCAUAUCAAGAGUUGAUUUCAGAGUUUACCUGGAGCUACAUAACCAUAUGUGCCGACAACUGCAGUCCAAUUUGAUGUAUCCAGAUUAAGAAGCUUAGAUGUGCCGAAGUUAGAAACAUGCGGCUCAUACUUAGAAUCAAGCAGACUGUUGUUACUGGAAAUAUCCCGAUGAAUGAUUGGAGGGUUACAAUCAUGGUGCAUAUAAGAAAGAGCAUGUGCCAAGAGUUUUCUUUAGAGAAACAUUAUGACUGUGAUUAUGAGGUAGUAACUUGGGGAGCAAGAAGCAUUAUGACUAUCUUGAAACUAGUCUGCCUUCACGCUCUUGAAGUAUAAGAUAGUAACAAAACAAAACUUGCAUUCUUUUCCUUCAUGACAAAUGCUACAAAUGUUCUACUAAGUCGAGUCUCUAUCACCCAUAGGCGAAUUAGACAGAAUGAGUGGGUAGCUAAGGGUGAGACAAAGCAUUGUACCAUAGAAUCUCCACUCCAGACAAAAAGAUGAUCAAUGAUCUUCGUAAUUUAAGCACUUUUACAUGGUAUUGGAACCAAUGCCAUUUCUUUCAUAUAAGUGCAUUUACGUAAGAGGGUGUAUUGUAAUGUCUUCUUACACCACUUAAUAACAUUUAAUAAACAUAGUUGAUGACUGCGAUUAGAACGUUUAGUUUCUGAUUGAACGCACUUUGAAAAGAUGCAUGAUUGAAACUCUUCUGCACGUCAGAGGAUUGGUUGAUGGCCGCGAUUAGAACGUUUAGUGUCUGAUUGAACGCACUUUGAAAAGAUGCAUGAUUGAAACUCUUCCGCAUGUCGAAGAAUUUUAUAUCUACACAAAUCCACAAUGACCCUUAUAAAAGGAGUAACAAAGGACAAGAUUUCAGAGACUUAAUAUAAAUAUUCCAUUGCGACUAUUUUGCUCUCGAGAUGAUAACACUAGAUACAUAAGCAACUUUACACUGACACGAAAGUCAUUUUUUCUAACUAUAACUAGACAUGGGUACAUAGCUUUUGCUGCGACGACACUAGUCUGAGUAAGACUAGAUACAUAAAUAGUUUGAAAUAUCUCGAGUUCAGCUGUUCUCUCUACAAAUGAAACUAGAUGCUAGUAACUUCAGGGUUUGCUCCUUCCAAAAGAAAAGGCAGUUCUAUACUUACUUGGGCAUGAAGGACACGUAGUACUCAUCCUCAUGCUGGUACGCGCUAAACAUGUAAUUUUGUUUCCGGUCAAAAUAUUUCUCCAAAAUGCAAAUAAAGUACACAAAAUAGUGAGAGAAACAAUAAAUUAGAAAAAAGCUUGAAACUAAAUUAUUCAGUUUAAACGUGUUUUUCAUUAGAGACCAGACCUUCCUGCAUGUGAUUGACAGAGCAAAAUCGUUUAUCAGACGACAUCUUCUACAAAUUUAUCCAGCUCACGGCUGGAAUUUGUUGCAUCUCUCACAGGAUCAGUGGGCUCCUGUGAUUUUUUAACUCCAUUGAAAAUGGUGGAACGCGCAGAUAGCACAUGAGAAAUCAUUUCCAUCGACGGCCUGAGUUGGGGAUUAGCAGAUACGCAAGCAACUGCAAACUUUAGGAUGGUCAGAAGUUCAUCCUCAAUGCCUGGCGCGGGCGUUGGCAGGUGUGAAUCCAACAUAUUCUUUAAAACUACUGAGAUAUCCAUGUCGACGAGAGCUAAUAGAGAUGAAAGGCUAUCACCCGGAUGUCUUCCUUUGAUCACCUCAAGGGCCAAUAUUCCAAAGCUAUACACAUCACGUUUCUUUGUCACCUUCAUUGUGUGAGCAAGCUAUGCACAAAGGAGAUAUGAGUGUUAGUACAAGACAUUGCUUUAGUUAAACCGUCGGAUCAAGAGUUGAUGUUAGAAAUUAACCUGGAGCUACGUAACCAUAUGUGCCAACGACUGCACUCCAGUUUGAUGUGUCCAGCUUAAGAAGCUUAGCCAUGCCAAAGUCAGAAACGUGCCCCUCGUACUCCGAAUCAAGCAUAAUGUUCUUACUUGAAAUAUCUCGAUGAACGAUUGGAAGGAUACAAUCAUGGUGCAUAUAAGAUAAAGCAUGAGCCACACCUUUUACGAUAUUCACCCUCUUGUUCCAGUCUAACUCUUUAGCUUCUUCUUCAUUGCUCAAGAUUGUAGACAAGCUUCCUCUAUCAAAGUACUCAUACACCAAGAAUGAGUGUCGAGGAUCCAAACAAAAGCCCACAAGUUUCACAAUAUUGCGAUGUCGAAUUUCCGUCAAUGCCCUAAUCUCAUUCAAAAAUUCCUUUUGAUCCGUUUGCCCACUAUCAGCAGUUUGAUGGAGCUUCUUUACGGCUACUAUAUCGCCGGAUCUUAAUUUAGCCUUAAAGACACUUCCAUAGCCUCCCCUUCCAAUACAAAAAAUCUCAUUAAAAGUCCCGGUGGCUUCCAUGAUGUCUUCAUAUAAAAUCAUGCCAUUGUACUUUGAUAGAGAAAAGACUUCAAUUGUCUUGGGUGCUAGUUCCCCUAUUGGAUGGGACUUCAUUCUACAGAAGAUGAAGAAUAUUCCAAAGAAAAUAAUCAUAAGGACUAAUCCUAGCAGAGGGAACACAAUAAGAAACACCUUGCCUCCCACUAGAGAGCUUUCCCUAUCCACCACCGUUUGAUCACAGGGCUCAAAUCCUUCAACAUUUCCACACAAUCCACCAUUGCCUUGAAACAAUUCUUUUGUUGCAUUUUGGAAUGCCGUUGUGUUGGGGAUGGGACCCUCCAACUUGUUGUAAGAGAUGUCCACCCCCAUCAAAACUUGCAUAUCCUUGAAAGUUUCAUAUAUAAGAUCAGAAAGAUUAUUGUGUGAAAGGUCAAGUUUCACUAGGCUCUGUAGCUUGUUGAAUUCAACUGGGAUCCCGCCGCUUAACAAGUUAUGACUCAAGUCUAGCUCGGAUAGGUGAAUUAGCAUCCCUAAUAGCCCUGGAAUAUUUUGGCUCAACUAGUCAUUGCUUAAAUACAAGAAGACCAAGUUUGAAGAAAACCCUAUAGUCUGCGGGAUAGACAUGCUUAAUCUAUUCCUGGACAAAUCCAAUUUUUGAAGACCACGUAAUGAUACAAUCUCGAGACUUAUUUGGCCAGAAAGUCGGUUCCUGCUUAGAUUUAAAUUAACCAAAGAAGUCAAUUUUCCAAAUUCUUUUGGAACCUCACCAAGUAAACCAUUGAAAGAAAGAUCAAUUUCACCCAAUCGAGUCGCGUUCCCAAUCUCAGGAGGCAAGCUACCAGUGAUGUUAUUUCAAUCAAUUCUUAGAUUAGUUAAGCGUGUGCAACUUCCCCAAUUUGUUGAGAUUUCUCCAAAGAACUUGUUGAAACUCAUGUCGAUAAAGUCCAAUUUGGGGUCAACACCAAAGGUCUUGGAUAUGUUUCCAGUGAGUUGGUUUUCCUGUAGGCGUACUCUGACUAGGCUUGUGCAAUUUCUCAAGCUUCUAAGAAUAGAACCAGUUAAGUUAUUGUGACUCGCUGUAAGGUUUUGGAGCAACCCACCCCGGCACAAAUUUUUUGGUAACGAGCCGUUUAACUGGUUGGUAUCCAUUUCCAACACCACCAAGUUUACUAGAUCACCUAAGGAUUUAGGAAUUGAACCAGAAAGGUGAUUUCGGCAGAGGAACAAAGAUCCCAGGUUGGUCAAGUUACCCAGAGAAAAAGGAAUUGUGCUAGUGAGCUGGUUUUCACUUAGCGCUAAGUCAAGCAUAGCGCAGAGAUUUCCUAGCUCCAGUGGGAUGGAACCACUAAGCUCAUUAGCAAAUAGGUGUAGCUCUGUCAAUUUGGUUAAGUUCCCCAAAGUGGAAGGAAUCGGUCCUGUUAGGAGGUUGGUGUCCAUGUGGAGCACUUCCAGAUUUGUCAUAUUUCCCAUUUCAAGGGGAAUACAACUAGAAAGAGAGUUGUUGUAGACAUACAGUGUAGCCAAUUUGCUCAAAUUACCCAAUGAUGAAGGUAUGGGUCCAUUCAACUAAUUCGAAUACAAUGCGAUCUCAUUGAGCAAAUACAACUACCCGAUUUCUUGGGGAAUGGAGCCAUUUAACUCAUUGGAAACCAGGUACAGGACUGUUAGUUUCAUUAGAUGGCUGAUCUCCGACGGAAUUUUCCCCAAGAACUGAUUGAUAGAGAGGUCGAGAUAGGUGAGAUUGCUCAAGAGACCGAUUUGAGGUGGAAUAUAGCCAGAGAGACUAUUUAUACUCAAGUCCAUGUCCAUGAGAUGAAACAAAGAUGAGAAUGGGAAUUCGUUGAGCGUACCUUCGACAAGGGUGCUAGUGAGAUUUAUUCCGAUCACGUUCCCCACCAGAUUGCAAGAUAUGUCAUACCAAGCACAUGCACUCAUAGUCGAGUUGGAACCAGUGGCGUUAUGAGGAGAGGGAGUCCAUGAAGAGAGGGAAGAAUUUGAAUGGUUGCCAAGACUGGACUUCCACUUAAGGAGGGCUUGGGCUUCUGCAGGGGAAGCAUGAGCAGGAAGUGGAAUGGCAAAGGUAGUGAAAAGGGCGAGGGCAGCCACAAGGCUCAUGACCCUCUUGAAUCCUGGUGAAGGAUCCAUAGAUUCUUCUUCUCCUUCUCUUGUUUUGGUUUGGGUAAGUUGGUUUGUCUUUCCCUGGGGCAACGAGCGAUGCUUGAAUAGGCGGUGAAAACUCACCUUCCUAUCAUUUUCCAUGGUAAUGGGUAUGCAAUAAAAUGGCAACUAAUCACUGGAGACUAAGGAUGCGUUUGGGAGUGGCAUUUAAAAGCCACUUUGAACACCCAAAACUCAUUGGGCCAAUUUAUGGGUGUUUGGUAAAAAAAUUUCAAACCCUACUGGGGAAUGCCACCCUUCUCAGCGUGCAGAGCUAAGGGCCUAAAAUAAAAUAAAAAAUAAAAAAUUCUUCCCAAAUUGUCCUCGUUGGUUUUUCGUUUUUUCGGUUUUGCCUUGACUAUUCAUCUUCUUCUUUGUGAGCAAUUGUUGACGAAGAACAGGUAGUUGCUGGCAAUCGUCACGCCCACCACGUCGCGACCUCUUAUCAAGAGGUCACCGCGUAGGUCGUGACCAAAUGUGGUUGCCAGGCGUGACCUUCAGGCAACCUCCGCUAAGGUCGUGACCUCCGCUAAGGUCACGACCUUCGCGCGACCUUCUGGUCGCAGAUUUGGUCGCGACCUAUUUGGUCGCAAAUCUAGUCGCCAUCUGCAAACUUCACACUGCGACUAGAUGGGUUGCCGACCGCGACCUUUAGGCGACCUCCGCAAAGGUCGCAACGCAGAUUUGGUCGCUACCAAAUCUGGUCACCAACCGUGACCUUUAGGCGACCUCCACGAAGGUCGCGACCUUCACGCUGCAACUAGAUGGGUCGUCGGCCACAACCUUCAGAUGACCUCUACGAAGGUCACGAUGCAGAUUUGGUCAUCGGCCAUGACCUUCAAGCGACCUCCGCAGAGGUUGCGACCUUUGCAUGACCCAUCUGGUCGCCAUGACUCUCGUCGAAUGGCCUGCAUCAGACCAUCCGCCCUUCGUCAGACCGCUUGCUCCUCACCGGCGACUUCUUGUUCUUGGCUGGCCAUCUUUUCUUUUUUUCCAAAUACUAUUUUACUCAAAGGUAAUUCACAAAGGACUUUUACAAUACAACUUACCAAACACAUUACAUUUUUAAAAAUACCUUUCACUCAACGACAUUUGUAUUUCCCCGAAAACUUUUCUAAAGGCACCCUAAGAAAAGGUACGUUUAUUUGCGCGGUCCCCCCUAGGGUACCAUCUGGUUUUUCUUUUCCCGAGGCACUGAGCGAUGCUUAAAAAGUUUGUCUGUAGCAUCUAAAAGCUGACUGAACGAAUUUUGGUUCCUUGAAGACUUUGGAAUUUUUUAUUUUGUAGUCUUCGUUGGUGACUUUUCUGACUUGGUCAGUUUCUAUUUCGGAAUUGAGUUCCCCUCGUUAAAAGAAAUCCAGAGACUUUGACAGUCUCUUGGGAAAGUGAUGUAAAAGCCAUGGCCUUAGAUGACCUGUGUGAACACUCAACUUUCCACGCGAUCAAAUCGUAACCUGCGCCACGCAUUAUGCAAUUUUAAGCGCACAAAAGGAAAGUCUACUCACUCGGCAUUAAUGAAGCCAAAUCUCUCCCCCCGCCCCCUCCCCCCCGCGGUUGACCCGUUCUUGUGGAAACGAGAGCACGGUCAACAAAAAAAGGAUAAAGGCACGAAGAUCUUAAAAUUUAUUUAAAAAGUGUAAUUUAAUAUUAAAAAUUUUAAAAAGUAUAAUAAAAUCUUAAAACUUAUCAAGAAAAUAUAAAUAAGUCUUAAAAUUUGUCACAAAAGAACAAUCAUGUCCUAAAAUUUAUAUAAGUGCAAUCAACGGAAAUAUUUGAUGAGACUAGUAUGAUAACUUUUAUGGCUUAAUUAUGCUUUUUGAAAAUUUUUAAAAUUCAAUUGCAAUUUGUGAUAAGUUUUUGAUUCUAUCAUUAUACUUGGGCACGCUUUAGUCUCUACGACAAUUUGGACUUUUGCUAUGGCUCCUACUCCGGUAAUGGUAACUCCUUUCCCUGUCUCUGUACUUGUCGCAAUCAUAUCGUCCCCUGCGGCGACUUCUCCUCCUGUGAUUGCGGUCUCUAUAUUCAUCUCUACACCUAAAAAUCAAUCUGUCUAUCAGUUGCAGUAGAGAAUGGGAGGGAAUCACAUGCGUCAGGCUAAUGACCCUUUUGAAUUCUAGUGAAGUAUCCAUCGAUUCUUCUCCUUCUUCUCUUUUGGUUCUCGUAAGUUGGUCUUUCUUUUCCUGAGGCAGUGGGCGAUGCUUAAAAAGGUUAGGUUGUAGAUAGCAUACGAAACCUGACUAAACGAAUUUUUGGUUCCUUUAAGACUUUGGAAUUUUUUAUUUUGUAGUCUUCGUUGGUGAAUUUUCUAACUUGAUCAGUUUCUAUUUCAGAAUUGAGUCCCACUCGUUAAAUGAAAUCCAAAGACUUUGGCAAAGAUUUCUUUUAGGAAAGUGAUGUAAAAGUCAUGAUCUUGCGUGACCUAUGUGAACACUCAACUUUCCACGGGAUCAAAUCGUAGGUUGCGCCACACAUUCUGCAAUUUUAAGCGCACAAAAGGGAAGGCUAUUCACUCGGCAUUAAUGAAGCAAAAUCUUGCCCCAGUUGACCCGUUCUUGCAAAAACGACAGCCAAUGAUCUAGCCAACUGGCACCGAGAGCACGGCCAAUUUUUAUUUUUUUUUAAAGGAUAAAGGCACCGAAGAUCUUAAAAUUUAUUGAAAAAGUGUAAUUUAAUUUUCAAAAAUUUCAAAAAGUAUAAUAGAAACGAGUCCUAAAAUUUAUCACGAAAAUACAAUCGAAUACUAAAAUUAUAAUAAGUGCAAUUAACAGAAGAAUUUGAUUGGACUAGUAUGACAAUUUUUAUGAUUUAAUAGUACUUUUUGAAAGUUUUUAGAAUACACUAUACUUUUAUGAUGAGUUUUCAAUUCUCGUGAUCAUAUUUGGGCGCCUUUUAGUCUCCACGACGAUUUGGACUUUUGCUAUAGCUCCUGCUCCAAUGACAGUAACUCCUUUCCCUGUCUCUGUGCCUGUUGCGAUCAUUUCGUCCCCAGCUUUUGCUGCGACUUCUUCUCCUGUGAUUGCGUCUCUAUGUUCGUCUCUACACCUGAAAAUCUAUCUUACUAUCAGUUGCAGCAGAGAAUGAGAGGGAAUCACACGCGACACUAAAAGAUACAACCACCACUACUUAAUGGCACGUCAGUGCAAAUUUUAUCCAAUUUACUACGAACGAAGAACAAGGUGCAACAAGCUUGGAUGUCCCCUAAUAACCUGGUUUGGAGCCUGAAAGACCAAAAAGCAGAAUCUAGAAACCAACAACUCAAUGGCAUAAUAGAGAAUAGCUAAGAGAAAUUAGCGAUACCACAUUGAUAACCUACUUGUUAUGGAGGAUCAUAGGACUUUAGGAGUUUACAAUGUCAUGCGCCAAAAUAUUACUUAAGGCGCCAUGUUCACAUUCCUCAUCAAACUAGGACGUGUCAUCAAAUUGCUGAUGAUGGAGUAAGUCCAAGUUUAUAAGCUCUUCAUCCAGCACAAAUUAAUAAAAAUACUUUUGGGACAAGUGCAAAACAAAUUUCAAACGUAUUACCCACAGUCUCAUAGUCAAUUGAAUUUUAAAUCUUUUCAUAAAUAUUCAAUUGGCCGUCAUCUUACUGCCGAUGCCAUUUUUUCCCUAGAAAAUGGAAUUCACCCAAUAUAUAUGAAAUUAACUAUACAUUUUUACUGCAAAGUAAGAGAUAAGACACUGGAUUUUUUAAUUAUAAGAAUCACAUGAAGACUAAAGCUCAAAUAUUCAUUUAAAUUGAGGAAAAAUUGGAGAUUUACGAAAAUUAGUAAAGAUAAUUUAAUGGAUUUAGUAAAGAAGAGAUAAAAUUGAUAAAACUUAUUUGUAGUGUACUUUUUAAAUAUCAAUAGUCUUAUUUUUAUACUUAAACAAGUGAAAAAUUCAAUUAUAACUAACUUGAUUAAAAUUAUCAUACUGUAAAUUUAAUACAAUAUACUUUACAAAAUUUGAAAAUUCAUAUAACUCAUUUAUAGUUUUUUGAGCUUAUAUCUUGUUUUCAAUAUGCUUGAUGAAAAAAGCGAAAGAGAAAUGAGACAUUGAAUAAAGAUCAAAUAUCUUAAAAUAACACACUUGCUCUCGAGGAUCAUAAGCUUUUCUAUUAAAUAAAACCAAGACCCAUCGAGCCUGAACUUCAAUCUCUAAAGCUCAAUCCAUCACGUCUGAAACACGAGGGGGAAGAGCAGAGCACGCGGACACGGCCAAGGGACAGGGCAGCAGGUGGAGGAGGCGGUGAUCAAUUCCUCUGUCCAUAAACACUAGAAAUCGUUCGGGAGGGUGACCAACAUAGAGAGGAGGAAUCGGUUUUGAGGAGAGAGGGGGCGAACGCCGGAUUUUUUCUUACUGGGGGGAGUUGGUUUAGACGCUGGAGAGAGAGCAUUUCUCGGGGGUGAGAAACGAUCUCUCUUCGGAAAGAAAGAUCUAUGAAAUAUGGGCCAGUGAGUUUUGGUACCGAUUAUGUUUAGAUCUAUGAAAACGAGUUUCUAUAAGUGUUUCGAGCAUAUUGUGCCGUUUUGGUAUCAACAUGGAAUUGAGUCGCUGUAUCUAGAUCAUUCGGUUGUGACACCCAUCACCUAGUCGAUGAAAUGUUUAUCAGAAUUUAGUGCAAGUUAACCGUGUUUUUCGUGUAAUCUAAAAGUAUACCAAUUUACUUUUGAGUCCUAGUGAUUUUUCAAUAGCUAAAUCUGUUUCUAAACUCUAGGUUCAUUAUUUUUGUGUUUUAUGUUCUAAUGCCUAUAAAUGAUGGCUACUGGUGAGAGCUUAGCUGGAGUUGAUGUUACAUUUACAGAUUGUUCGUAAAUAAUUCUAGUUUAUCUCCACAUGGUGGUCUUACUUCAUAUUUUCAGUUUCCAUCCAUUCCAGUAAGUCGUAGUAAAGGGGCUAAUGUCUGGCGAACGGCAAUGGUCGAAUAUUAUAGCUGAUGGCAUGGGUCUUGUGAUGAAUCUAGGAAAGAAAAUUGUUAUGGCAUAUGUGAAAGCUUUAUCGAAAUUGAAGCUGAGAAGAAUUAAAAAAACAACAAAUUUGUGUGGAAACCCUUCGGGAAAAAUCAUGGGGAGAGGAAAAGCAAAAUCCACUAUAGAAUUUCAAGGACUACAAAAUGUGACUCUAAUAAACAAAAACAUUUUCGGUCUCAACUUCUUAACCUAAUAACUUGAGAAAAACAAUAUUUAUAUUUCCCCAAGCCUAACAUUGGCCCAUGUCCAUAAAAAAUUCAAGACCUACUCAACAAAUCUUCACCUUGGCUUGAAGUCUACAAAAGCAACAAAAAAUCUUCUCCUCCCAUUAUAGUAAAACUCAAUUGCAACAAACAUUAACUAAAUCCAAGCAAUGCUUGAAUUUGGUAAUAGGCAAAGGCUUUGUCAACAUAUUAGCUGUAUUAUUUUCUGUGCGAAGUUUCAUUUUCUAGUCGUUUUAGUAUGCUUAGUCGUUAUUUUCAUGUGAAACUCAAGGUUGUUGCUUCUAUUUUCAUACUGAACGUUGUGGGUCACUUCUGUUCUUUUGGGCGUUUGGGUCAAACCCUGUUUAGGUGUUGGCUUAAUUACUCGCGUUGAAAUAUUAGCAUGUCGAUUUCCUGGCAAUGUUGGCAUGCUUUUAUGUUGAAUGUUUAGAUGAAUUGUUGGUUUUGCACUUAGAAUGUUGCUGAUUGGAGACACUUGGGCUUGUUAUGCGAAAGUUUUGGUCCCAUUUGAGUAUAAUUUAAGCUUGUACACAAAGCAUGUAAUUCAUUCCUAGUCAAUUUGGCAUGGUUGAAAAUAAUUUGGAUGGGGGAAAUGGGUUAUUUGCAUACCGAACGAUGGUGCAGGCUGUAUAUUGGGCGUGAUUUUGAAUGUAUUGAUGUGAUUGGUGACUUAAUUUCUUAUUUCAUGUAGCUGCAUAGGCACAGGAUUCAUUUCAUAGCACUAUGGUUUAGUUUAGUUUAGGUUUAGGUAGAAUAGAAAAAAUUGGAUUUAAUUUGAACAUAGUUAAUGUGGAUGUUGUCCCAGGGCUUAAUAACAAGGCUAUAUAUAUAUAUAUAUUCUUUGUUUAACACUUCAUUGAAUUUACUUAUGUAUGCUUUAUUUGCCGUUGGCUACAAGUAUCACCUAAAAGGGGGCGUAAAGUUGAUUUCAAGGAAAUUGACAAAUAUUGCAAAAUUAAGACAAUCAAGUUCAAUAUAAGCUAAACUAGGUGAGACAAUGUGUUAAUAUAAGCACAAGCUAGUUAUAUCAAGCAACGUAGUGCAGUGCUUCUAUCAGGCAAUAAGUGAAUAUGAGUAGAGAGAUAAAGAACAAUGCACACAAAGACUAUAGUGGUUCAGUUUGAUAUAAGCUUACGUUCACUCUCCCUCACUAACAACCUAUUGACUGGAUUGCAUUAGAAAUAUUCUUGAAGUUACAGUCUAGGUAGCACCGACACGCGACACGACACGAGUGUCCGACACGAUACGACAUGUCGACACGUCAUUUCUAAAAAAUAGAGAAUUCCGACACGUUGCGACACGUUGAAUAUUAAAUAAAUAUUUUUAUUUUUAAUUAAUUUGAUUCAAAUUCAUAAAUAAUUAAAUAAUUAAAAAAAGCCUAUAAUAUUUAUUUAUUUUAAUUCAUUUAAAAUUCGAAAGAUAUAUUCAUAAUUAAUGCGAAACAUGUUUUUAAUUUUAACAAAAGUUAUUAAUCAAAUUAAUAAUUAAUAAAAAAAAUUAGAAUCAAUUUAUUUAAAUAAAUUCAUGAUUUUUUUAGAAUAAUCAAAAUUUAUCAUUAUUCAAAAUUCAAUACUUUUACUUUUCGAAAUUAUUUUUCAAUUUCAUCUAUUUAAUUUUUCUAUAAAAAGAAUUCCCAAAUCCACUCUCUCUUUUCUUUGUCCAUAUCCCUCCACCCCAAACUUGUUUUACGUUUUUCCCUCCCAAAACCACUGACAGACAGGCUGUCAGCCUCACUUCCCCUCCCCCAAAACUCAAAAGACACGCCAUCGUACCCCCUCUUUUUAUUAUUUUUUAUUUCCUUAUCACAAAUCCUAGCGACCCUCUUUUUCCUCCUCCUUCUACUGCUCGCACAAAAAACACCGGACCAAGACAAACACGCAGACAGCAGACCUCGCUCCCCUCUUUCGCACCUCGUAUCGUUUCUCAGCUUCCGACGUUGGAGCGGACGCGAUGCCGAGGAGGGGGAGAUGCCGUCGCCGUCGCCGCCGCCGCCGCUCGGCGCCCCCCCCCCCCCCGGGCCUCGAUGCCUUCCUCUUCUCUUCCUCUCUCUGGCCGUCUCUCGCCAUCGCUCGCGGCGUCUGCUCCCUCCCCCUCCCUUGCCUCCACCCGGAGUCUUCCGGACACGCAUCGACACGCGUGUCGAGAAAAGUUGACCGCGUGUCGAAAAAUCCGACACGCGGUCAACGCGUGUCCGACCGUGUUCGAGCGUGUCGACGUGUCCGACACGCUCCGACACGUGUCGGACACGACACGGAAGCACGGGCAACGUGUCCGUGCUUCCUAGGUUACAGUAGAAAUAUGCUUGUACUCAAGCACUUCUCCUCAAAGCCAGUGCUGCUUAUACGCAAGCUUAUAGGACUCACUAUCUUACACAUAAGCACAAACUAUAACAUUGCCAACACUUCUCAAAUGUUUACAAUUUUAAAGAUCACAUAAGACAAUGUAAAGCUCUCUCUAAAUUUUAAUUUUAUGAACUAUUGAUCUAUCUCUCUUCUUUGAUAUCUUGAUCUCCUUUUAUGCUUAUGGCCAUCCGGACUUCCCAUUAGACAAUCUUUAAGACAAUCAAUUUCCAAACUAGCCGUUGGACAAUUGUUGAAAAGAUUAAUUAGCCAUUGAAGUCGAUCAAUCGGAAUUCCGUAGAUUUUAUCGCCCAUACAAUCAAAUCUUGGUUUCAAAGAAUAGAGUGCCUCAACUAUCGAAAGUAUCAUGAUUUUAGGAUGAUUGUCAAUCAAUCUAGAUAUCUCAUGAGAUUGAAUACUUCAUGUUGAUAAUAUUUAACAUUGAUAAUCAAUCAAGAUGUUAUAAAUAAGGAAUCCAUAUUAGAUCAUAAGCUGUCAUGGGAUGAGAUAAAAUAUCUUUAAAUAAAAAUCUUGAAGUUCAUAACAAGAUUGUUGUAGUAGGUAGUUUGAGUGUUUUGCUUAUAUUAGCAAUUCUAAUUAUAUUUACCUUUCUAGUUAUAUGAUGAUAUCAGAAUUUUGCAAUAUGUUGCUUAUGUCCCACUUUCGUAAUAUUCUGCUGAUAUCCACUUAGUACACUAUUGAUAUCCACAUGGUCCAUUGCUUAUAUCAAGCUUGUGGCUAAUAUUCAAUUUUCACUCUAGCUUCUAUUUUUUGGUCCUUCCAAGUAUAUUAGCAAUCGUAACUCUACCUCAUCAUUCACCUAUCCAUGGUACCUCCAAGCUUUACCUAGGCUUAUUCACCUUCUACUUAAGUACCUCUAGAUUGUAGACACCUCUACACCCGAUGCCAUGUUCACCAUUGAUAGGAUAGUGUUCUCCUCAUCUUUAGACAAUCUUAUUAGGAUAUCAUAUGCAUGAUGGUUUGUACGUCUUUCACCUAGUAACUCAACCAUUAAACACAUUAGUAACAUUUGAUUAUUUCGUCAUCUUCAAAACAUCACAAGAGAUUUUCCCAACAUUGUUCUUAUCAUCCUGAUUGUGAUUGUCUAUUUUUUUUUUCUCUAAUUGCACAGUCAUGCAUGGACAUCAUUUAAUGGCGUAGAGUUAUAAAAUGGAUAAGGAUCAUGUGAAUUAUUCAAGCAACUAUUCAAUCAACUUAAGGUACCAAAAAGGCACAAUAGUUAGAGAGUUAGUGUAAUCAAGUCCCAAUUUCAAAUAUUUUUUUUGUGUAAAAGUUAGGUAACUCCCAUGCUUCACUUGGCUCCAAACUCACCUCAAUAGGCUAGUGGUGAUGGUUAGUUAUGUUGGACUUCAUAAAUUGAUCCAUUUUAAUUGUAAUUUUCCAACCUCAUGUGAGAUAAAGGUUUGGGAGAAGCCGUGCCAAUUGAGGACUAUCAAAUUUCUACUUGAAAUUAACUCUAAACCUGUCUACCGGGAGGGUUGCAUCAUAGCAACAGGUGUACCCGUGUUACAUUUACCUUAAAUUAAUUUUCGUGUCAUAAAAAUUCCAAAUUGAUAUAUCCAUAUCAUAUUUACUCUAAACUAAUUUUCAUGUUACAGAAAUGCGAAACUAGUAUGCUAGUGACACAUAUUUCCUAAACUAAUUUAUGUCAUAAAAAAUCCCAAAUCAUCAAAAUCUUUGAUUGGGAAAUUUGCCAAAAUAUGUUGAUUUUGCUCUAAGAGCUCCUUCAAGUUUCAGAACUAUGCUAAAAGUCAUAAUUUUUUAUGACUUGAAAAUUAGUUUGGAAUAGAUUUGGCACAAAAGUGUAGUAGUUUUGAAUUUUUUUGCAACACAAAAAUUAAUUUGAAGUAAAUAUGAUACAAGUAUAGUUUAGGAAUUUUUGUUGUUUGGUUAAAUUGUGAUAUAGAUAUACCAAUUUGAGAUUUUAAGUGAUACUAACGGCAGAAUUUAGAAGAAGUUACUAAUUGACUAUGGACUUGAUAAAUUCAUGAUGAUGUUGGUAAUUAUCAACAAUUUAAGUUAUGAGCAAGCUAUCAGUUAUAUAUAUAUAUUUUUUUUUUGCCAACAGUAUUUGAAAAUUAUUGGCAAUUUCAAAAAUCCGCGAACAUGAAAAAAAUCAGUUUUUUGGCCUAGAAGACUCGAGAAUUUUGCAAUUGGUUAACCUUGAAUCUAAAUUUCAAAGAUGCUUUGAGCAUUGAACCUUUAGUGCCCCUGUUCCCUAUUGUAGACAAGUACAAUAGGUGCAUAAGCAAGUCAACAAACUAAUACUGGCCUGCAACUUCAACAAAAAUGUGUAGUGGGACAAUGGCAGAUUUAGAAAUCCUUAAGGACAUACUUCAAUGACACAUUCAAUCAUGCGACCCCAGGCUAAAUGGGCUUCGACAGCUCUUCAUCUUUCUUUCUCCCAUGGAUAAACAAGAGUGGCAUACACUAAACAAGAAAGGGACAUAUAUGGUGUUAAUGAUGUAGGGCGAGUUUUUGAAAGAUCUCUUUUGUGUUCAUCUGUUCAUUCAACCCGAUUUAGAAAUCACACUUAAAAGAAGAAGAUGAUAGCAUAAUAAGAUAAGCAUACAUAUGCAAAAUUGCAUUUCAAUUCGACAAAAAGUGUGUUCCUUGAACUACAUUACACAUAGUUCAAAGGGACCACUUCCCAGCAAUUUCAUCGGCCUCCAUGAAAUUUGAUGGCCUUUUGCUUUGGCUUUCAUCAAUUUGAUUCCAGUCUCCAUCCUUCCCACUUCUCUCACAAGCCAUUUGGGUCUUCCAGUUUCACAUAAAAUGUAUGCUAUGGAGAUUACAAUCACAAUUCCGGAUGCAUAUCUUAUCCCGACUACUUUCCAAUCAAAAUCAUUACCAUGCUUUCUUGUACUAUUCUCUCGAAAGAAUGACCAUGGUGGUGAAGGCAAAGCAUCACUGCGGCAUAUGUUUUGUAAUGGAGUUCCACAUAAACCCGAGUUUCCAUGAAAUGAAUCACUUGUGAAUGUGCUCAAUUGCUUAUCUUGAGGUGUGGGGCCUAUAAGUUGGUUCUCUGAGAGGUCCAAACACCCAAGGAAUGACAAAUCUCCCAGUUCUCUAGGAACCCUCCCACUAAGCUUGUUUGAAGAUAAAUCCAACCAUUCAAGGUUAGUUAAAUUUCCAAGGGUUGAAGGAAUGGAACCCAUGAGGUGGUUGUGAGAAAGGUUGAGCCCUAUGAGAGAUUGAAGAUUUCCAAUAAUACUCGGGAUGUUCCCUUGAAAAGAGUUAACCGAUAAGUCUAUGGUUCUGAACAUGGUCAAGAUCCUCUCUAGCUGAAUCUCCUUUCUUUUCAUGAUCAUAGUCACAGAAUCUUCAUAGUACCUCCAUCCAUAUCCAACUUUCCGCCUCAUGUACAAUGAUUUGUCUUGCGGCUCAUGUGUAUUUUGUCCAUUCAUCAUCCCUUGAAGUUUCGCUAUCUAAUCGGCUGGUAAAGGACCAACAAAGUUGUUGUUUAGAGGUCCAAAAUUCUGCAACUAGGGAAAGAGAUGAGCUGCCCUUGGAAAAUCUAAUAAACUCUUAAAAUUGUUGGACCUCAAAAUAAGAACUUUUAGCUUAGAGAGUUUUCCCAACCAUGCUGGGAACUUAUCCUCUAUCUUAUUGUUGUUGAAAUCCAAAAUUUCCAGCCUUGUACAAUUGACAAGGGAUUGUGGCAAUGCUCCUUCAAAUUGAUUUUCACUCAAGUCAAGAGUGCCCAAGCUACUUCGUUGAGAAAAUGUUCUCGGGAUUGUACCCAAAAGACUAUUCAUUCGCAAGUUCAAAACUGAUAAACCAAUGCUCGAGUUUGAUAAGCACUUGGGUAGGCUACCAACUAACCUAUUAUUACACAAGAUGAGGAUGCUGAGGUUGGUGGCAUUGCAUAUCGAUGAAGGGAUCUUCCCCACUAUUUUAUUAUAUGCAAUAUUGUAGGAAUUUGUGAAUGGUGAUGGAAGUGGAAGUGGACCUUCAAAGUUGUUGUAAGACAAAAUAAUUGUUGACAAUGAGGUUUUUGAGAAACCAAGAAUUGAACCAGAAAGGUUAUUCUAGCGAAGGAACAAAGAUCUCAGGUUGGUCAAGUUACGCAAAGAAUAAGGAAUUAGGCCAAUGAGCUGGUUUGUACUCAGCUCUCAGUCAAGCAUAGCAUGGAGAUUACCUAUCUCAUCGGGAAUUUGCCCUGAAAGCUGGUUACCAUAGAGAUAAAGAAGGGCGAGUUCUGUCAAAUUGCCUAAUGUUGGUGGGAUUGAACCAAUAAGAUUAUUAUCAUUAAGGCACAACUCGCUAAGAAGAUUCAGUUUUCCUAGCUCCAGUGGGAUGGAACCAGUAAGCUUAUUAGCAAAUAGGUGUAGCUCUGUCAAUUUGGUUAAGUUCCCCAAAGUGGAAGGAAUCGGUCCUGUUUGGAGGUUGGUGUCCAUGUGGAGCAAUUCCAAAUUUGUCAUACUUCCCAUUUUAGGAGGAAUAUAACCAGAAAGGGAGUUGUUGUAGACAUACAAUACAGCGCAACCUCAUUGAGCAAAUGCAAUUGCCCAAUUUCUUGGGGAAUGGAGCCAUUUAACUCAUUGGAAACCAGGUGUAGGACUGUUAGUCUAGUUAGAUGGCUGAUCUCCGGCGGUAUUUUCCCCAUGAACCGAUUGAUAGAGAGGUCGAGAUAGGUGAGAUUGCUCAAUAGACCGAUUUGAGGCAGAAUACGGCCAGAGAGACUAUUUAUACUCAGGUCCAUGUACAUUAUAUGAGACAAAGAUGAGAAUGGGAAUUCGUCCAGCGUACCAUCGACAUAGGCACUAGUGAGAUUUAUCCCGAUCACUCUCCCCGCCCGAUUACAGGAGAUGUCAUACCAAGCACAUGGACUCCUAGUCAAGUUGGAACCAGUGGCAUUACAAGGAGAGGGAGUCCACGAAGAGAGGGAAGAAUUUGAAUGAUUGCCAAGAUUGGACUUCCACUUGAGGAGGGCUUGGGCUUCUAUAGGGGAAGCUUGAGCAGGAAGUGGAAUGGUAAAGGUAGUGAAAAGGGCAAGGGCAGCCACGAGGCUCAUUACCCUCUUGAAUUCUGGUGUAUGAUCCAUGGAUUCUUCUUCUCCUUCUCUUGUUUUGGUUCGGGUAAGUGGGUUUGUCUUUCCCUAAGGCAACAAGCGAUGCUUAAAUAGGCGGCGAAAACUCACCUUCCUAUCAUUUUCCAUGGUAAUGGGUAUGCAAUAAAACGGCGACUAACCAGUGGAGACUAAGAAGAGGUACGUUUAUUUGCUUUGUACCCGUAGGGGACCAGGGGUAGUCAUCUAACAGCUGACUAAGACGAAUUUUCGGUUCUUUGAAGACUCUGGAAUUUGUUACUUUUGUAGUCUUCGUAGUGACAUUUCUGAUUUGGUCAGUCCUCUUUUCGGAAUUGAGCCCACCCAUUAUAUGAAUUCGGAGACUUUGACUUUGACUGAGAAGUCUUCGAGGAAAGUGAGGCAAAGUCAGUCAAGGCCUCGCGUGUGGUUUGGGAACACUCACUUUUCCACAAGAUCAGACCCUAAUUUGUGCUGCACAAAAUUUUGAUUUUUAAGCGCAAAAGGAAAGUCUUCUCACUUGGCAUUCAUGAAGCAAAAUCUUGACGCGGUCGACCCUGUUAUUGCAGAAACGACAGCUGAUGAUCUAGCCAAAUGGCCCCUGAGAGCAUGGUCAAAAAUAAAAAUGAAAAAUCUAACGACAUAUUUGAAGUGGAAAAUUGCUAAAAAUUGGAGCUUGGGUUGAGUUGGGUAUGAUUUGAGUCCAAGUGAGAUUGAGUGUGAGCUACCAAAAUUGUAUUACAAAAAUAUGGGUUGAUAUGUGUUAUAUUGGUCAAUGUGAAUUGCAUCCAUUUUCCAGCCAUUCAUACUUGACGUGAUCCUUUACUAGGAAUAAUACCCGAGAAAUCUAAAAGAUUAUUUAUAUCAAUUGAUGGAAGAGCAAAUAUUCACUGAGAACUUAAAACUUGUCCAGUAUGAAUAUUUUCUCCAAAACUCAAUCAACUAAUAUAAAAUUUUAAGGACAAAGUACAAAAACAAUAUAAAAUUUUUAUGUGCUCAAUGUGGAAAAAAGUACAAAUCAUUCAAAACUUUCACUAAUCACCAAAAAUAAUAGAAUAUAUAAUAGUUCAUCUCUAGUCACAUAGCUAGAGAAUGAACAUAUCAACGAUACAACAAUAUAUCAUUAGUGGAUUAACAAAAGAAGCAAGAAAACUCUAACCAUUACUAGAGAAAUUGAAAGACAAAUCGGAGAAGGAUCUCAAUGAUGAUCUUCAUCUCACGAACAUAUAUUAAAAUUUCAGCUGAUUCUGAAUUUGAACUGCCUCUUCUCCUUCGAACCUUGGACUCUCUCCCUCUUUUAUUUAUCUUUUUGUUCGAACACUCAUUUUUCUCUUUUCACUAUAAAAAAAAUUCGACCCUAAUUUUUAUUUCUUUUUCUUUAAAAAUGUGCUGGGCCCCAUGAGGCGGACCCAGCCCAUCGUCGAGUAGGAAGUGCACUUGUUGGAAUGACCCAGACUGAAAAUGGCUAGGGAAGCUAGAAGCAUUAUAACUAUCUUGAAGCCUUGUGAAUACAUGGCCUUUAUCUCUUUUGGCCUGGAAGUCUUUUUUUCUCAGGUUCACGAGGAUUCCUCGAUCUUAUUUUCCUGGGAUUUUCCUAUUUGACAAUGGAAAUGCAUUAGCAAGCAUUAACUCGUGGAACGCAUAUUGGUAUAUGUCAUUUGGCAUAAUAAAUAUGUUGUCAAUUCCCACCGGCUGGUUCCUUCUUGACAUUGCAUAUUUCCUCUUGCCUUUCUUUUAAGCAAUACAAUCAAGAAUUGAGAUGAAUUAACACAACUACGUGAGAAGGUUAGGUGCACAGAAUUCAUUGUCUUGCUACGCCUCUGUCUAUACUAUUCAUGCACAAAGUUUUUUGAAACUUUGAUUUUAUGAUGUUGGGUUUUACUUAAGAGUGAUCGAGGGCGGGUUUUACUUAAGAGUGAUCGAGGGCGGGUUCAAACAUUGGUCUACUAUGGUAUCCUUUUUCAAAUUCUCAAAACUCUGAGUUCUCAGAGGCUAAGUCUAUUGUUUUCCGUAUGAAGUUCAUAAGGAGACGUUGUUCUGACAUGUUUUGCGGAAGGCUAUUUUCCAGAUCUAAGUUCUCUGUUCUGAAGUAUAGAAAAGAUGCUUCAUGAUGAGCUAAAACCCUAAUGAGUUCUACUUGUAUUUGACAAUGGAGCCAGGCCUAGCAAAAACAGCCCAUCAUGAUUUAAAACCUCCAAGAUUUUAGAGGGCUCGAUAUCGUCUACCUUCACGCUCUUGAAAUAUGAGGUAGCGCUAGAACAGAACUUGUAGUCUUUCUGAAACAAUGGAUGAUCUCCUCUUGAGAUGAAACGAUGACCAGUGGUCUUCCUAAUUUGAGCACUUCAAGUUCGAAGCUCUAAUGAAAACGAAGUCCGGAUUUCUCUAUUUUGGACAAUCAAAAGCUACUAAACUUCUAUUAACGACUCAUGCCACGGCAACAUGCACAUAGCACUCCAAAUAGGAAUGGAUUGAUCGCCCUCUCUGUCAUGAUACACGGUUGUAGUAAUUGCAUGAAACCCAAAAUUAUGGUGGAUGGCCACGACUAGGGACAAUUAGUCUCUGAUUGAAUGCACUCUCAAAAGAUCCAUGACUGAAACUCGUUUUCAUGUAAGUCGAUUUUGCAUCUACAUAAAUCCCAAAUAAACAUAUAGAAGGACUAAUAAUCAUCAAGAGUUUAGAGACUUCAUAUAAAUUUUCCAUUUCAUCCUAACAUGGACAUUUCGGUUUCAAGAUAACAACACUGGAUACAUCGUCAACUUCACAUUGAUACAAAAGUAAUUUUUUCUAAGUCUGACUUGACAUGGAUACAUUGACUCCAAAGACACUAGUCUGGUUAAGACUAGACGCAGAAACAGUUUGAAAUAUCACUUGAGUUCAGCUGUUGUCUCUACAAACGAAAGUAGAUGCCAGAUUGUUCUAGUUUUGCUUCUUCCAAAACAGAAGGCAGUUCUAUUCUUGGGCAUGAACGAAACAUGGUCCGCAUCCUCAUGCUGAUAUGAAACACUCAACUUUGGUUGACGGUCAAAAUAUUUACCCUAAAUGCAAAUAAAGUAAACACAUAAGUGAGGGAAACAGUGUACUGAAAAAAGUUUGAGACUUAACCAAUUAGCUCAAGCGACUCUAUUUUUCAUUAAAGAUCUUAAACCUUCUUGCAUGUGGUUGACAGAGCAACAUCAUUUAUCAGACAAUAUCUUCUACGAAUUGAUCCGGGAAAUGGCUUGAAGCUGUUGUAUCUCUCACAGGAUUGGCGGUUGUCUCUGAAUAUUGAACGCCGUGGAAAGUGGUUGAACAAGCUGAUAGUCUCUGAGAAAUCAUGUCCAUCGACGGCCUGAGUUGGGGAUUAGCAGAUAAGCAAGCGACUGCAAGCUUGAAGAUGGUCAGAAGUUUAUCCUCAAUGCCUGGCGUGGGCGUUGGCAGGCGUGAAUCCAAUGUAUUCCUCAAAACAACUGAGAUCUCCAUGUCAACUGGAGCUACUAGAGAUGGAAUGCUCUCACCCGGAUGUAUUCCUUUGAUCACCUCGAUGGCCACUAUUCCAAAGCUAUACACAUCACAUUUUGUCGUCACCUUCCUUAUGUAAGCAAGCUCUGCACAAAGAGGGUGAUAUAUGUAUUAGCAUGAAGACAUUGCUAUAGCUCAACCUUAAGAUCAAGAGUUGAUUUUAGAGUUUACCUGGAGCUACAUAACCAUAUGUGCCAACGGCUGCAGUCCAAUUUGAUGUAUCCAGAUUAAGAAGCUUAACCAUGCCGAAGUCAGAAACAUGCGCCUCAUACUUAGAAUCAAACAGAAUAUUGUUACUAGAAAUAUCCCAAUGAACAAUUGGAGGGUUACAAUCAUGGUGCAUAUAAGAAAGAGCAUGUGCCAUGCCUUUUAUGAUAUUCACCCUCUUGUUCCAGUCCAACUCUUUAGCUUCUUCUUCAUUGCUCAAGGUUGUAGACAAGCUUCCUUUGUCCAAGUACUCAUACACUAAGAAAGAGUGUUGUGGAUGCGAACAAAAGCCCUCAAGUUUCACAAUAUUGCAGUAUCGAAUUUCUGUCAAAGCCCUAAUCUCAUUCAGAAAUUACUUUUGAUCCGUUUGCCCACUAUCAACCGUUUGAUGGAUCUUCUUUACAGCUACUAUAUCACCCGAUCUUAAUUCAGCCUUGAAGACACUUCCACACCCCCGCCCCGGCCCCCCAAUACAAUAAAUCUCAUCAAAUGCCCCGGUGGCUUCUAUGAUGUCUUCAUAUAAGAUCUUUCCAUCGUACUUUGAUAGAGAAAAGACUUCAGUUGUCUUGGGUGCUAGUUCCGCUGUUCGAUGGAUCUUCUUUCUACGAAAAAUGAAGAAUAUUCCAAAAUAAAUAAAUAGAAGAACUGCUCCUAGUAGAGGAAACACAAUAAGAAACACUCUACCUCUAGCCCGAGAGUUUUCCCUAUCCAUCACCGCUUAAUUACAUGGCUCAAGUCCAUCGACAUUUCCACACAAUCCAAUGUUGCCUUCAAACAAAAUGUCAUGUAAAGUACAAAAAUGAUACAAAAAUUUUACAUGCUCAAUGUGGACAAAACUACAGAUCGUUCAAAACUUCCACUAAUUAUCAAGAAUAGCAUAAUAUUCAAUAGUUCAUCUCUAAUCACACGGCUAGAGAAUGAACACAUCAACAAUACAACACUAUAUCAUUAGUAGAUUAACAAAAGAAGUAAAAAAAACUCUCACAAAAAUCGAAAGACAAAUCUGAGAAGGAUCUCAAUGAUGAUCUUGAUCUCACAAACAACAUAUUAAAAUUUCAGCUGAUUCUAACAAAAUUUCACCAAUAAAUCUGAACUGCCUCUUCUCCUUCAAACCUUGGUAACUCUCCCUCUUUUAUUUCUUUUUUUGUUCAAACGGUCAUUUUUCUCUUUUCACCAUAAAAACAUUCCACCCUCAUUUUUAUUUCUUUCUUUUUAAAGAUGUGCUGGGCCCCAUGAGGCGAAUUCAGACCGUCAUCAAGUAGGAAGUGCACUUGUUGGAAUGACUCAGACUGAAAAUGGCUAGGGAAGCUAGAAGCAUUAUGACUAGGGGUGUGCAAAAGAACCGAGACCCGCCGAACCGCCCGAAACCGAUGGUUCUUGAAGGAACUGGUCCGGUUCCCGAAUCCAAUUUAUGGGAACUGGUGGGUACCGAUUCAGUUCCCGGUUCCAUAGGCAGAUCCGCCCACCCAAACCGGACCAAUCAUUUUAUUAUAAUAUAUUAAUUUCUAAUAUUAAAAUAAAAUUUUAAUUACUAAUUAGCAAACCAAAAUUUUAGGGCUCCAUUUCCUCUCAUAGUUUCCAUGUUUUUACAAGAAUUUAGUAAAGUGUGUAAGCUGCCUUUCAGCAACUUAACAAAUGGCUCCUUCAAAGGAUACUUCCGGGACUCACAUAGGACACUGUGUUCAAGAAUAAGUGAAGUAUCGGUGGAAUUGUUUCUGCAGAAAGAAUUCAGUAAAGCAAAGGUUAUAAGAGAAUGAGCAUUGUUAGGAAAUAAAGGAAAAAACGAUCUACAUAUGACAAUCAUCCAAAAUCUUGAACUUAAAGAAUAUUUUAGAUUUCAACUGAAAUGAUUCAAAAAUAGGAAAAAAAAAACUAUUUCUCUUCUUUGGUAGUGUUUUCCAAUAAAAUAAAGAAAAAUGGUACUAUUAAUUAAGCCGGUUCGGUUUUUAAAAAAAUAUAUAUUACUUGAUAUGAAGAGUACUCACGGCAGAAUUUGGAAAACAAUAUUAUUAUUGACGAGAACGGUCCCAUGGAUCCACCCGGGAACCAAACCGGACUGGCAAUCCGGUUCUCAGGUGGAUCCAUAUAACUAAUGAGCGGUUCUCGGUUCCAAUUUUUCGAAACCGAUCCUUAUUGGGCGAUUCCCAGUUCUAGGCCGGGAACUACCCAUCCGGACCAUGCAUACCCCUAAUUGUGACUAUCUUGAAGCCUUGUGAAUACAUGGCCAUUUUUCUCUUUUGAUCUGGAAGUCAUUUUUUCUCAGGUUCACGAGUAUUCCUCAAUCUUAUUUUCCUAUUUGACAAUGGAAAUGUAUCGGCAAGCAUUAACUCGUGGAAUGCAUAUUGGUAUAUGCCAUUUGGCAUAAUGAAAAUGUUGACAAUUCCCACCGGGUGGUCCUUUCUUGACAUUGCAUAUUUCCUGUUGCCUUUCUUCUAAGCAGAACAAUCAAGAAUUGAGAUGAAUUGACACAACUACUCGAGAAGGUUGGGUGCACAUAACUCAUUCUCUCGCUACACCUUGAUUCAAAUAGCUGUCCCUUCAUUGUUUUCUUUUAUACUAUUCAUUGGCGUAAGUUUUUUGGAACUUUGAUUUUACGAUGUGGGGUUCUACACAAGAGUGAUCGAGGGUGGCGUCAAACAUUGGUCUACUAUGGUUUCCUUUCUCAAAUUCACAAAACUAUGAGCUCUCAGAGGCUAAGUCUAUUGUUUUCCAUAUGAAGUUUAUGAGGGGACUCUGUUCUGACAUGUUUUGCGCAAGGCUAUUUUCCAGAUGUAAGUUCUCUGUUCUGAAAAAUAGAAAAGAUGGUUGAUGAUGAGCUAAAACCCAAAUGAGUUCUACUUGUAUUUGACAAUGGAGCUAGGCCUAGCAAAACCAGCCCAUCAUGAUUUAAAACCUCCAAGAUUUUGGAGGGCUGGAUAUCAUCUACCUUCACGCUCUUAAAAUGUAAGGUAGCGCUAGAACAGAACUUGUAGUCUUUCUGAAACAAUGGAUAAUUUCCUCUUGAGAUGAAAUGGUGAUCAGUGAUCUUCCUAAUUUGAGCACUUCAAGUUCGAAGCUCUAAUGAAAACGAAGUCCGGAUUUCUCUAUUUUGGACAAUCAAAAGCUACUGAACUUCUAUUAACAACUCAUGCCAUGGCAACAUGCACAUAGCACUCCGAAUAGGAACGGAUUGAUCGCCCUCUGUCAUGAUACACGGUUGUAGUAAUUGCAUGAAACCCAAAAUUAUGGUUGAUGGCCAUGAUUUGGAACAAUUAGUUUCUGAUUGAAUGCACUCUGAAAAGAUCCAUAAUUGAAACUCUUCUACAAGUAAGUCGAUUUUGCAUAUACAUAAAUCAAAAAUAAACAUAUAGGACUAAUAAUCAUCAAGAGUUUAGAGACUUCAUAUAAAUGUUCCAUUUCAUCCUUACAUGGACAUUUCGGUUUCACGAUAACAACACUGGAUACAUCAUCAACACUUUACAUUGAUACAAAAGAAAUACUUUCUAAGUCUAACUCGACAUGGAUACAUUGACUCCAUAGACACUAGUCUGGUUAAGACCAGAUACAGAAACAGUUUGAAAUAUCACUUGAGUUCAGCUGUUGUCUCCACAAACGAAACUAGAUGCCAGAAUGUUCUAGUUUUGCUUCUUCCAAAACAAAAGGCAGUUCUAUACUUACUUGGGCAUGAACGAAACAUAGUCCGCAUCCUCAUGCUGAUAUGAAACACUCCACUUUGAUUGACGGUCAAAAUAUUUAUCCUAAAUGCAAAUAAAGUAAACACAUAAGUGAGGGAAACAAUAUAUUGAAAAAAGUUUGAGAGUUAAUCAAUUAGUUCAAGUGACUCUAUUUUUCAUUAAAGAAGAUCUUAGACCUUCUUGCGUGUGGUUGACAGAGCAACAUCAUUAAUCAGACGAUAUCUUCUACGAAUUGAUCCAGGAAAUUGUUUGAAGCUGUUGUAUCUCUCACAGGAUCAGCGGCUGUCUCUGAAAAUUGAACGCCAUGGAAAGUGGUUGAACGAGCUGAUAGUCUCUGAGCAAUCGUGUCCAUCGACGGCCUGAGUUGGGGAUCAGCAGAUAAGCAAGCAAUUGCAAGCUGGAAGAUGGUCAGAAGUUUAUCCUCAAUGCCUGGUGUGGGUGUUGGCAGGCGUGAAUCCAAUAUAUUCCUCAAAACAACCGAGAUCUCUAUGUCGAUUGGAGCUACUAGAGAUGAAAAGCUGUCACCCGGAUGUCUUCCUUUGAUCAACUCGAUGGCCACUAUUCCAAAGCUAUAAACAUCACAUUUCUCCGUCACCUUCAUUGUGUAAGCAAGCUCUACACAAAGAGGAUGAUAUAUCUAUUAGCACGAAGACAUUGCUUUAGCUCAAUCUUCGAAUCAAGAGUUGAUUUUAGAGUUUACCUGGAGCUACGUAACCAUAUGUGCCGACGACUGCAGUCCAGUUUGAUGUAUCCAGCUUAAGAAGCUUAGCCGUGCCAAAGUCAGAAACAUGCGCCUCGUACUCAGAAUCAAGCAGAAUGUUGUUACUGGAAAUAUCUCGAUGAAUGAUUGGAGGGUUACAAUCAUGGUGCAUAUAAGAAAGAGCAUAUGCCACGCCUUUUAUGAUAUUCACCCUCUUGUUCCAAUCCAACUCUUUAGCUUCUUCUUCAUUGCUUAAGAUUGUAGACAAGCUUCCUCUAUCCAAGUACUCAUACACUAAGAAAGAGUGUUGUGGAUGCGAACAAAAGCCCUCAAGUUUCACAAUAUUGCGGUGUCGAAUUUCUGUCAAAGCCCUAAUCUCAUUCAGAAAUUCCUUUUGAUCCGCUUGCCCACUAUCAACCGUUUGAUGGAUCUUCUUUACAGCUACUAUAUCACCCGAUCUUAAUUUGGCCUUGAAGACACUUCCACAGCCCCCCCGUCCAAUACAAUAAAUCUCAUCAAAUGCCCCAGUAGCUUCUAUGAUGUCUUCAUAUAAGAUCUUUCCAUCGUACUUUGAUAGAGAAAAGACUUCAGUUGUCUUGGGUGCUAGUUCCACUGUUCGAUGGAUCUUCUUUCUACGGAAAAUGAAGAAAAUUCCAAAGAAAAUAAACGGAAGAACUGCUCCUACCAGAGGAAACACAAUAAGAAACACUCUACCUCCAGCCCGAGAGCUUUCCCUAUCCGCCACUGCUUGAUUACAUGGCUCAAGUCCUUCGACAUUUCCACAUAAUCCAGUGUUGCCUUCAAACGCUUCUUUUGUUGCAUUUUGAAAUGCCAUGGUGGUGGGGAUGGGACCCUCAAACUUGUUGUAGGAGAUGUCCACCUCUGCCAACCCUCGCAUAUCCUUGAAAGUCUUGUAUAUAAGGCCAGAAAGAUUAUUGUGUGAAAUGUUGAGUUUCACUAGGCUUUCUAGCUCGUUGAAUUGAAUUGGGAUGUCACCGCUUAACAAGUUACAACUCAAGUCUAGCUCGUUCAAAUGAGUUAGCAUCCCUAGUUGCCCUGGAAUAUCUUGGCUCAACUGGUUGUUGCUCAAAUACAAGUGGGUCAAUUUUGAAGAAUUCCCAAUAGCCUGCGGGAUAGACCUGUUUAAUCUAUUCCACGACAAAUCCAAUUUUAGAAGACUAGGUCGCGAUGCAAUCUCUGGACUUAUUUGGCCAGAAAGUUGGUUCCUGCUUAGAUUCAAAGUCUCCAAAGAAGUCAAUUUUCCAAAUUCUUUCGGAACCUCCCCAACUAAACUAUUGAAAGAUAGAUCAAUUACACUCAGUUUAGUCGCGUUUCCGAUCUCAAGAGGCAAGCUACCAGUGAUGUUAUUUCCAGCAAUGUUUAGACCACUUAAACUCAUGCAACUUCCCCAAUUUGUUGAGAUUUCUCCAUAGAACUUGUUGGAACUCAAGUCGAUAAAGGUUAGGUUGGGGUAGACACCAAAGAUCUCGGAGAUGUUUCCAGUCAACUGGUUUUUCUCGAGGCGAAGUCUAACUAAGCUUGUGCAAUUUUUCAAGCUUCUAGGGAUAGAACCAGUUAACUUGUUGCCACUCAUUGAGAGACUUUCAAGAAAUCCACCUUGGCACAAGUUUUCUGGUAAGGAGCCAGUUAACUUGUUGGCAUCCAGUUCCAACAUCUUUAAGUUCAUCAGAUUCCCCAAGGAUUUAGGAACUGAACUAGAAAGUUGAUUCCCGCGGAGGAACAAAUAUGAUAGGUCGGUCAAGUGACCCAACGAAGAAGGAAUUGGGCCAGUGAGCUGAUUUGUACUCAACUCUAAGUCAAGCAUAGAGCGGAGAUUUCCUAACUCAUUAGGAAUGUGACCGGAAAGCUGGUUACCGUAGAGAUAAAGAAUGGUAAGAUUCGUCAAAUUGCCUAAUAUUGGCGGGAUUGAACCGGUAAGAUUAUUUCUAUCUAGGCUCAACAAGCUAAGAAGGUUCAAAUUCCCUAGUUCUAGGGGGAUGGAACCGGUAAGCUUAUUAGCAAAUAGCUGCAGCUCUCUUAAUUUGGUUAAGUUCCCCAAAGUAGAAGGGAUUGAUCCUGUCAAGUUGUUGGAAUUCAUGUGGAGCACUUCCAAAUUUGUCAUAUUUCCUAUUUCAGCAGGAAUAGAACCAGAAAAGGAGUUGUUGUAGAGAUACAAGACAGCUAAUUUGCUCAAAUUGCCUAAUGAAGAAGGUAUGGGUCCAUUCAACUUGUUUGAAUAUAGCGCAACUUCACUAAGCAAAUGCAAUUGCCCGAUUUCUUGGGGAAUUGAGCCAUUUAACUCAUUGGAGACUAGGUGCAAGACCUCCAAUUUCCUUAGACAGCCAAUCUCUGGUGGUAUUUUCCCCGAGAACCGAUUAACAGAGAGGUCAAGAUAGGUGAGAUUGCUCAGGAGACUAAUUUGAGAAGGAAUGUGGCCAAAAAGACUAUUUAUACUUAGGUCCAUAUUCGCGAGAUGAGACAAUGAUGGGAAUGGAAAUUCAUCAAGCGUACCUUCAACAUCGGCACUGGUGAGAUUAAUGCCGACCACGCUUCCUGCCCGAUUGCAGGAGAUGCCACGCCAAGUGCACGGACUCAUGGUUGAAUUGGAACCAGUGACAUUAUGAGGAGAGGAAGUCCACGAAGAGAGGGAAGAAAGCGAAUGGUUGCCAAGACCAGACUUCCACUUGUGGAGAGCUUGUGCUUCUGGAAGAGAAGCAUGAACAGGGAGUGGAAUGGCAAAGGUAGUGAAAAUGACAAGAGCAGCCGCAAGGCUCAUGACCCUCUUGAAUUCUGAUGAAGGGUUCAUGGAUUCUUUUUUUUCCUUCUCUUGUUUUAGUUCGGAUAAGUUGGUUUGUGUUUCCCUGAGGCUACAAGCGAUGCUUAAAUAGGCUGCGUAAAGUCACGAUCCUAUCAUUUUCCAUGAUAAUGGGAAUGCAAUAAAAUGGCCUAAGUGGAGACUGACAAAAGGUACGUUUACAUUACUUUUAGGCCGUAAGUGGAGAAUUUUUGGUUCUUUGAAGACUUGUUACUUUUGAAGUCUUCGUAUGUCACUUUUCUGACGGGGUCAGUCCCCAUUUCGGAGGUUUUUUGUUUUUUUGGGUCUGACCUAUUUAUGAGUCCCACCCUCCCAUUGUACGAAAAGCAGAGGCUCCGACAGAGAGGUGUCUUUGAGGAAAGUGAUGUCAAGUCAACGUCUUUCGUGAGGUGUGGGUGCACCCAAUUUUCCGCAAGAUCAGACCCCACGUCGUGCUGCACGUUUUCGAAUUCAAAGCGUGUAUAAGGAAAGUGUUCUCCCACGGCAUUCACGAUGCCAAAUCUAGACGCGGUCCACCCCAUUCCUGCAGAAAUGACAGCUGAUCUAGAACACGGUAAAAAAUAAAAUUAAGUGUAUGUUUGUUUUGCGAAAAAUAAUUUCUGAAAAAAUACUUUCUUCAUUUUUUAGCGUUUGGUUCAUUUAGGAAAAUGAAUCAACAAAAAAUAUUUUCUUAAUUAAUAUAAAAAAAUUUCAAUUUUCCUUCCAAAGCAUAAAUUCAGGAAAACGAUUUCCCAUUUAAAAGAACCGAAAACGUUUUCCAAAAUAUUUUAAAAUCCUUACUUAAUGAAUAUUUAUUAUUAAAAAGAAUUUCUAAUUAAAAAUUUUGAAUUUGCUAUUAUUAUAUUUCUUUUUUCUUUUUUCUUGUUUUCUCUUUUCUUUAUUUGUCUAAACCCUAACUCCUCCUCCUCUCUCUCCUCCUUCGCCCCCUCCCUUUUGUCACCGCUGCCUCCUCCAACCCUAGCCCCUCUUGCACUCUCGUUGGCUUCACUUCUUUCUCUUCCUCUACGUCGGCAUCUUUUACAUCUUAAAUCAUUUUUCAAAUACAAUCCAAACACCAUAAAAUAUUUUCAAUUACGUAUCACCAAACAAAAAAAAAAACUAACCGUUUUCCUAGAAAAUGAUUUCCCAAAAAAUAAUUUCUAAAAACAUUACGUUUUUCGUGAAACAAACACACCCUAACAACAUAUUUGAAGUGAAAAAUUGCUAAAAUUUGGAGCUUGUGUUGAGUUGAAUAUGAUUUGGGUCCAAGUGAGAUUGAGUGUGGAUUGCCAUAAUUAUAUUACAAAAAUAGUGGUUAGAUUGAAUCUUUUUUCUAUCCAUUCAUAUUUAACCUAUCUUUUACUAGGAAUAAUACCAGAUAAAUUUAAAAGAUUAUCCAUUCUAAAUAUGUAAAGAAAACUAUAAUCAAUAAGUAUAUUAUAAUAAAUGUUGUAUGAUGUAGCCCAAAUUUCUUUAAGACCUAUUUAGAUAACCACAAAGGCACUUCGAUUUUUUUAGGCACUUCUCUCCUUCCUAAAUGACCAUAAUUUCCAAAGGACCUUAAAUCCAAACAAAAUAGAAAUGUCUAUGAGCUCGAGCUGCUAAUGAGCUAAUCCUAUUUACCUAUUCUUAAAAUUCUAGAAUUUACUUCUUUGGAAUAAAGCUAAGGCUUCCCAAGGUUCUCUAACUUGGAGGAAAGAUAAGCUUUCAAUAUGGUCAAAUACAACCCAUCAUUUUGUCGCAACUUAGAACAUUCAAGAUGAUAGUAAAUUGAAACUGGAAAGAGAAUACAUGACCGUAUGGUCAUUUUAUAAAAUAGAUAGUGGAAUGUCAGCCAGUGAUUUUGAAGUUGGGAGCAAUGAUACUGACUUGUCAAUUUCAUAUUUUUUUUUGGUCAACAAAUUGGUGGGAUUUAUUCAUUUUUCUCUUUUAUUUUAAAAAAAUCAAAGUGAUAAUAUUUGAACAAUAAGUAGUAUAGGAAGAAUUCAAUAGCAACUUUUUGAAUAGUUAAUAUUAAUCUUUGGCAACAAAAAAACCAAAAAAAAAAAAAAACAGAUUUGGUGGAUUUCGUUCCUAAAUAAAAGAAAUUUAAGAACUCAAAAAAAAAAAUGAAGGUGAAUAUCUAGUGUACUUUGAACUUUCGAGUAUUUGAGGAUAUUGCAAUGGAUUAACACGACAGUGGAGAAAGUCUUUUAAUCUUUACUUCUUUGAUUACAAGAAAGUAAGAUGUACUGUAACGCCGAAUUUUAGUUGGUAUAUAUACACACACAUAUUAUCGACAUACAAUGCUCUACUGAUGAAAAUAAUAGUAGCGAUUAUGACAGAAAUUGAAAGGAAAUGGAAAGGAAGAACUGAAGCUUUGUAUUUCAGUAUGUUUCUUGUACACAUUAAUUACACUAUUUGUAAUACAAGACUAAAGUGUAAAACAGGAAAGAAAUAUACAUUGAUUCUAAUUCCUAUUUUACCAAGUCAAUUACUGAUUAAAUGAAAUAAUCAUUGAUACUCAGGAUCGAUGUUUCCCAAGUUAUCAAACCAUAUUUCCAACACUCCCCCUCAAGCUGGUGGCCUAUAUAUAUCGAGGACACCAAGCUUGCUCAAUAAGUAUGCAUGUUGUCUAUGGCAUAAUGGCUUGGUAAAAAUAUCUGCAAGUUGCUCCGUAGUUCUUAUUCCUCUUGUUGUGAUGACUCCUUCUCGAAUCUUGUCUCGAGUGAAAUGACAAUCGACCUCUAUAUGUUUAGUUCUCUCAUGAAACACUGGAUUGGCUGCUAACUUGAGUGCAGCGUCAUUGUCACAGAAUAAUUUACUGGGUCCAUCGACUUGUACUCCAAGAUCUGCAAGCAAUCCUCGUAUCCAGAUUAUUUCACAAACAGUCUUUGCCAUAGCCCGAUAUUCUGAUUCUGCUGAUGAUAAUGACACGGUUGACUGCUUCUUUGUUUUCCAUGAGAUAAGAGAUUUUCCAAAUUUUAUGCAAAAACCAGUGAUGGAUCUUCUCGUCAUCGGACAAGUGGCAUAAUCCGUAUCACAAUACGCCAUCAUUUUCAUGUCACAAUCUCAAGAUAAAAAAAAAUGCCAAGUCCUGGACAUCCCUUCAAGUAUUUUACCACUUUCAAGGCUGCAUUCAUGUGAGACUGCUUUGGCUUGUGCAUGAAUUGACUGAGUAUUUGCACAGCAUAACAUAUAUCUAGUCUUGUCGUCGUGAGAUAAAUCAGUUUUCCAACAAGUCGUUGGUAUACUGAUGGAUCUUCAAGUAGCGAAUCAUCGAUGGAAGGAGAUGAGCUUGAAUCAUAUUCAUGUGUUGUUAACUUUGUAUUCUGCUCAAUCGGGAUAAUUGCCGGUUUGCAUCCUGACAAUCCUGCUUCAGAGACUAUUUCCAGAAUAAACUUUCUUUGACUGAGAGAUAUUCCUUUGUCAGACCGAGCUAUCUCAAUUCCGAGAAAAUACUUAGGAGAUCCCAAGUCUUUUAUAUGAAAAGUGGAAUGCAGAUAGCUUUUGAAUUUUGCAAUGGCCAAUUCAUUAUUCCCCAUGAUAAGAAUGUCAUCAACAUAUAUUAAAAGGUAAAUUGAUGAAGUACCUUCAGUCCAUGUGAACAAUGCAUAAUCAUGUUUGGAAUGUUGAAAACCUGUGUUGGUUAAAGCAGCAGUGAACUUGGCAUACCAUUGCCUAGAGGCCUGUUUGAGUCCAUAUAGGGAUUUCCAGAGACAACACACACGAGACUCCCCCUGUCUGCGUAAUCCCUGUGGAAGUUCCAUAUAAAUCUCUUCAUCCAGAUCUCCAUGCAAGAAAGCAUUAUUGACAUCCAUUUGAUGCAGUGGCCAAUUGCGAGAAGCAGCAAUGGAUAGAAAUGAGCGAACAGUGACUUCUUUGGCUACAGGAGAGAAUGUUUCAUGAUAAUCAAAUCCUUCCCGUUGCGUGAACCCCUUCACAACUAAACAAGCCUUGUAUCGCUCAACAGAUCCAUCUGCCUUAAAUUUGAUUUUAUAAACCCAUUUGCAGCUAUAGGCUUCCGUCCUGCCAGUAAUGGAACAAUGUCCCAAGUAUGGUUCUCAUUGAGAGCCUUGAGUUCAGCUUCCAUAGCAUGUUGCCAUUUAGGAUCAUGCGCCGCUUCAGAGUACGAUGACGGUUCCUGUUCUUCGGAAAUUCUACUGAUGCAACACAUGUGUUCUGAUGACAAUCUACUAAAGGAAACAUAAGAUGAUACUGGAUACUGCGUACCUGGACAAUCCAAUGUAGGAAAUAUAUAAUCUUUUGUCCACGUAGGGGGUCGAAUAUGACGUCCAGAACGUCGAGGCUGCUCAAUUCUGUUUUCUUCUGAUAAUACGGGAGAGGGACUCUGUUGAGUCAUCGGCGAAGAGGCUGUUGAUGGAGAAUUUGAUGAAGGAUCUGUCUCAUGUAAAGAAACUGGUGAGUUGAUAGCUUGAUUNNNNNNNNNNNNNNNNNNNNNNNNNNNNNNNNNNNNNNNNNNNNNNNNNNNNNNNNNNNNNNNNNNNNNNNNNNNNNNNNNNNNNNNNNNNNNNNNNNNNNNNNNNNNNNNNNNNNNNNNNNNNNNNNNNNNNNNNNNNNNNNNNNNNNNNNNNNNNNNNNNNNNNNNNNNNNNNNNNNNNNNNNNNNNNNNNNNNUCCAUAACGCGGUAACCUUUCUGCAGUGGGGGAUAUCCCAUAAAAAUACACGAAUGGCACGAGGAUCCAUUUUACUUCGAUGACCCAGAUUUGCCGCAUAACACAAACACCCGAAAACUCGAAGAUGAUCAAUUUCUGGUUGUUCAAAAGGAGUUCGCCCAUUAAGAAUUCUAGUAGGCAUGCGAUUGAUCAAAUAGGCUGCAGUAACUACACAAUCACCCCAAAAAUCUUCAGGUAUGGAAGCUUGAUAUUUUAAAGCUUGAGCUACCUCUAAGAGGUGGCGAUGUUUUCUUUCAACAAUUCCAUUUUGUUGGGGUGUGUAAUUACAUGAACUCUCAUGUAAGAAUCCUUGAGAAGACAAGAAAGAGUUACAUUCCGCAGAAAAAAAACUCACAUCCAUUAUCAGUGUGGAUCUUUUGGACAAGUUUGUCGAAUUGAUUUUUAAUGAGAGAUAGAAAAUUCGACAGUGUUGAAAAAGUUUGACUCUUGGAUUGCAUAAGAAAAACCCAAGUAGCUCGAGUAUAGUCAUCAACAAUGGUUAAGAAGAAUCGAGAUCCAUCACGAUGUGGAGUGUGAUAAGGUCCCCAAAUAUCCAUAUGUAGCAAGGAAAAAGCACUAGUGGAUCUAGAUGUGCUAAUAGGAAAAUGUGUCCGAGACUGUUUUGCCAAUGGACAAAUUGGACAUUUAGGAUAAGGAAAUUUUGCGGUAUGACCCAAACGUUGAUGAAAAACAAGAUUUUUAUUACUAGCAAUGGCAUUACAAGAAAUGCUCUUAUUGAAUAAUUCAAAAUUCCUUUGAGGAUCAAUCCAAAAAUAUAGCCCUUCUGCAACACUACCCAAGCCCAUCAGUCUGCCAGUCAAAAGGUCCUGAAAGAAACAAUCAUUGCGAUUGAAUAUGGCACGACAAGAAUUAUCCUCACAAGCUCUUGAGACUGAUAAGAGAUUGAACUCAAAAUCAGGAAUGAAUAGAACAUUUUUGAGAAUAAUAUCUGGACUAAGGUGGAUAGUACCAAUUUUGGUAACAUGAGUGGCAUUUCCAUUUGGGAGGCGAACAAAUACUGAAGAAUAUGGCCUCUUUUGAAUACUAGAAAAUAACCGCUCAUUGCAAACUAUAUGAUCACUGGCACCCGAAUCAACUAUCCAUGCAUCAACUGAUAUUGAAUUUUCCUUGUAUGAAGAAGUACCUGAGAAAUUCGCAGCCUUAUCAUUGGUUGCCAGCUGAUUUAAUGCCUUCAUUAUAUUCUGAUACUGGUCUUGGGUAAUUAUCCGAUUUGCCCCAUCAGUCCUUCAUGCCGAAACCUGAUAAGCAGCAAUUUCUUUUUCCUUCUUAUCACCUGGCUUUCCAUGUAAUUUCCAGCAUGUAUCAAUAGUAUGAUGAGGACGUUUACAAUAUUCACAAUAUUUACCCUUAAUUUUGGAAUUUUGGCCAAUAUUUUUUAUGGAUGACGUGGCAUUUCGUGGGCCUCCGGAUGCCCUAUAUGCGGGCGCUGUCGUGGCCAAAUAAGGGCUGUUCAAUUCGGUCUAACUGGCGAGCCAAUAUGGGCCAUCCGAUCUCUUAUGAUAUGGACCGUUGGAUCCUAAAUCUCGGAUCAAACCACAGCCAUCCAUCUUGGUUCCAUCCCAGCCGUCCAUCUUAGGGUUUUCACCUAACCCAAGUCCAGCCCCAUUUCGUCCGCCCCCUCCUUGCCCGAAGCUCUCGGUUCCUCCACCUACUUCGCGCGACGUUUCCCCAGCAAUCCCGCGACCGCCAUGGACUCUGCGCGCCAUUUCUCCAUAUCUGAAGCUGGUCUGGAGAGCAGCAAGGGCGACUCCUUCGCCGAUUCUGCCAUGCUCGGCUGCGGCUUGCCGCUGGCUCUCCUCUUGGACCGCCAGUUGGUAGAUCCGGCCGAGCAAGGUAACGGGUCCAUCGCCAAGAUCUGCAAUCGAAAGGGUGAGUAUGUGUCGUUCAAGAUAAGUAGAAAUCUAGUCACUUUUUCCCGCUGCUUAAUUUUUCGGUACUGUUGCAGCGUCGCUUCGGGUCCCUCGAGGCGUUCUUCGGCUGCCUCGAGCUCAUUCCAGAGAGCCGAGAGCCGAUUGAAGCAGGUAGUGACCGAUUGAUUUCCUUGUUUUAGAUCUGAAAUCGCCUGGGUAAUAGUGAAGAUCUUUGCUGGAUCGAGAUGCCCAUACAUCUCUCGGAUGUUUGCCCAAAAGGUUUUCGAGUCCUCGGUCGGUGGUAGCCCCGCGGCAACAUCUGGAGCAAGGCAAUUUCCAAUCCAGGUACGCACUAAUUGGUUGCAUUUUUUCCAGAAACGUUGAAGUCGUUUGUCGGUCGGAUAGGGGACGGUGCCAUCAAGGAAACCGUCCUUGUCCUUCGUUACAAGUGCUCGCUGGAGGUCUCGAGCCCAAGCGUUGUAGUUGUCCUGUCCAGUGAGCUGCAUGUUGAUGAGUUUGAAUUCUGGUCCGUCGGCUGUCAUCGUGUGAAGAGGAUCUCCGGGCUCGGGACGGCCGCCGUUGACUGGAAACGCGUAGGGCAGAAACCCGGGUUGGAAACCGGGUUGUGGAACCGGGUGGGAAUCCGUAGGGAUGGAUCCAUGCCCUGUUCUUGUCCAGCCCGACCCAUCAUUUGGGUAAUUCUUCCCAGAGGGUCUGCCUUGAAGGGGGUACCAGCCGAGGUAAGGCCACUUGAUCGAUCCUUGUGGUUGGAACGAUGACUGAGUAGGUAUCGAUGAAGCAGUGGCUAAUGAUCCAGUAGGUAUCACUCCUUCUCCUGUUGGGUCGACAAGUGCUGGAUCAAGGAUCUGUUGAGGUGAAUUGGAGGCUUCUUCCAUUUGUUGGUUUUGUCAAGGUUUUUUUAGCAGAGUAAAAGAAUUCAAUUCGGUGGCUGAUUUGUUUUGCAGGUUGAAGUCGCAACAGCAAACCAGAAAAGAACCGAAAAGCAAUUUGAAGAUGCGGAAGCUUAGGUCGGAAAAGAUCGCUCUGAUACCAUGACAGAAAUUGAAAGGAAAUGGAAAGGAAGAACGGAAGCUUUGUAUUUCAGUAUGUUUCUUGUACACAUUAAUUACACUAUUUGUAAUACAAGACUAAAGUGUAAAACAGGAAAGAAAUAUACAUUGAUUCUAAUUCCUAUUUUACCAAGUCAAUUACUGAUUAAAUGAAAUAAUCAUUGAUACUCAGGAUCGAUGUUUCCCAAGUUAUCAAACCAUAUUUCCAACAGAUUAAGAUGAGAUGAACAAUUCAAUUGAAGAUGCUAGCGAUGAAUGAGAUAUGACACCAAGCAAUCCUAAGUUAGUAGUAAUGAAAGCUAAUGUUUUUAGGCUACUAGAGAGUCUUUUUAGAGCAAUGAAUCGAGCAGAAUGAAUUAGAAGUCACAAUGCACAAUGAUUUUCUUAUUAGUUAUACAGCCAACAUUUCAAGUUUUUCUCAUCUUUGGAAUUUAAUAGAUCUUUCUAAUGACAUUAACUAUUUCUUUCAGCUUAGUGAUAAAACCUUCUUACUUGUGAUUAUUUGUUUUGUGGAAUGUAAUUUUUUUUCUUUUUUUAAUGGGAUAUGUAGAGUUUCCCCCAUUCAGAUAGGUGCUUUUUGGGCCUUCAUAAAUAUUCUAAUCCUAAAUUAAGCCAAGAGAAAAUGGAAACAAUGUAAAAAUGAAAAAAAGAAAGAAACCGGUCAAAGUAUUGUCCUGUUUUCCUCCAUUGAAAGCCGAGGCUGGUAUUAGAGGGUUAGAAAAUUAGAAGUACGGCACCAAUAAGAUAGCCGAGCUCAUGAAAAUUAUAUGUUAGAUGUGAGCACUCGGAUUUGUCGCUCCGAGAUCACAUGUGAUGCUAAUUCCCCAACCAGAACACCAAUUUGGGCCACCCCAACCUCCGGCAGAUACAUUCAAUAAGGGCUUCAUGGGACACUUUUGGUCCCAUCCUAUAUUCCUUAUCGCCCUGAAUCUUCACAAAACCACCAUAUUUACGGGCUGACCCUGCACUUUCAGAUACGAGGAGACCCUUGUAAAGAAUCGAGAGAAAAGUAAGCAGAGCAUAUGGUCACGGAGUCCGAACACGUAAUAAGAUCAAUCGCGCUAUAUCUUUUACAAGACCGCUAAUGCCAUGGCUUUUCAUCGCCGUCGCAUGUCAGGAUCUCGCAACUAAUGCGUUGGCCGAAAGUAAGGCCAACGAAUCGAACACGUUUUCUGGAAACUUCGUCAGGACCCAAAAAAAUUGCCAGAGUGGAACACCUACCGCUAUAAGAAUAUGAACAGACUGUUUAUACCAAGACUUUAAUUCAUCCGAUUAAGCUUGUAUCAAACUGGAUCGUUUUAAUUCCGCAAUUCUUGUCAAGGUCAAAGAAAUCACCUAUUCACCCCCACUAGGUAAUAUCAUUAGCCGUCAUUAGUUAGCAUACCAAAAGAACACUAGUUCGAGAAUUAGUAUAGUCAAGUGCAUGAUCUCAUAUCUUUAGUUAAGUAAAAUUAUUUUUCACUUGGCUCCUAGACAGCCUCAAUAGGCUAGUGAUGACCCCUAGUUAGGUUGGAUUUCAUAGAUAGGUCUAUAUCAAUUGUAAUUUUGGUUCCUUGAAGACUUUAAAAUAUUUUAUUUUGUAGUUUUCAUUGGUGACUUUACGAACUUGAUCAGUUUCUAUUUUGGAAUCGAGUCCCACUCGUUAAAUGAAAUCCAAAGACUUUGGCAGAGAUUUCUUUUAGGAAAGUGAUGUAAAAGUCAUGGCCUUUCGUGACCUAUGUGAACACUCGACUUUCCACGAGAUCAAAACGUAGGUUGCGCCACACAUUAUGCAAUUUUAAGCGCGCAAAAGGGGAGUCUACUCACUUGGCAUUAAUGAAGCAAAAUCUUGCCCCGGUUGACCCAUUCUUGCAAAAACGACGGCCAAUGAUCUAGCCAAAUGGCACCGAGAACACGAUCAAAAUAUAAAAAAUGAUAAAAGCACCGAAGAUCUUAAAAUUUAUUUAAAAAGUGUAAUUUAAUUUUCAAAACUUUCAAAAAGUAUAAUAGAAACGAGUCCUAAAACUUAUCACGAAAAUACAAUCAAAUCCUAAAAUUUUAAUAAGUGCAAUCAACAGAAGGAUUUUAUUGGACUGGUAUGACAAUUUUUAUGAUUCAAUCAUACUUUUUGAAAGUUUUUAAAAUGUAAUUACACUUACAUAACGAGUUUUCGACCCUCGUGAUCAUAUUUGGGCGCCCUUUAGUCUCCACGAUGAUUUCGACUUUUGCUAUAGCUCCUGCUCCGGUGACGGUAACACCUUUCCCUGUCUCUGUACCUGUCGCGAUCAUAUCGUCUGCAGCUUCUGCUGCGACUUCUCCUCCUGUGAUUGCGUCUCUAUAUUCGUCUCUACACCUGAAAAUCUAUCUUACUAUCAGUUUGCAGCAGAGAAUGAGAGGGAAUCACACGCGACACUAAAAGAUACAACCACCACUACUCAAUGGCACGUCAGUGCAAAUUUUGUCCAAUUUACUACGAACGAAGAAGAAGGUGCAACACGCUUGGAUGUCCCCUAAUAACCUGGUUCGGAGCUUAAAUCACCAAAAAGCAUAAUCUAGAAACCAACAACUCAAUGGCAUAAUAGAAAAUAGCUAAGAGAAAUUAGCAGUACCACAUUGAUAACCUAUUUGUUAUGGAGGAUCAUAAGACUUCAGGAGUUUACAAUUUCAUGCGCAAACAUCUUAAGGCGCCACGGUCACAUUAUUCAUCUAGGUAGGACGUGGGUAAAAGCACUAAAACAAUCAUAUACCUAUUGCAUUGAUAUAAAUUUAGUUCUAAACUUUUUAAUUGAACCAAUUCAGUUUUAAACAUUUUCACAUUGAUACCAAUUCAGUCUAUCCGACCAAUUUUUGCCAGUUAAAGCUAACAUGGACGCCGGCCGGUGGCCGAAUGUUGACGUGGCAAUUUUUAAAUAAUUUUUUGAGUUUUGAAAUUUUUUUUCCUUUUUUUUUCUCCCUUCUUCCUCCUUGGACUAUCCUCCUAGUGGCCGGCAAGGCUCGUCGGCCACUGGACAAGGGCCGUGAAGCCCUCAUUGGCGUGGCCCUCGCCCAACCUCACCUUCGCCCACUGCAAGGCUAAGGCGAGGCUAACCUUGCCCAAAUUUGGGCGAAGCCACCUCGCCUGCGGCCCUGGGCAAGGCCAAGCAAGGGUUGUGACGCUCGCCCAAUGGCCAGCGAAGGCCAAUGAGGGCUUUGGAGCCACCGGCAGGAGGCUCGCCAACCACCACGAGGACAAACCAAGGAGGAAGAAAGGAGAAAAGGAAAAAGGAAAGAAAAAAAUUAUUUAAAAAUUAUUUAAAAAUUGCCACAUCAACCUGCGAUCAUCAGCCGACGUCCACAUCAGUAUUAACCGGCCAAAAUUUGUCGAAUAAACUGAAUUGGUACCAAUGUAAAAAGGUUUAUGAUUAAAUUAGUCUAAUUAAAAAGUUUAAGACUGAACUGGUACUAAUACAAUAGAUUUAAAACAUUUCUAGUACUAUUCCCGUAGGAUGUGUCAUCAAAUUGCUGAUGAUGGAGUAAGUCCAAGUUCAUAAGCUCUUCAUUUAGCACGAAUUAACAAAAAAGCUUUUGGGAUAAGUACAAAACAAAUCCUAAACGUUUUACCCACUAUCUCAUAGUCAAUUGAAUUUUAAAUUAUUUCAUAAAUAUUCAAUUGGCCAUCAUCUUGCUGCCGAUGCCAUUUUUUCCCUAGAAAAUGGAAUCUACUCAAUAUACAUGAAAUUGACUAUACUCUUUUACUACUAAGAAGUAAGACAUUGGAUUUUUUAAUUAUAAGACUCAAAUGAAGAUUGAACCUCAAAAAUUCAUUUAAUUUGAGGAAAAAAUGGAGAUUUUCGAAAAGUAAUAAAAAUAAUUUAAGGAAAAUUCCAAAUAAAGGCUCGAAAUGCUCUCAUUUUCUCAAAUAAGGGCAAGAAGUAAACCUUAUUUCAAAUAAAAGCCUAAAGUGGCUAUAUCAAUCACAAAAAAGAGCUUGAAGUCGUUAUAACUAUUUCAAAUAAGGGCCUAGUCUCGCCGGCUUGCCGAUUGGUAAAUUAUUAUGGCCAAUCAAUGAUAUUUUUGUUUAAACACGGUUAAAUUUAAAUUAAAUUAGAUGAAAAAUUUUAAAAAUAAUAAAACUUAAAGGAAAAUGGAAAAACACAAGUACGUGUCGAUGCCCCAUCGCCGGUGGGGCGACGGCAAAGGUCGAUGCCUAGGCGAGGGCCAGCGACCCUCAUCAACCAAAGGUGAAGGCCAGCAUGCCUUCACCAGAAGUGAGAGAGGGCAACAACCCUCUCCCAGAUUUGGGCAAGGGUCACCGGGCUUGCGCGAGGGUCGGCAACCCUCGCCGAGGCCGAGGCUAGGGCGAGGGUGAGCGACCCUCACCCAGAUUUGGGAGAGGGUCGCCACUCUCUCCUCCUUUCGAAGAGGGCCAGUAGGCCCUCGCCUCUAGACGCCACAAGUUGUUGACCCUCACUCAAGCGCCGGUGACCUCACUAGCCUUUGCCAUUGCCCCACUGGCGAUGGAGCGGCUCCCUCCCACUUGUGUUCUCCUUUUUUAAAGUUUUUUAAAAAAGAAAAAAGGUAAAAAUUUUAAAAAUUUAAAAGAUAAAAUUGUCCUUCACGUCCACCGAAUUUAGGUUGUUCUUGACACCGAUAUAGGCACUUCAAGCCUUUAUUUGAAAUAAUAUCUACUUCAAAUCCUUAUUUAAAAAAAAUAAUAACACUUCACACACUGAUUUAAAACAAUGUUCACUUUAGACCUUUAUUUGAAAUUUUCCCAUAAAUUAAUGAAUUUAGUAAAGAAGAGAUUAAAUUGAUAUAACUUAUUUUUAGUGUACUCUUAAUAUCGAUAUUGUCUUGUAACCUAUUUUUGACUUGGUUAUCAUAUACACAAACAAGUGAAAAAAUCAAUUAUAACUAACUUGAUUAAAAUAGUAUACUGUCUAAUACAAUAUACUUUAUGCCAGUUUGAAUUUUAAUAUAACUCAUUUAUAGUUUUUUCAUGUUAUUUAUUGUUAUCGAUAUGCUUGAUGUAAAUAGGGAAAGAGAUAUGAAACAUAAAAUAAGAUCAAAUUCCUUAAAAUAAGAUACUUGUUCUUGGGGAUAAUAANNNNNNNNNNNNNNNNNNNNNNNNNNNNNNNNNNNNNNNNNNNNNNNNNNNNNNNNNNNNNNNNNNNNNNNNNNNNNNNNNNNNNNNNNNNNNNNNNNNNAGCCUGAAGUUCAAUCUUCUAAAGCUCAAUCCAUCACGUCUGAAACGUGAGGAGGAAGAGCAGAGCACGCAGACGCGGCUAAGGGAUAGGGCGGAAGGUGGAGGAGGCGGUGAUCAAUUCCUCUGCCCAUAACCACGAAAAAUCGUUUGGGAGAGUGACCAACACGGAGAGGAGGAAUCAGUUUUGAGGAAAGAUAACAUUUUUCGGGGUGAGGAAGGAUAUUUGUUGGGAAAGAAAGAUCUAUGAAAUGUAGGCCAGAGAGUUUAAGUACCGAUUACGUUUUGGUUUAUGACAAUGAGUAUCUAUAAGUGUUUCAAACUUAUUGAGCAGUUUUGGUACCAAUAUAGAAUCAAGGCGCAUCUAGAUCAUUCAGUUGAGAUGCUAUCGCCUGUUCGAUGAAAUGUUUAUGAGAAUUCUAGGACUUAGACGAAAAUGACUUAUUGAGCAGCUGUAGUAUCAAUAUGGAAUUGAGUCGUUGCCUCUACAUCAUUCAGUUAAGACGCUCAUUCACCUAUUCGAUGAAAUGUUUGAGGAUUUAGAGGGAGUUAACCUCGUUCUUGUGUAAUCUGAAAGUAAAGUGAUUUAGGUUCAAUGAUCUUAUCUGGUCUUCAAGCCAUUCACGUCUAAGUCCUAGUGAUUUCUCAAUAUCUGAAUCUGUUUCUGAACUCUUGGUUCGUUGUUUGUGUUUUAUGUUCCAAUGCCUGUAAAUGAUCGUUAAUGGUGAGAGCUUGGCUAGAGUUGAGGUCACACUUACUAAUACUUUGUAAAAACGUUCUAGUUAAUCUCCACAUGGUCAUCUUACUUCAUACCCCUCAGUUUCCGUUCAUUUCAGUAAGUCGUAGUAAAGGGGGUAAAGUCCAGUGGACGGUCAAAGGUAAUAGUUAAUGGCAUAGGUCAUAUAGGGGUUCGAUUUUUAAGUGUAUAUGUUCAAUACUUCAGUGUUAUGGUGUGAUAAGCUCCAAUUGUUAAUGUGCUGGUAUGGUGACUUUUGAUUUCGUAUAUUCUCGAUUGGUACUGAGGGAAAGUGGUGGUCAUUAAAAAUGAAGAUUCAUUACAAUUAUACAAUUAAUAAUAGAAACAAACCUGAAUAGAACUUGAAAUCGACCCUAAGACUCAGGAUAGGUAGGUUUUAGGUUUCAGAGUAUAGAGAACAGGUUCUAAAUUCCAAAAAAUAAGAAAACUCUUUCGGCGAGUAAGUUCCAAAUGGAACUUGUAUUGAACCUAGAACCACUCUUAACACUCCCUAUUUUCAUCACUCUAAUAGGCAUUCCCUAUUUUCAUUCCAGGCAUAAUUCCAUGAUUAGAAAGAGCUAGAGUGCUCAUUUUAGAGGACGAGCAUUCCCUAUUAGACUUUGUCCAAUUUCUUGGACCAUUUGAAUACCCUGUAGCGGAACGGAGUCGACUUUUCACUUAAGGGGGGGAAACGCACAGAUUAUCGUCCUCGGUGUCUCGCUCACAACCACCAAGAAAAUCCUCAGACAGUGUGGGACGAUGAAUACCUCUCUAUAGUAUAUAAAAACACCUGACCCAUGGCAUAAAUGAACAUGAUUAAACUGCAUCCCAACACAAUUAAGCCACUUUAUUGCAACUUAUCCCUUGGAUCUUGAUGAUUAUGAGGUAUGUGACAGGGUACGCCCAAGCAAACGGUAGCUAUAAUUCAAACUACAAAGAAGAUACUUGCAAGAAGAAAAUUGCAAAUAAGUCACAGGAUUAACAUGAUCAAAUAUUUUUUACAUCGAAAGGUAACUUGCAACAAGCCACUGGCAUGCGAUAUGCAUACCACAAUACCGCACCAACAAUUCUGCAGUUCAUCCAUGUACAAAAGUCACUAUCACACUCAGCACCAACUCAAAUCUCAAUUUACAGUAAUAUAUCGUGAACUACCAACAUUGGCUCAAAUUCUCCAAAGAAAGCAAAGGAAUUACUAAAUAGGUCACUAAUCUCAUUGUAGCCAUCCAAAGCCCUUUUCCACAUGCUAAACAAUUCAAAGAAGUUAUAAUGCAGAAGCCUCAUCGCCCAAACAGGGUGGCACUAGUGGGCACUCACGAGGAAGGGAUGCUGACACACUCCACAUUCAAUAGUCUCAGAACCAGAGGUUGGAACCUGGACCUGCAAUUAUACCAGAGCACGCCCCUUUUAAUAUCAAAGUAUUUAACAAUAGGACCAACAUAACACAUCCGAGCUGUUGUUGGUGAAGGGUCUCAUACCUGCAAAUGAACAGUGCAUAUGGGACAGGCAACUUCCUUCAUCCUCCUUCCAGAACCAUCUGACUGGGAGCCUGUAAAAAGACAGUUCCUCUGUCAACACUAGACAGAAGCUCAACUAACAACGAGCCAAAAAAGGGUGCUUUCAUGACAAAAUCCAUCAGGUACAUUAAAAAAACGGAUCCUCUGAAAAUAAACAGCUGCGUUGAGAACACGUGUAUCCAGUUAAGAUUAGAGAAUUACCCGCUGAUCCUGUGCGAUUCCUCUCCAUUUUCUCCUGUCACAUACAAAUAAUGUCAGAAAGUUAUAGCGUGACAACACACUUUCGUCAAAAGAGCCUCAAAAAAGAUUGCGCAAAGUUGUCCGAAGACUUUGCCACAAAGAAAUUACAGGGAACUUGUCUACCUGAAGCUAUCUAUGCAAAGGAUCAGAAAGACUACCUGAAGCUUUCUUGCAAGGUCCUCAUGACUCUGAAAUCCCACCGGUUUACUAGAUGCUUCCUUCGCAUUGCUCAGUCGCUGAGUCAUUUCAGCCUACAAAACCCCAUUGUUUAGAGUGACAAGGUAUGAGGAGUGUAAUAUACCAGCCUAUUGCAAGUUGUAAUAGGUCUCAGGCCCAAGCACAUACUAAGAUACAUGUGGGGUACAUUCACUUCAAAGAAACUAGAAAUAUACCAAACAACGGUCACAAACGCGAACUGGUUGAGCAUUUUCUUCGGCAGUUAGGGCAAUCCUACCAUGGGUACAUUUAUCGCAGAAAAUAUCUCCACAAUUCCUGCAGUGGUGCUGAAUCCAAAAAAACCAGACAUGAGGGAAAACAAUACAGAUGAACACUGAAGAGACUAGUAGUGAUAUAAAAGUAUGUACCCUGCGAAUAAAAGCACUAAAAUCCGAUCCACAAGCUGUACACUUUGAAACUGCUUCAUCGGGAACCUAAUAAGCAAAAACCAAGGAAUGUGAGUAGCUUUUAUGGUAAACAAGGCUGAUGUGAGAUUCUAAGGAAACCAACGAUUUGAUACUUCCAUGCUUUUGAUAGUAACUUCUCAUUCUUCUCACUAAGAUUGAGAAGAAGAAUGAGAAUAAAUGCAUACAAAACGCCUGGUAAAACACGAUAUAAUACUAUUUCAAAAGGUGAUAACUUUUUACACAAAAAGGAUUUACUGAGAGACAUCAGCAUUUGGUGACUAUGAUUAAUUCAAAGACGACACACUUGACAUGUUUUGAUCCAUAUUUUCACUUUAUGUUGAUGACAUAAAUGACCAACACAAAUACAAAAAGAAAAACACUAUUUUGAUGGCAUGGCACAAGUUGCUAGCCAAUUUUGGUCUGCACAAGAUCUCUAUGUAGCUAGUCUAAGCCCUUAUAAAGAGGGAGAUCCAGGAUACAAAAGGAUGUCAACAUCUAUAAUUGUCAGAUCUUCCAUGAAAUGGACAAUAAAAUAGGGACGAUGAAGUGCAAAAUCUUGUAGAGCACACUCUGGAAAAUACUCACGCCAAAUGGAUUUCAAGGCAUCAAAUAUGCAUAAGCAAUUUGAAGAUGUUUGGUGCAUGUGUGAUUGCUCGAGAAUUGAUAUAGCUCGAAAUGGAAAUCCUUAAAAAAGCUGGAGGGGCCACAUAAAAUAAGAUGAUAAAAUACCUCCUUAAGAGUCCAUUUCAAAGACUACCACUAGAUGCUUCGAAACAAAUGCAAUUUUAUGGUAAGGCCACACGAGAACCCAUCAAACAGGUGUGCAAAGACGUAAGGUAAGCAUAUCUGUACAGAGACUCUAGCAAAGCUGGAAGAAUUCUAAAUAGUUUAAAAUUUCCAUCCCAUUUGCCUAAUGGAGCUUCCAAGUUCAUGUAAAUGCAUGCGUUCAAUCCACAUGAAGCAAGUUUGUUUCUUCAAUAGAGUUCCACAAAUCUAGACAGAUCAAGAUCUCCUAAACCAAAGCUUAAACAGAAGCUGCCACCGACUGAAGGAACUUUUACCUCAGCAUCAGGGAAANNNNNNNNNNNNNNNNNNNNNNNNNNNNNNNNNNNNNNNNNNNNNNNNNNNNNNNNNNNNNNNNNNNNNNNNNNNNNNNNNNNNNNNNNNNNNNNNNNNNNNNNNNNNNNNNNNNNNNNNNNNNNNNNNNNNNNNNNNNNNNNNNNNNGAGGAUGAAGAAGAUAAAAAUGGAUUUUGCGUUAUACCCAGUGAUCCUUCUCCUCAUUGCCAGGCUUCAUCAAAUUCAUCCAGUCAGCAAUACCUUUCUUCCUCUCUGCAGGCUGUUCACUUGUCUUUACAGGAUCAGAAGGCCUGGUCCUUCCACCCAUUUCCUUUAACUGGAGCAUGUAAAACAUUUACUUUCAGUCCAGAAAGCACAUAAACCAUCAGCUGAACUAUGGAGCUAUUUAAAGUUAUAUAACAAGUUAAAAAAAAAAAAAAUAUAUAUAUAUAUAUAUAUAUAUAUAUAUAUUAUGGUGCUAUUUAAGGUCCACAAAAAAAAUUAACUAUGGAGCCAUUUUCUAUUGAUGGUCUAAUGCAGGGAUAUGGAUCCUUAAAUGAAUUCAUCUCUUUGCAAGUAUGGGCAACGUGUGGUCUAACAGUUCAAGUGCACAAGUGCAUCUCAAUCCUUGGACCCCAGUCAAAGGUUCAAAUCCACAAAGACUAUGGUUCAGCCGAUGAACGGUUGGUGUGAACAAUGUACAUCCAAUAGUAAGUCCCUGGAUGAAAACUCUAAAACAUCCAAUGCCAGUUUAGCCACAGACAAUUUAGUAGUCUAAAUCUGACCAGACCUAAGACCAGUUCCAGUCAAACCAGCCAGUCCAGUGAGGUUUCAAAGUUUAGAAUAUGAGUAAAGACCUGACUUGCAUUUCUGCAAGGCCUUGCAAAUCCCACCAAUAUGCAUGUGAAAGGAAGGACUUUGGCCUUGCGCCAGUAUGCACAUGAAAGCAAGGAAAAAGGCAGGAAAUACUCAAUAUCUAAGCAACGGCGAUAGAGUGUGAGAAUUCGUUCAUAAGUGGCUACAAAUUAUAACAUAUUAACAUAACAGGGUAAAAAGUCUUCUUCACACACACAUUGGACAAGCCUCGUCAGCCCACUAAUUUAUCCAUCCACCACAUCAUGCACAUAAUUGGUAAAUGCAGAUGUAGCAUUCUACCUGAACAGUCGCAGCUGUCACCGUAUCAAGGAGUGUGUUAGUUGUGUAACGAUUUGAUUGUAAUCUAAUACGCCUGGGUUCAAUAUCCACAGAACUCUUUGACCAAAAUGAAAAUAUAGAUGAAUCUGUCACCUGCGUGGCACCAUGCAUGCAUAGGUCAACAUUAAGUUAUAUACUGUAAAAGAACGUGUAAAAAAGGACAAUCAACUCACUUCACAUCUGGUGAUGGUCUCUAAAGGGUAUAUCCUCAAAGUCCGACUAGUUGAAGGAUCAAGCAUACGAAUUCCAUCCAAGCCUAUCUGAAAGAGAAUAUGUAACAUCAAGAAUCAGUCGCAAUAGAAUCAACCACCAAAUGACUGAAGGAUAAAAGCAAGAAAGAGACAAAAUGAUCUACUGUAUUGCCGCAACUCUUGUUUACUACAGGUAUCUUACAACAAUACAAAGAGAUGUUUAAGAUCUUUGAAAUAAUAUUAAGAACAUGGUAAGGAGAUAAUAUGAAUAGUAACGAAAUCAGUGAGUUCAAUUAUAGGUGUUCUCCACCACAUAUUUCCCCCCAGGUGUGGGGGAAUGAAAUACAGAGUGCACGUACACCAUGAUUUAUCAAUGCCAAAGGGAAUUAUGUUGGUUUACUAAUAGGUGUUCUAUUCCUCCUCUUGCAAUAAUUGGCACUCGGCAAUAGGGUGAAAGUAACUAUUAAUGAGAUUGAGAAAUCAAUGAACAGCUUGUACGAUAAAUUUGAAAAAUAAGUUCUCAGAAUUUAGACACUGAAUAUGUUUGAUUUGAAUGGAUUUCAAGUUAUUUUUUCCAAAUCCUGCAGUGCUUAUAAUUCGAUUUUUAUUUUAUGCAAAACACAACAUCUUUCAGAAAAUUCAGAAAAAUGCAAAUAUUGACAUGUAUACACCUAUAAAAUGUUAAAUUUUCAAAUUAGUAGGAAAGAAAAUUUUUAAGGCAAACAAAACAAGUGCUUAACAAAAGAUUGUUAAAUAGAAGCUUUGGAAGAUAAACAUUGCAUCUUGUUAGUUUCUCAGCAAAAAGGAGUUGCAGAUGUGAUGAUAGGCUUUAGCAAUAUAAUUGGUAAAGUUCUAACUCCCACAAAAGUUUUUCCAUCAAACAAAUUAAGUAACUGCUUCCUUACUUCAUCUUGAGUGAAAUUUUUGCUUAAAUGAAUCUGUCUAGUCAAAAUUAGUCAGUAUUACCAGACUCUUUUAAUCUUAUUAAGUGUCAAAUUUUUCAGUUAUCGGCUUUUAAUUAAGCUGUCAAAGAGGACCUAACUAUUUGGGCUAAUAUGGGUACUAAACAAGGAAACCUUCUAGGUAUACCAAUUUUCACCAUUCCUCUAUUAGCUAGUCUAGGUUGUUUACUAACGUUUUCUGCAGCAAAUGCAGUCAGUGUCCUUCCCCCAUUAUAUAAUUUGGUCAGUAAUAGUUACAUUAUUGAUUGAUUUUAUGGUGACUUAUGUAAUUUUUAUUAUAUUAGUCUUUUGAAGGCAUCUACAAACAGUGAUUGCUAACGUCGCAUUUAUCUCUAACAUAUACAAUCCUCAUAAUCCACAUAAUUUUAUGAUAAAUCCACAUAACACAUCUAUCAAACAAUCAUUUCGUCAAACAGUGAUCUUCAAGACAUUUAAAGAUCAAAAGACCAUAUCUUCAACUUCUUAAGACAUGAGCAUCUAAGGCAGGCAAUCCUUUUACUUGCUUCAGUAAUAAGCAAAGAGUAUAACAGAAACUGGAAUAAUGAAGGCAGUACAAAACUACAACCUUGCAUGAAGGCAGUACAAAACUACAACCUUGCAUCUCUUACAAGCUAUUAGUGUAAAAUGUGCUAAGGUUUUCCAGAACAACAACAGGUGUUGCCCAAUAAAGGAAAGUUCUUUGCUUUUUAUUUUAAAAUCAUUAUGGCGGUUUAGCCAAAACAUCAGUUACUUCAGUUCACUUGCAAUGUAAAAUCACAAUGAAAACUAUCACAAUAUUACAACUCGAUCGGUCAAGAGAUGUAAUAUAUUCAGCUGCAUCAGGUCAUUUGUACCCAUUCAUUGCAGGUUUAUUUUUUUUGUAAUGAAUCACUUUGAUGCUCAUACGGUCUAUCUGUCCUAGAACACCCCCAAAGAAUCUUAGGUUAGCCUCCGAUUUAAGACGAACUAGGCAUUAAACGAGUCAAAUUCAGUAGCGCUGAAAUACUAACGAUGAACUUACUACUCUGCACACUAUAAACUUCUAAAGGUAGAAAUUAAGCAAAGACAAACCUGACAGAGAACAUCCAUUGUACUUUGAGAACCACUUUCAGGCAAGAGCUUCACCCUAAACUUCUGGACCCCACUCUUUACAUCCUGCUGCGUCUCCGCCUUGGGCACUGCUCUUACAAUCUUCGGUGAGCUGACUGAAGAAUCCUUCCCGGAGGGAAAACUGAUCGGUCUUCCAUAAUCAUCGAACGCAGACCAGGUCGAUGAUUUCGAAGAAGUGCCUCGAGCACCAUAUGGCUCGACUUUCCCUCCUUCGUAAGCAAGCACACCAUCUCCAUACGCGUCCUCCCGCCUCGAACCCGAACCACACUGCGAAACAUCCGACUGCUUCCUGUAGAAAUCCGACCCGUAAUCGGACAUGCUACGACCGUAUCCCCCGCCAUACCUAUCAUCGAGGAACGAUCCCCCCUGAUCGUACUUCACGGAAUUAUCAUACGUCGGCUCAUAUGGCGGGUUGUACGGGGCCGACGAGGCGUAGAUGGACGAGUACGGCGAAUUCGUGCUCGGAUUGGGGACCGAGCUAGGGUUCAGGGCGGGGGGCGCGAUCGAGAUCUGCGCAGGGUAGCUCGCGGGGGCCUGAAGCUGAUCGCAGGGCCCGGGCGGAGGAGGAGGGGGUGGCGCGUAAUAAGACUGCUUUGACUCUCCAGAAAACGGUGUUUUUACCUUUUUGCCCCUUCGUCUCGCAUGCUAUAAUUAAAAAAUUUCUUCCUUUUUGUUUAUUUAUUCCUUUUCUUUUCUCGCGGGACCCACGUUCCUCCUACUUCCUUCCUUUUCUCUUGUGCCGAAUCUUGGAAAACAAAACUUCGGCUCCACCUGCGUUCACAUUCAAUUUCUUCUUCUGCUCCCCUUCAUACUCAGGAUCAACCGUCGGCAACUCAAACCAGCAAAUCAGACGCUUACUCCUCCCACCCUACCACGGCACAAUGCAGUCCCCAUGAUAACCAUGCCCACAGGGCAAUUUCUUCGCCAUCUCUUCGACGGUCACCGUAUCCUUACAGAUCACACACACCAAGAUUUGGUCCUUUGAUCUAAUCCCCACAGAUGGGGGCUAAGCGCUGAUUUCGCGACUGGUGGAGCUCCUCUUCUUGCACUGUCUCCGCCAAAUUCUGAAGCAACGCCUGGUGCCCAAUGUCAUCCGCGUAAUCCUCCGAAUUGGCUAUGUAGCUGUCUGAUCCAGGCACCUUGAGCCUCAGUUUGAUUGGGUUAUCAUCCAACCCCAUUAAAAUCUCCGCACAAUUGAGAAUCCGCUUACGCACGCUUCGAGCUCACGUUGCAAAGUCUCAGAUCCAGAGCCUGAGCACGUCACGCCGCCUCCGAAGUGCAUCGUCCUCGUCAUAUUUUAUCUAUGUUCUCCCCUCCGUUCUCGUUAUCCGAUUGGUUAUCACCUUUCCUCUCCCCUUCACCUCGUUCAUAUCUCUCGCGGUUACUAUUCUCUUCAUUCUCUUCCUCAUUGUCCUCAUCUCACGCGGAGGGACGCCCUCGUCAUGCGCCGCCUGCACGAUCAACUAACCAUUUGGGCAGUUGAAGCCUAAGCUCAUUGAGCGAUUCGGGCAUCAAGAUUAUAGGAGAGUUUUCUUUUUUUUUAGGAGACGUCGAGGAGCUCGAGUUUACUUCUCCUCAUUGUUUGAUUCCGCAAGAAAUUAAAAUAAACGAAAAAGGGAGGAAAUUAUGACUAAAACAUGUGAGACAAAGGGUCAAAAAGGUAAAGACACUUUUUGGGAGCGUCUAAGCCAAAAUUGAAGUGAAAAUUAGUUUGGGUACUAGUUUGAGAUUUUUCUAUAACAUAAAAAUUAAUUUGAGAUAAAUAUGGCACGAGCAUAAUAAUUGGGAAUUAUUUGUUUGGUUUGGUUAAAUGUGGCACAAAUAUACCAAUUUAAAAUCUUUGGUGAUACUAAUGGCAGAAUUUAGAAGAAGUUAGUCAUUGACUAUGGACUUGAUAAAUUCAUUAUGAUGUGUAAUUGUUGACAAGUUAACUUAUGAGCAAGCUACCGGUUAUGUUUAUUUGCUAACAGUAUUUGAAAAUUACUCGCAACUUCAAAAAAUCCACGAACCUGAAAAAAUUAGUUUUUUGGCCUAGAAGACUCGAGAAUUUUGCAAUUAGAUUACUUUGAAUCUAAAUUUCGAAAGAUGCUUUGAGGCUUGAACUUUUAGAACCCCGGUUCACUAUUGCAGACGAGUAUGAAAGGUGCAAGAACAAGUCAACGAUCUAACACUAGCCUGCAACUUCAAUAGAAAUGCGUAGUGGGACAAUGACAAAUUUAGAAAUCCGUAAGGACAUAUUUCAAUGGCAAAUUUCAAUCAUGCAACCCUGGGUUAAAUGGUUCGACAGCUCAUCAUCUUCUUUCUUUCCCAUAGAGAAACAAGAAUGUCGUUCACUAUACAAGAAAAGGACACAUAAGGUGUUAAUGAUGCAAAGCGGUUUUUCGAAAGAUCUCUUUCGUGCUCAUCUAUUCAAUCCACCCAAUUCAAAAAUCACACUUAAAGAAGAAGAUGACAGCAUAAUAAAAAAGGCAUCCAUAUGCAAAAUUGCAUUUCAAUCCAACAAGAAGUGUAUUCCUUCGACUACAUUGCACAUAGUUCAAAUUUCCCAACAAUUUCAUCGACCUCAAUGAAAUUUGAUGGCUUUCCACUUUGGCUUCUUCAUCAAUUUGACUCUUCUCUCCAUGCUUCUCACUUUUCCCACAAGCCAUUUAGGUCUUCCAGUUUCCCAUGAAAUAUACGCUAUGGAAAUCCCGAUCACGUAUCCGGAUGCAUAACCUAUCCCAACUACUUUCCCAUCAAACCUGCUACCAUGGUCUCUUGUAUUAUCCUCUUGGAAGAACAAUGGUGGUGGUGGAGAUGGCUGAGCAUCACCAAGGCAUGCGUUUUGAAAUGGAGUUCCACAUAAGCCUAGAUUUCCCCGAAAUGAGUCGCUCGUGAAUGUGCUCAAUUGCUUGUCUUGAGGUAUAGGGCCUGUGAGUUGGUUAUUUGAGAGGUUCAAACACCCAAGAAAUGACAAAUCUCCAAGUUCUCUAGGAACCCUCCCACUAAGCUUGUUUGAAGAUAAAUCUAGCCAUUCAAGGUUAGUCAAAUUUCUAAGGGUUGAAGGAAUGGAACCCAUCAGGUGGUUGUGGGAAAGAUUGAGCCCUAUGAGAAAAUGAAGAUUUCCAAUAAUACUAGGGAUGUUCCCUUGAAAGGAGUUGAGCGAUAAGUUGAUGGUUGUGAAGAUGGUCAAUAUCCUCUUUAGCCGAAAUUCCUUUCCUUUGAUGAUCACAUUCACGGAAUCUUCAUAGAACCCAUGUCCAUUUACAUUGUCCUGCCUCAUGUACAAUGAUUUGUUUCGCGGCUCUUGCUCAUUUUGUCCAAUCAUCAUCCCUUGAAGUUUUUCUACCAAAUUGACUGGUAAAGGACCAGUGAAGUCGUUGUUCGAGAGAUCCAAAAUGUGCAACUUAGGAAAGAGAUGAGCUACCUUUGGAAAAUUUAAAAAACCCUUAAAAUUGUUGGACUUCAAAAUAAGAACUUUUAGCUCAGGUAGUGUUCCCAACCAUGCUGGGAACUUAUCCUCUAUCUUAUUAUCCCCAAAAUCCAAAACUUCCAUGUUUUUACAAUUGACAAGGGAUUGGGGCAAUGUGCCUUCAAAUUGAUUUUGACUUAAGUCAAGACUUCUCAAGCUACAUCGCAAUGAAAAUGUUUCAAGGAUUGUGCCUGAAAGACUAUUCAAUUGCAAGUUCAAAUGCCAUAAAUUAAAGUUUGAUAAGCACUGAGGUAGGCUACCGGUUAUGCUAUUAUUAGACAAGAUGAGGAUUGAGAGAGAGGUGGCAUUGCAUAUUGAUAAAGGGAUCUUCCCAGUUAACUUGUUGAAACUCAAGUCGAUAAAGGUCAGGUUGGGGUAGACACCAAAGAUCUCGGAGAUGUUUCCAAUCAACUGGUUUUUCUCGAGGCGAAGUCUGACUAAGCUUGUGCAAUUUUUCAAGCUUUUAGGGAUAGAACCAGUUAACUUGUUGCCACUCAUUGAGAGACUUUCAAGAAAUCCACCUUGGCACAAGUUUUCUGGUAAGGAGCCAGUUAACUCGUUGGCAUCCAGUUCCAACAUCUUUAAGUUCAUCAGAUUCCCCAAGGAUUUAGGAACUGAACUAGAAAGUUGAUUCCCGCGGAGGAACAAGUAUAAUAGGUCGGUCAAGCGACCCAACGAAGAAGGAAUUGGGCCAAUGAGCUGAUUUCUGCUCAGCUCUAAGUCAAGCAUAGAGCUAAGAUUUCCUAUCUCAUCAGGAAUGUGACCAAAAAGCUAAUUAUCGUAGAGGUAAAGAAUGGUAAGCUUCAUCAAAUUGCCUAAUAUUGGCGGGAUUGAACCGGUAAGAUUAUUUUCGUAUAGGCUCAAUGAGCUAAGAAGGUUCAAAUUCCCUAGUUCUAGGGGGAUGGAACCGGUAAGCUUAUUAGCAGAUAGCAGCAACUCUCUUAAUUUGGUUAAGUUCCCCAGAGUAGAAGGAAUUGAUCCUGUCAAGUUGUUAGAAUUCAUGUGGAGCACUUCCAAAUUUGUCAUAUUUCCUAUUUCAACAGGAAUAGAACCAGAAAGGGAGUUGUUGUAGACAUACAAGAUAGCUAAUUUGCUCAAAUUGCCAAAUGAAGAAGGUAUGGGUCCAUUCAACUUGUUUGAAUAUAGCGCAACUUCACUAAGCAAAUGCAAUUGCCCGAUUUCUUGGGGAAUUGAGCCAUUUAACUCAUUGGAGACUAGGUGCAAGACCUCCAAUUUUGUUAGACAGCCAAUCUCUGGCGGUAUUUUCCCCGAGAACCGAUUGAUAGAGAGGUCGAGAUAAGUGAGAUUGCUCAGGAGACUAAUUUGAGGAGGAAUGUGGCCAAAAAGACUAUUUAUACUUAGGUCCAUAUUCAUAAGAUGAGACAACGAUGAGACAACGAUGAGAAUGGGAAUUCAUCAAGCGUACCUUCAACACUGGCGCUGGUGAGAUUAAUGCCGAUCACGUUUCCUGCCCGAUUGCAAAAAAUGCCAUGCCAAGUGCACAGACUCAUGGUUGAAUUGGAACCAGUGGCAUUAUGGGGAGAGGAAGUCCACGAAGAGAGGGAAGAAACCCAAUGGUUGCCAAGACCAGACUUCCACUUGAGGAGGGCUGGUGCUUCUGUAAGGGAAGCAUGAGCUGGAAGUGGAAUGGUAAAAGUAGUGAAAAGGAUAAGGGCAGCCACAAGGCUCAUGACCCUCUUGAAUUCUGACGAAGAGUCCAUGGAUUCUUCUUCUCCUUCUCCUGUUUUAGUUCGGAUAAGUUGGUUUGUGUUUCCCUGAGACUACAAGUGAUGAUUAAAUAGGCUGUGAAAAGUCAUGAUCCUAUCAUUUUCCAUGAUAAUGGGAAUGCAAUAAAAUGGCCUAAGUGGAGACUCACAAAAGGUACCUUUACAUUACUUUUACGCCGUAGGUGGACCGGGGUAGGUAUCUUUUCUGAGAGAAAAGUCACGAUCCUGUCAUUUUCCAUGAUAAUGGGAAUGCAAUAAAGUGGCCUAAGUGGAGAAUUUUUGGUUCUUAGAAGACUUGUUACUUUUGAAGUCUUCGUAUGUCACUUUUCUGACUGGGUCAGUCCCCAUUUCAGAGGUUUUUUAUUUUUUUUGGUCUGACCUAUUUAUGAGUCCCACCCUCCCAUUGUACGAAAAGCAGAGGCUUCGACAGAGAGGUCUUCGAGGAAAGUGAUGUCAAGUCAACGUCUUUCGUGAGGUGUGGGUACACCCAAUUUUCCGCAAGAUCAGACCCCAUGUCGUGCUGCACGAUUUUGAAUUCAAAGCGUGUAUAAGGAAAGUGUUCUCCCACGGCAUUCACGAAGCCAAAUCUAGACGCGGUCCACCCCAUUCUUGCAGAAAUGACUGCUGAUCUAGAACACGGUAAAAAAGAAAACUAACAGCAUAUUUGAAGUGAAAAAUUGCUAAAAUUUGGAGCUUGCGUUGAGUUAAAUAUGAUUUGGGUCCAAGUGAGAUUGAGUGUGGAUUGCCAUAAUUAUUUUACAGAAAUAAUGGUUAGAUUGAAACUUUUUUCUACCCAUUCAUAUUUAACCUAUCUUUUAUUAGGAAUAAUACCAGAUAAAUUUAAAAGAUUAUCGAUUCUAAAAAUGUAAAGAAAACUAUAAUCAAUAAUUAUAUUAGGAUUAUUAACCUAAAAAACCCCAAACCGGUACACUUGUGACAAAUUUACUCCAAACUAUUUUUUUUACCACCAAAAACCCCAAACUGAUACAUUUUUGACAAAUUUACCCCAAACUGGUACACUUGUGACAAAUUUAUCCUCUGUUAGUUUUCGUUAAAUUUUAAUUAAGUCAAAUGACACGUGACAGUUAAUUGGUAUAUCGAUUUGGGAUUUUACACUCUGUUUGUCACAGUUUACAAUUUUUGUGAUUUUUUUGUGGUAUUAAUCCAAUUUACUGCAGGGUAUAAUUGUCACAAAUUUACCAGUUUGAGGUUUUUUGUGGUUGAAUAAAUUAGUUUUGGAUAAAUUUGUCAUAAAUGUAUCACUUUAAGGUUUUUUAUAGUCAGUCGGGGUAAAUUUGUCACAAGUGUACCAGUUUGGAGUUUUUUAUGGUCAAAAAAAUAGUUUGGGGUAAAUUUGUCACAUGUGUACCAGUUUAUGGUUUUUUAGGGUAUUAACCCAUUAUAUUAUAAUAAAUGUUGUGUGAUGCAGCCCAAAUUUCUUUAAGACCUAUUUAGAUAACCACAAAGGCACUUCGAUUUUUUUAGGCACUUCUCUCCUUCCUAAAUGACCAUAAUUUCCAAAGGACCUCAAAUCCAAACAAAAUAGAAAUGUAUAUGAGCUCGAGCUGCUAAUGAGCUAAUCCUAUUUCCCUAUUCUUAAAAUUCUAGAAUUUACUUCUUUGGAAUAAAGCUAAGGCUUCACAAGGUUCUCUAGCUUGGAGGAAAGAUAAGCUUUCAAUAUGGUCAAAUACAACCUACCAUUUUGUUGCAACUUAGAACAUUCAAGACAAUAGUAAAUUGAAACUGGAAAGUGAAUACAUGACCGUAUGGUCAUUUUACAAAAUAAACAGUGGAAUGUCAGCUAGUGAUUUUGAAGUUGGGAGCAAGGAUACUGACUUGCCAGUUCCAUAAUUUUUUUUUGUCAACAAAUUGGUGGGAUUUAUUCAUUUUUCUCUUUUCUUUUAAAAAAUCAAAGUGAUAAUAUUCAAACAAUAAGUAGUAUAGGAAGAAUUCAAUCGCAACUUUUUGAAUAGAUAAUAUUAAUCUCUAGCCACAAAAAAAAAAAGAUUUGGUGGAUUUCAUUCCUAAAUAAAAGAAAUUUAAGAACUCAAAAAAAAAAAAUGAAUGUGAAUAUCUAGUAUACUUUGAACUUUCGAUUAUUUUAGGAUAUUGCAAUGGAUUAACACGUGACUGUGGAGAAAAGUUUUUAAUCUUUACUUCUUCGAUUACAAGAAAGUAAGAUGUACUGUAACGUCAAAUUUUAGUUGGUAUAUACACACACACACACAUAUUAUAGACAUACAAUGCUUUACUGAUGAAAAUAAUGUUAGCGAUUACGAUGAGAUGAACAAUUCAAUUGAAGAUGCUAGCGAUGAAUGAGUCAUGACACCAAGCAAUCCUAAGUUAGUAGUAAUGAAAGCUAAUGUUUUUAGGCCACUAGAGAGUCCUAUUAGAGCAAUGAAUCGAGCAGAACGAAUUAGAAGUCACAAUGCACAAUUAUUUUCUUAUUAGUUGUAAAGCCAACAUUUCAAGUGUUUCUCAUCUUUGGAAUUUAAUAGAUCUUUCUAAUGACAUUAACGAUUUCUUUUAGCUUAGUGAUAAUACCUUUUUACUUGUGAUUAUCUAUUUUGUGGAAUGUAAUUUUUCUUUUCUUUUUUUCAAAUUCAAGGGUUUGAACUUAAUGGGAUAUGUAGAUUUUUUUGGGCCUUCAUAAAAAUUCUAAUCCAAAAUUAAGCCAAGAGAAAUGGAAACAAUGUAAAAACGAAAAAAAGGAAAGAAACCGGUCAAAGUAUUGUCCUGUUUUCCUCCAUUGAAAGCCGAGGCUGGUAUUAGAGGGUUAGAAAAUUAAAAGUACGGCACCAAUAAGAUAGCCGAGCUCAUGAAAAUUAUAUGUUAGAUGUGGGCACUCGGAUUCGUUGCUCCGAGAUCACAACAUGUGAUGCUAAUUCCCCAACAAGAACACCAAUUUGGGCCACCCCAACCUCCGGCAGAUACAUUCAAUAAGGCCUUCAUGGGGCACUUUUGGUCCCAUCCUAUAUUACUUAUCGCCCUGAACCUUCACAAAACCACCAUAUUUACGGGCUGACCCUGCACUUUCAGAUACGAGGAGACCCUUGUAAAGAAUCGAGAGAAAAGUAAGCAGAGCAUAUGGUCACGGAGUCCGAACACUUAAAUAAGAUCAAUCGCGCUAUAUCUUUUACAAGACCGCUAAUGCCAAGACUUUUCAUCGCCGUUGCAUGUCAGAAUCUCGCAACUAAUGCGUUGGCCUAAAGUAAGGCCAACGAAUCGAACACGUUUUCUGGAAACUUCGUCAGGACCCAAAAAAAUUGCCAGAGUGGAACACCUACCGCUAUAAGAAUAUGAACAGACUGUUUAUACCAAGACUUUAGUUCAUCCGAUUAAGCUUGUAUCAAACUUGAUUGUUUUAAUUCCGCAAUUCUUGUCGAGGUCAAAGAAAUCACCUAUUCACCCCCACUAGGUAAUAUCAUUAGCCGACAUUAGUUAGCAUACCAAAAGAACACUAGUUCGAGAAUAGUAUAAUCAAGUACCCGAUUUCAUAUCUUUAGUUACGUAAAAUUAUUUUUCACUUGGCUCCUAGACAACCUCAAUAGGCUAGUGAUGACCCCUAGUUAGGUUGGAUUUCAUAGAUAGGUCUAUAUCAAUUGUAAUUUUGGUUCCUUGAAGACUUUGGAAUAUUUUAUUUAGUCUUCAUUGGUGACUUUAUGAACUUCAUCAGUUUCUAUUUUGGAAUCGAGUCCCGCUCAUUAAAUGAAAUCCAAAGACUUUGGUAGAGAUUUCUUUUAGGAAAGUGAUGUAAAAGUCCAAAUGAAAUCCAAAGACUUUGGCAGAGAUUUCUUUUAGAAAAGUGAUGUAAAAGUCACCGGCCUUUCGUGACCUAUGUGAAGUUGUGAACACUCGACUUUCCACGGGAUCAAAACGUAGGUGUAGGUUGCGCCACACAUUAUGCAAUUUUAAGCGCGCAAAAGGGGAGUCUACUCACUUGGCAUUAAUGAAGCAAAAACUUGCCCCGGUUGACCCGUUCUUGCAAAAACGACGGCCAAUGAUCUAGCCAAAUGGCACCGAGAACACGAUCAAAAUAUAAAAAACGAUAAAAGACACCGAAGAUCAUAAAAUUUAUUUAAAAAGUGUAAUUUAAUUUUCAAAACUUUCAAAAAUUAUAACAAAAACGAGUCUUAAAAUUUAUCACGAAAAUACAAUCAAAUCCUAAAAUUUUAAUAAGUGCAAUCAACAAAAGGAUUUUAUUGGACUGGUACGACAAUUUUUAUGAUUUAAUCAUACUUUUUGAAAGUUUUUAAAAUGCAAUUACACUUACAUGAUGAGUUUUCGAUCCUCCUGAUCAUAUUUGGGCGCCCUUUAGUCUCCACGAUGAUUUCGACUUUUGCUAUAGCUCCUGCUCCGGUGACGGUAACUCCUUUCCCUGUCUCUGUACCUGUCGCGAUCAUAUUGUCUGCAGCUUCUUCUGCGACUUCUCCUUCUGUGAUUGCGUCUCUAUAUUCGUCUCUACACCUAAAAAUCUAUCUUUCUAUCAGUUUGCAGCAGAGAAUGAGAGGGAAUCACACGCGACACUAAAAGAUACAACCACCACCCACUUAAUGGCACGUCAGUGCAAAUUUUGUCCAAUUUACUACGAACGAAGAAGAAGGUGCAACACGCUUGGAUGUCCCCUAAUAACCUGGUUCGGAGCUUAAAUCACCAAAAAGCAGAAUCUAGAAACCAACAACUCAAUGGCAUAAUAGAAAAUAGCUAAGAGAAAUUAGCAGUACCGCAUUGAUAACCUAUUUGUUAUGGAGGAUCAUAAGACUUUAGGAGUUUACAAUUUCAUGCGCAAACAUCUUAAGGCGCCACGGUCACAUUAUUCAUCUAGGUAGGACGUGGGUAAAAGUACUAAAACAAUCAUAUACCUAUUACAUUGAUACAAAUUCAGUUCUAAACUUUUUAAUUGAACCAAUUCAAUUCUAAAUAUUUUCACAUUGAAACCAAUUCAGUCUAUCCGACCAAUUUUCGUCAAUUAAAGCUAAUGUGGACGUUGGCCGGUGGCCGAAUGUUGACAUGAUAAUUUUUAAAUAAUUUUUUGAAUUUUGAAUUUUUUUCCUUUUUUUUUCUCCCUACUUCCUCCUCGGACUAUCCUCCUAGUGGCCGGCAAGGCUCGUCAGCCACUGGACAAGGGCCGUGAAGCCCUCAUUGGCGUGGCCCUCACCCAACCUCACCUUCGCCCACUGCAAGGCUAAGGCGAGGCUAACCUUGCCCAAAUUUGGGCGAAGCCACCUCGCCUGCGGCCCUGGGCAAAAGGCCAAGCAAGGGUUGUGACCCUCGCCCAAUGACCAGUGAAGGCCAAUGAGGGCUUUGGAGCCACCGGCAGGAGGCUCGCCAGCCACCGCGAGGACAAACCAAGGAGGAAGAAAGGAGAAAAGGAAAAAGGAAAGAAAAAAAUUAUUUAAAAAUUAUUUAAAAAUUGCCACAUCAACCUGCGAUCAUCGGCCGACGUCCACAUCAGUACUGACCGGCCAAAAUUUGUCGAAUAAACUGAAUUGGUACCAAUAUAAAAAGGUUUAUGAUUAAAUUAGUCUAAUUAAAAAGUUUAAAACUGAACUAGUACCAAUACAAUAAAUUUAAAACAUUUCUAGUACUAUUCCUGUAGGAUGUGUCAUCAAAUUGCUGAUGAUGGAGUAAGUCCAAGUUCAUAAGCUCUUCAUUUAGCACGAAUUAACAAAAAAGCUUUUGGGAUAAGUACAAAACAAAUCCUAAACGUUUUACCCACUAUCUCAUAGUCAAUUGAAUUUUAAAUUAUUUCAUAAAUAUUCAAUUGGCCGUCAUCUUGCUGCCGAUGCCAUUUUUUCCCUAGAAAAUGGAAUCUACUCAAUAUACAUGAAAUUGACUAUACUCUUUUACUACUAAGAAGUAAGACAUUGGAUUUUUUAAUUAUAAGACUCAAAUGAAGAUUGAACCUCAAAAAUUCAUUUAAUUUGAGGAAAAAAUGGAGAUUUUCAAAAAGUAAUAAAAAUAAUUUAAGGAAAAUUCCAAAUAAAGGCUCGAAGUGCUCUCAUUUUCUCAAAGAAUGGCAAGAAGUAAACCUUAUUUUAAAUAAAAGCCAAAGUGGCUAUAUCAAUCACAAAAAAGAGCUUGAAGUCGUUAUAACUACUUCAAAUAAGGGCCUAGUCUCGCCGGCUUGCCGAUUGGUAAAUUAUUACGGCCAAUCAAUGAUAUUUUUUGUUUAAACAUGUUUAAAUUUAAAUUAAAUUAGAUGAAAAAUUUUAAAAAUAAUAAAACUUAAAGGAAAAUGGAAAAACACAAGUACGUGUCGAUGCCCCAUCGCCGGUGGGGCGACAGCAAAGGUCGAUGCCUAGGCGAGGGCCAGCGACCCUCAUCAACCAAAGGUGAAGGCCAGCAUGCCUUCACCAGAAGUGAGAGAGGGCAACAACCCUCUCCCAGAUUUGGGCAAGGGUCACCGGGCUUGCGCAAGGGUCGGCAACCCUCGCCGAGGCCGAGGCUAGGGCGAGGGUGAGCGACCCUCGCCCAGAUUUGGGAGAGGGUCGCCACUCUCUCCUACUUUCGAAGAGGGCCAGUAGGCCCUCGCCUUUAGACGCCACAAGUUGUUGACCCUCACUCAGGCGCCGGUGACCUCGCUAGCCUUUGCCAUUGCCUCACUGGCGAUGGAGCGGCUCCCUCCCACUUGUGUUCUCCUUUUUAAAAGUUUUUUUAAAAAGAAAAAAGGUAAAAAAUUUAAAAAUUUAAAAGAUAAAAUUGUCCUUCACAUCCACUGAAUUUAGGUUGUUCUUGACACCGAUAUAGGCACUUCAAGCCUUUAUUUGAAAUAAUAUCUACUUCAAAUCCUUAUUUUAGAAAAUAAUAACACUUCAUGCACUAAUUUAAAACAAUGUUCACUUUAGACCUUUAUUUGAAAUUUUCCCAUAAAUUAAUGAAUUUAGUAAAGAAGAGAUUAAAUUGAUAUAACUUAUUUUUAGUGUACUCUUAAUAUCGAUAUUGUCUUGUAACCUAUUUUUGACUUGGUUAUCAUAUACACAAACAAGUGAAAAAAUCAAUUAUAACUAACUUGAUUAAAAUAGUAUACUGUCUAAUACAAUAUACUUUAUGCCAGUUUGAAUUUUAAUAUAACUCAUUUAUAGUAUUUUCAUGUUAUUUAUUGUUAUCGAUAUGCUUGAUGUAAAUAGGGAAAGAGAUAUGAAACAUAAAAUAAGAUCAAAUUCCUUAAAAUAAGAUACUUGUUCAUGGGGAUAAUAAGCUUUUCUAUUAAAUAAAAGCAAGACACAUGGAGCCUGAACUUCAAUCUCUAAAGCUCAAUCCAUCACGUCUGAAACGUGAGGAGGAAGAGCAGAGCACGCAGACGCGGCUAAGGGAUAGGGCGGAAGGUGGAGGAGGCGGUGAUCAAUUCCUCUGCCCAUAACCACGAAAAAUCGUUUGGGAGAGUGACCAACACGGAGAGGAGGAAUCAGUUUUGAGGAAAGAUAACAUUUUUCGGGGUGAGGAAGGAUAUUUGUUGGGAAAGAAAGAUCUAUGAAAUGUAGGCCAGAGAGUUUUAGUACCGAUUACGUUUUGGUUUAUGACAAUGAGUAUCUAUAAGUGUUUCGAACUUAUUGAGCAGUUUUGGUACCAAUAUAGUAUCAAGUAGCAUCUAGAUCAUUCAGUUGAGACGCCAUCGCCUGUUCGAUGAAAUGUUUAUGAGAAUUCUAGGACUCAGACGAAAAUGACUUAUUGAGCAGCUGUAGUAUCAAUAUGGAAUUGAGUCGUUGCCUCUACAUCAUUCAGUUAAGACGCCCAUUCACCUAUUCGAUGAAAUGUUUGAGGAUUUAGAGGGAGUUAACCUCGUUCUUGUGUAAUCUGAAAGUAAAGUGAUUUAGGUUCAAUGAUCUUAUCUGGUCUUCAAGCCAUUCACGUCUAAGUCCUAGUGAUUUCUCAAUAUCUGAAUACCUUUCUAUAGUAUAUAAAAACACCUGACCCAUGGCAUAAAUGAACAUGAUUAAACUGCAUCCCAACACAAUUAAGCCACUUUAUUGCAACUUAUCCCUUGGAUCUUGAUGAUUAUGAGGUAUGUGACAGGGUACGCCCAAGCAAACGGUAGCUAUAAUUCAAACUACAAAGAAGAUACUUGCAAGAAGAAAAUUGCAAAUAAGUCACAGGAUUAACAUGAUCAAAUAUUUUUUACAUCGAAAGGUAACUUGCAACAAGCCACUGGCAUGCGAUAUGCAUACCACAAUACCGCACCAACAAUUCUGCAGUUCAUCCAUGUACAAAAGUCACUAUCACACUCAGCACCAACUCAAAUCUCAAUUUACAGUAAUAUAUCGUGAACUACCAACAUUGGCUCAAAUUCUCCAAAGAAAGCAAAGGAAUUUACUAAAUAGGUCACUAAUCUCACUGUAGCCAUCCAAAGCCCUUUUCCACAUGCUAAACAAUUCAAAGAAGUUAUAAUGCAGAAGCCUCAUCGCCCAAAGAGGGUGGCACUAGUGGGCACUCACGAGGAAGGGAUGCUGACACACUCCACAUUCAAUAGUCUCAGAACCAGAGGUUGGAACCUGGACCUGCAA
Molecule: long non-coding RNA, 155630 nt
Filed under: Eucalyptus grandis
Lineage: Eukaryota; Viridiplantae; Streptophyta; Magnoliopsida; Myrtales; Myrtaceae
Description: long non-coding RNA (EGRA_LNC004607)
Source: RNAcentral